This 89679-nucleotide long non-coding RNA is filed under the name Ricinus communis (castor bean). RNAcentral's name for it is "long non-coding RNA (RCOM_LNC002792)". Lineage: Eukaryota; Viridiplantae; Streptophyta; Magnoliopsida; Malpighiales; Euphorbiaceae. The record is from RNAcentral.
CCAUCUAAAUGUACAUGUAUUAGAAAUAUCCGCAUGCUGCUAUACUUCGGCUCAGUAGUGUUUUACGUAGUUUUUAAAGCUGAGCAGUGAGCAAUAUAAAAUCUAGAAAUGACUGUUUUAGUUACUAUAAUUUCUAGAAUUAUCUCUAGAAGUAAGAUUUACAACUCCAGGCUCAAGUUCAAUUGAUAAGAAUAGCUAAUACAUAAAUUUUCUUGGACUUGUUACAGAACUUCCAUCUGGCUGGUAACCCAGAAAAUGAGUUCCAGAAAUUUCAGCAGGCGGGUGAGCGUGGCCGGAGAGAAUAUUCCCACCAAGGUGGCAAGGGUCAACAAGGCUCUUGCAGAAAUCUCUUCUGUGGAAUUGACACAAGACUCAUCUCCGAAUCAUUCAAUAUUGACGAACAGUUGGCUACGAAGCUUCAAGGCCAAAAUGACUUCAGAGGCAGCAUUGUGAAGGUUGAAGGUGGACUUCGGGUAGUCAGGCCACCAAGGACCGAACAAGAGAGAUUGGAGGAAGAAGAGCAAGGCCAAGGAGGAAGUUACAAUGGUCUAGAGGAAACUUUCUGUACUAUGAGGAUUAAAGAAAACAUUGCUGAUCCCUCACGCGCCGAUGUUUACGUCCCUGAAGUUGGUCGUGUCAGCACCGUCAACAGCAAUAAUCUACGUAUUCUUAGGUUGCUCCAACUCAGCGCUUCCCAUGUCUCUCUCAGCAAUGUAAGUCAAAACACUCGCAACAGUAAUGGCCAGUCAUACAUGAACGAUGUUUAUACUCUGUAACUUCUGAUACAUAAAACAAUUCCUUGGUCAUGGCAGGGUGCUAUUAGAUUACCUCACUGGCACGUAAACGCACACAGCAUAAUCUAUGCAUUGAGGGGUCAAGCUAAGAUUCAGGUGGUGGAUGAAAAUGGCAACAGGGUCUUCGAUGGCAAUGUGAAGGAAGGACAAGUCCUGACAGUGCCACAGAACUUCGUGGUAGUGAAACGAGCAGAGAGUGAUAGAUUUGAAUGUGUUGCCUUCAACACCAACGAUAACGCUGUGGCAUCUGAUCUAGCAGGCCGUACCUCAGCCAUCAGGGCAAUGCCGCUGGAGGUGCUGGCCAACGCAUUCCAGGUUUCGGUAGAGGAUGCUAGAAGGAUCAAGUCUGGAAAGCAAGAGACAAUCCUGACUAGGUCCCAGUCUGGAAGGAGGUCUGCUACUUAAGAUGUUAAUGUUAUGUAUAAAUGUAAUGAGGCAAGCUAGCCUUCUCCCUUUUCUUUUCUUCUUCCUCUUUUAGAAGGGGACUGCAUUAUGUAAGUGUUGGCAAAUAAAAUGUGGUAAUGGCAAUAAAUGCAGUGUAGCCUUCUAUGAAGAAGCAAUGGAAGUAAUGCAGAUCAACUCUUUUCUCCAUGUUAUUGCCUAUAUAGGGAUCUAUUAAGAUUCUUCUUAAAAAUUGAAAAAAUAAAAACCCAUUUCCUAGGCAAGAGUUCUCUUUCUGAAUAAUUCACUUCUUUAGAUGAAUUUAAUUAAUGGGCAUUUUCACACUGAAUUCUCUUCCUUUUCCCCUUGCUCGAGCAAUGGGAGUUGUAACGUAAAUGAAUUGACAGUUCAGUAAUGGCAAUACUAUUACAUAUUAAUCAUCAUAAAAUUAUUUUAUAUAAAUAAUUAUAAUGAUCACAUCAGUCAUCAUGAAUAGUUAACUAAAGAUUAAUUAAUCAUUACAUAAUUAUGAUUAUUACAUGAAUUAUACUUUACAUCAAUUAUUUUUCUGAAAUAUUAUAAGCAAUAUUACAUCAUUUAUUAAAAAAAAAAAAAGAGGACUCUGGGGACAUUCGCUCAGGGUAUUAUACUCAGAAAUUAGUCUUAUACAGAAUUACUCUUGAAAAUGCUCAGGAUAUUUUAGUCUCCUUGGGGCAUUCAGGAAUUACAUAAUUUAACAUGAUUCUGAACUCUCAGGUGAUAUAUAUGUAAGCUAAUAAGGAGCUUUUAAGUAAAAGCAAGAAGCUAAUAAGGAACUAAAAUAAUGAGAAAUGCUUUAAAGAUAUAUGUAUAAUUAAGGGGUAGCAUAUAAACAUUUAAAAUCUAAGAAAGAAGCUAUUUUUUAUUGAUCAUGUAAGCUGGUACAUAGGGUUUGGCUUUAGAUCUGUAGUAAAUCUUUCUCUUUUUUAGGGUUGUGUUUUCAAUGGUUAUCACUAUUUUACCUGGUUCACUUAUGUAAAAAGAAUUCCUAACACUCUCCCCAAUUCUCUUUUCCUUGUAUUUUCUCAGCAGAAUCCUGUAUGAGCCUUCAUCAUCUGGAAUGAACUCUUCUUUACAAGUCACCUCCCAUCCAACCACAGUAAAAUCCCAAACCAUUGUCACCCCAGCCUAAUAAUUAAAUUAUGUAAACAUCAUUAAUAAAUAAUUAAAUAAGAACCCAUUAAGGAAAUGAAAUAAUUCAGUGGCAUGCUUCAAUUAGCUUUUAGUUAAAGUAAUCAAGUGAAGCAUUUAAUUGACAUAUGAAUGAAAGCAACUAAUUAAAUACAGAUAUUAACUAGUACCUCAGAGACAGGAAUUCUGAUGCACCCAGCUGAAUUUGUUCUCACAAUCAGCUCUGAAGCAUUGUCCACAGGAGAAAAUUCAACAUCAUUCUCUCUUUUCAAACCUCCAUAUUCAACUGGAAGGUUUUCUGGAGAAAUGUACCUUCAUGUUUGUUCAAGCACAAUUGUAGAGUGAAUCAUAAAUUAAUAUACUGCAUAAUGAUAAAUUAAUAUACUGCUAGGGCAAUUGGGUUAGCUAGCCACACUAGUACAGGUAUCUUUUCUCCCUAAAUGGCAAGGGGACAGGUGUUCAUAUCUUGAUACUGUUUUAACUUGUAUAAACACUUUUUUAAGGUUCAAAAAAAGAAGCAAAGGAGCUAUAUAUAUAUAUCAUCAGGGCACUUACUUUAAAAGGGUCUGAGUGACUUUCGAUGGCCUAGCAAUAAUGAACUUCCCUUUCGUUCUAUGGUUCAGGAUCUUGGAUGAAACUAAAUGUGAUGUGUAAUGCCAGAAUGGGACAUUUACUAAUAUCUGCAAAAUAGUAACAUAAUGCAGCACUUGAGCCAAGAUCCAUGUAUUUGAUGCAAGAAAAAGAAAAAAAAUUCAGAAUAAAAAUGAGUUGAUUAAUUUUCACUUACAUUUUUGUAAAUAAUCUCAGGAUAAUUGGCUUGGAACAACAGGAAGGCUUUCUUGCUAACAGCACGUAACUCUUUCAUUUCUGAUCCGCUGUUCUUGAAAUCUGUAAUCUGAAGCAUAGAGUCUGCCUCUCCCGCUUUGAAGGAAAGUUUCCCGAUACUUCUUUCCAUGAACUGAAUUCUCCAUCUCAAGAAUUUCUCACGUUUUUCCUCUGUUCCUAAUACUCUCCUAUAUAAUUCUUUGUCCUUGAAAGCCCCAUAUACUGUAUAAUACAAAGGGUGGCCUUCUUUGUCUACACUAUUUAUGUACAAAAACCUAUCAAGAUCAAGAUCCAGAUGCAAAUUCUCUUCAAGGAUUGCAUCAGUCUUGUAUUCCUUUCGCCAAUUAAGAGUCUUUCGCAGCAUAUGAAAGGCAUCUUGAGCCUUAAACUCCUUAGCCUUCAGGAAUUUCAAUAGCACAUUGUCUGUGCUUUCGUGGCCUUUACUUGGCAAUAAAGGCACACCCCAAAGGGUAAUAUCUCUAAGUUGUUCUUUCAUCUUCUGACAUUCUUUCCUGGAAAUUAUUUUUUUAGGUUUCUCAAAAAGACAAUUGCCAAGAAUUGCAUCUUCUACCAUGCACCUGAAUUCCAAUAAGGCCUUUUUCUUUUUCAAUUUCAUUUCAGUACAGGCAGCUGUAUUCUUUUCAUCUUCCUGAAUUCUUGAUUCAAUAUCUAUACUAUCAGUGCUUUUAUUUUCAUGAGCCUCAAGCCAUCUAAAGAUCAUCUCUUCUUCAUAUUCUUCAACCUCAUUCUCAAUUUCUUGAUGAUGGAUACUCUCAAUUUUCUCCUCCAUUCUUGUUUUUAAAUUUGGAGAGCCAAGAAAAGCAUAAAUCCAAUGUUAGAGGCAGAGAAAGGAAUGGCUGAAAUGGGGAANNNGGGUUCUGGACUCAAAAAGCUAAAAUGAGUUUUCAAAUUCCAACCAAUAAUAUAUAUCUUUCCCCAAAUUUAGGAUAGGGGUUUUGAUUUUGUGGAACUUUUGUUUUUAAAAAAGAAAUUGUUUUAGUGUUUAUUUUUACGACUAGGAGACUUGGACGGUUUUGGAAUUGAUGGUUGUUGAAGAGAGUUAAAUUUAGAUUUUUAUAAGGUGGAGAAAAGAGAGAGAAGUGUUAUGUCAAUAAGUAUCAGAAAGUUUUAUUCCAUUCUUGCACACUGAAUACUACUUUUUAAGUUGGAUAAUCACAAUUAGAAGUCCCAUACUUGGAUUCUUUUUCUUGUUUUAACUAAAUGUUUUUCUUCCUUUGAAAUUUUGAACUUAUCAUCUUUCUUUUUUAUCAGUUAUAAAAUGCAUAUUUGAACACAAGUUUAAAACUAGAAAUUGACUACACCUGCCUACCAAUAGUUAUUCUGUUGGUCUUUUUAACAGUUGAAAGAAAGUUGAGCAAUAUCAACAUAUAAAAUGUAAAAUAACUCCGUUACACAGAGAGAGAGGGGUUUGAACUGUCCAAAUUUCUAAUUCAAGGAUUGAAUCAAAUAUUCUGUUGAAACUCCAGAUGUUCUAGCCUACAAAUUAACUAAUUGAAUUUACAUACAGAUCGGGUUUUUCCAACCUGAAGACAUUUUUCUUUUGAAACUAGAAGUUUGUGACAUUCCUUCUGGAAAGAGAAACAUUUUUCCAGGGUAUCAGGACCUUUGUCAACAGAUGCAUCCACCAUAUUCUGACGCAGUAGUUUACAUUACUUUUCAGGAUGCGAUAUCCAACGAGGGAGAAACGCUGGCAAUCCAAUACAUUUUGUUACUUCCAACGUGAGGAACCGGUACUAACACCUAUCACACUGCCUAUUAAGAUCGUACGAAACAAACUUAAUACAUUAAUCUUUUCAUAUUUACAAGCAGUAAUUGCAAGGAUGUUAGCAACUGAGGUAUUCACAAAACAAGUUAUCUGCUGUGAUCUGCAAUCAUCUGCAACUGGAUUCUCAAGACUGUCGAUAUCCAGUCAAGUCAAAAGUCAGAGUUCUUGAACAGCUGCAGAAAAAGAAAAGGCAAAAAAGAAAAAUUCACACAAAUCAAACUUAUGACAGCAAACCACAACACAGUAAAACUGCAGCAGUAAACCAAUUAAGGUAUUACCCGAAGAAAAUGCAAAAUGAAAAAGCUCACCUUCUCUCCGAAUCCCUGUAAACCCCAACCAAAGCUUCAGCCUUGUCAUAGAAGCUAUCCUUCAAGGAUAUAACAAUACUCUGAAAACCACUGCCACCAUCAGCAUUCUGAUUACUCCGGACUCCUUCACAUGAUUUUGAGCGAAUGAAUCCGGCAACCUUUGCAACAUUUAGAUUAUCUAAUGCAGCAUCGACUUCAUCCAAUAUGAAAAAUGGCGACGGCCUAUAGCUGAAAUCACUCAAAAGAUGAGGCAAUUAAUGCAAAUCAUAAAUGCUAUCCCACUUUAUCAUAAAACAUGCAAUACAUAAGGAAGUAAUUUAUCAACUGAAACAUACAUUUUAGAUGAGGAAAAACCAUUAAGUUUAGAGUAGAAGACAACCAGUAUGGCGAGUGAAAGCAAGGCAAGCAUCAAGGAUCUCGCAUCACCGACAACUUAUCAAAUUAAGUUGGCACAUAUAUAGGCCUCAACUUAUCCAUAUGAUGGAGGGGUCCAGUAAUGUUAAGCAUAGGAGCUUGAUAUUAAUAAUUCACAUCGUAUUAUUUGGGCCAAUAAAGGCUUUCGUUCAGAGAGGAUUGUUGCUUGAUUUGAAUUGCAGGAGAGUUUAUUGUGUUGUGCAAACAUAUGCAAGUUAAACCCCCAUCAGUCCUAGAUAUCGAGUAUCUAAGGCUGUGUACAUCUUGCACAUUAAACUCCUAGGGCAUUAAUGCGGUCCCCACAAAGUCUUCACUUGAACCUUGUCACACAAAAUUACAUAAUAGACCAAGCAACAAUUCUCCCAACCAACCGCAUAACCACAUACAAAGAGGGAUGUAAAAGUACACAGAGUUUUGACAAGCAGUUGAUCUACCUAUCAGGACAUACCUGUGAAUAGAAAAGAGCAAAGCCAGUGCUGCAACAGUCUUCUCCCCGCCAGACAGCUGUUCCAUAUCACGGAAACGCUUAGUUGGUGGCAUAGCAGUGUAUUUGAUGCCAUGUAAGAAAGGGUCAUCCUCGUUAUCUAGAUUCAGAUAUGCCGUCCCACCAAGUGGGUGUGUGUUACUCUUUGUUAGUUGUUUAUAAAUUUUGUCAAUAUUGUUUGAUAUGUGGUUAAAAGCUUCCAUAAACAACUCGUAUCUGUAUAAACAAAAUUGAAGACAGGUAUUAAUGCAAAAACAACAUAAUCAAUUGCUUUUAUUAUAUUUCAGCUCGCAAGAAAAUGAUCUAAGACAGAUGUGCACAAACAGUCAGAUGCAGUGGCAAACAGAAGAAUAUCAAUAUCGACAAUAGAAAAUGAUCAACCCAUGUAAAUAAAGAGCCAUUUCACAAAGAGCAGCACCAUCAGCCCAAAUGGCUGUUCAGCAAGGAUGAUUCCUGGAAGCUAUUUUAAUUAACUACCUACUUCAAUCAUAUAAAAUAAAAUGGAAGUGCACCUGGCAAAAGGAAAUUGGUGCUACAGUCCUCAUUGUAUUCCAUUCCUUUUAGAGAAUAUUCUCAUUAGAAAAUUCUAUACUGCCCUAACAUCUUUAUCUGAGGAGCCGGUUAAUUAUUAUGAAUAAACAGCUACUAUACAACAAAAUUUAAUUAUCACCUUCUCUGUUUAACUGAAUUGUAAGCAUCAGCUACUCGCUUCUCCUCUUUUCUGGCUGCUUCAAACUCUUCAGUUACUACUCUUUCCUUCUCUUGCAAAGCUUCAUACUGGUCCAGAGCCUUCAAGUUUGGAGCAGUUUUUUCAAUUUCUGACAUAAUGGCAUCCAUUUUUUGCUUAAAAUCCACCUCAAGUUUUUCCCUAUCAGAAGGUCUCCUAUCCUGAAGAAGGGAUCUAUUCAGCUCGCUAAAAUCAAAAAAUGGGCCUGGGAUCAUGGAGUCAACUUCCAUAGGAUCUGAAAUAGUGGGAAGGUUAAUAUGCUCUAAUUCACACUUCUCUACUAUAUCCUGCUUCCGAGACAAUAGCUGCUCAAUCUGUCCCUCCUGUGAAAACAGGGAAAAAAGACAUCAGUAGCAGUACAAUAGGGUACAUUCCUUGCCACUCUAUAGAAUCUUGGAGGAAGAAAGCAACCCUUGUAGCACCUUAGAGUUUAUCUGACGGUUGAGCUUGGAUAUGCUUGUUGUAGCUGCAGAACCCUGCUUCCUCCAUUCAAGCAUCUCUUUCUCACACUCUUCUGCCUUGGAUUUCCAAUCUGUAGGACGAAAACAGAAAAAUUAAAAACACAAUACAUGAAAUUAUCUACUGAAAGAAGGAAAAUAGAAAGACGAAGAAUUUUGGGGCAUCUUCAGAAGCCAGUUUGAAAUCCCAUUCUCUCACGAAACUAGAAAUUAAUUUCAGGUAAUUUUCAUUUAACAAUUCCUCAAUUUUGGACCACACUGGAAACACGAAUUACUCGAUAACAUGACUAAUAAAUUUAGGCCUCAAGAAAACAUCAAAGAGCAAGGACUACAGAGUUCUUGAGAGAAUAAUAUGAUAGGCAUUUACCAUUUACUAUUCCUUGUGUUAGUCUAAAAGUAAACUGAAGUAAAUCUAGCACAAUUCCAAAAGAGUUAGAACUGCCUACGUCAUUUCUUCAUUCUCUUCUCAAUUUGUUGUCCACCUACCUAAAAGUAAACUCAAGACCUGGCUUCUUGCUUCUAUAUGAAAUAUGAAGAGUCAAACCAUACCUCUCACUUCUUCCUUCCACUUAUCCAUAUCACCAGUAGCUUUCUCUGUUGCUAACUUGACUUCAGCUUCUUUUUUCUGAAUUUGUUUUAGUUCGUUUUCUAAAGAACUGAUAGACGUUUCCAAUUUCUUAAUUCUUGAUUCCAUGUCUCGCUUUUGCUCAUACUCCAACCUGAAAAGAAAAGGAAAGAGGUGAUAAAGGACCAUUACAUACAAAACAAAUGGCAAAGCAGUGUGAUAUUUAGCAUGAAGAGGCUCUCUUCAAGUUCCAGAAAUACAACAAGGCUAAUGUCAAACAAAUCGAGAUGGAAUAAUGGAUCAAGUAGUCAGCAUCAUAGCACCAAUACCACAGAAAAAUAAAAGGUCUGGAGGACUGCCUUGUCCUUAUCUUAGCCUCUACAUUCAGUCAAACACAAAAUCUAGAGAAUAUUCAUGUAAUUUAUUGGUAAAAUAUGGCAUGAGAAUAAGAGUAACAGUGUAACUUCUCCACUUCAUAAGCAUCAGAAAAUUAAGACUUGAACAAGAGAAAAAUUUAACUUUUCCUCUCCGGUUUUACUUAUUCCUUCCAUUGAUACAAAACAUAUGGCUGUCUCAACCAUAUUUUUCAUACACGGACAGAGACAUGUAAAUGAAAAAUAUGGUCUCUAAGCAACAGAAAAUUAAGACUUCCUUAAGAGAAAAAUUUAAGUUUUCCACUCCAGUGCUCCCCCAUCCCUUUGACAUGUUGCUACUGGCUUAGAUAUUGUGAAAUUACCUGUCCCAGUCCAAUUAAUAUUUUAUAUAUGAUUGGAUGCUGUUUAUAAUUCUAAAAUGGCUCUCCUGGUCCAAGCAUUUUCAGUUUGCUCCAGUUAAUAAAAGAAUUCAAAGGACAAGCCCGUAAAGACAUAACUUUAUCUGAAUACUUCCGUAGCACAUAGAUAGUACUCGGAUGCAAAUCCUGGUGGUAGCUUAAAGCUUAAAUCAUAUAGCAAGGAAAGUGCAAAAUUAUAAGCUCAUUGAUAAUCUUAAGUUUUUUUCCUGAUGACCAAAAAAUCAGCGAUUUUUGUUUAGCAAGAAACAGACCAUUGACUCUUUGCACAAAAGUAUCAUUAGAAUAACCACACAUACNNNNNNNNNNNNNNNNNNNNNNNNNNNNNNNNNNNNNNNNNNNNNNNNNNNNNNNNNNNNNNNNNNNNNNNNNNNNNNNNCUGGGAACCUGCAGCCUCUUCAAAACACAAAUACAGACAAAAUAAGGCUACAAGAAAGAGAAACGUACUGGUACUUCAACUUUGCCAGCUGAUUACUUAUGUUAAGUCUUUCUUCCGCAACAUGUUGGGCAGCCUUAAGAUGGUUUUCUUCAUACUCACGGAUAUUUGUUACCCCAACAACCUUACCAAAAUCUUUGUAAAUUCGAUCAAUAAUCUCAUUGAUUCUCUUCUCCAACUUUCUGAUUUCAGUGGCCCUUUUAUCAAUACCAUCCUUUAGCUGCAGAUGGUAAAAAGUAUGAAAUGUAGUUGUUUCAGCAGAUAUUUGCAUAACAUGGUAGUUGACAGGCAGUCAUAACUCAUGACCUUUCAUUACCUUAAGCAGUUCAGGUUUUAUACGAUCAGUUUCCUCUUUAAUAAUCUGCUUUUCCCUUUUCAAGGUUUCAAGUUUGUCCUUGAUACUUCUCUGCGACAAAAUCAUCAGAAGCAGAGUUAAUUAAUGGAAAAAGAGUAAUAAGCCAAAAAUAAACAUGUUCAACAUCAUCUGCAUAAGCAAAUUAUCAUAUCCCCAUCCAGGCCAUUUGGGACACAACAGAUUUCCCUUAUGGUUUUUGGUUUAAGCAAAAGAGGGGGGAGGAUGUAAAAGGGGGGGAUGGAUGCUCAAUUCUCCUUGUUUGAUUAGAAGGGACAAUAAUAAAAGAUCUAUAAAAAGAAAAACAAAGCAAUUCCAAUUCACCUGCCUGGUCCCAAACUGGACAACUCGGGACAAGCAAAAUAAGCAAAAGAAAAAUUGUCAGGACAAAAAUUUUACAUAAUUUUCUUACCAUUAGCAAAUUCACACCACAUUUUUAAAAUUCAAAUUUCAAAGAAGUAGGGUACAAUAGCAAGUUUGAUAAUGAUGAUAUAUUGUUCCUUUAUUAUCUCAUUCCAGCCAAACCACGAUGGAUAUUAAAAAAAAAAGGGAAGAAAAUUAUUUAUCUCUCUUCAAACCAGACAAAUCAAGAAUAGUAAAAAUCAAUUCUUUUGAUCUACCUUCCUCCCCAUCUACUUGCUUCCAUACUUCCUUUUCUCCAUCCUCCCGACCAAACACAUCAUUGAUUCUUAUCUUUCCUGUCUAUCUCUUGUAUCAAUAACUUUCUUUAUACCAAGUACUAACCCAACACCUUCAACAAGAACCAUGUCCACCGCUUUCUGACAUAUAUAGCAACAUAACUGUGGCAGACAGCGGGAGAGAAGAUUCUGUCUAUCCACCACUAGUAUCUUAAAUUUUCUCCGAAGCAUUGUUUUUCAGACUUGCUCAGAAUUCAAAUUAGAGCACACAAAAGGCAAAUAAUACAAUCAAACCAACUAGUCCAUAUUUUCAAAACCAAUUUAAACACCCCAGCAGAAUGAGGCUGUUAGAUAUGUAGAAAGGAAGGUAAUCCCAAUAGAAGAGUACCUACCUUUUCAAUCUCUGCAUACUGAAUCUUCUUUUCAAGUCCACUAAUUUUCCCAGAUGCUUCAGAUUCUUUUAACUUCAUCUCUCUAUCUGAUCCAAGCUCUUCCAACUCUUUCUCGAGCUGCUCUUUCUUCUUCUUUAGCUCUACAGAGCACUAAAUGUUAGUGUUUUCAGCAGUGUGACUAAGAGAAAGAAAUCAAGAAGGGGUGUGUUGCUGAGUUUACUUGCAAUAGAUUCUUUAAUUUUAUCAUUAUCCCACUGUUUUGACCUUGCUUCCAUUCCACCACUGGUACCACCAGUCAUUGUUCCGGACUUUGUGAGUAGGAUCCCAUCAACAGUUACAACUAAUGCAAAUGUUUUUAAGAGAAUAAGUACUUAAAAAAUUACAAGAUAAUUUGAAAGAUCCAACCAACAUUAACUGAAAAGGGAAUUAAUUACCUUUAAACCUUUCUCCACUCCAGCUAAGAACCUUGGCUUCAUCUAGGUCAUCACAUACUAAAGUAUUUCCAACAGCAAAGAGAAUUGCCUUCUCAAGAACAGGAUCAAAUGUGCAAUAGUUAAGUCUACAAAUUUAUAAUAUUGAUGCCCUUUGCUUCCUCUCUCAGUUUACUUGAUACUAAAAUCAAGACAAUUACUUUUGAGAUUUCUGUUUAAUAGUAAAUUAUUUUUCUUAGCUUGUAACGAAUAAAAAAGACAAAACAGAUGGAAGCAAAACAUAUUAAAAACACAACAGGAAAACAUAAUACACAUAAAGAGCAGCAGAUAAGAGAAAUCUACUUGCCAAUUCUACUGUGACUGGACGUGUGUACAGCAACAAAAGCAGAUUGAUAUUUGGCAGUGCAAGAGUUAAUGCAGAGGAGAUAAUAUGGAAGCCAAUUAAGUGAAAAUUUGUUCUUAGCUUCAUCACUCGCAAUAUACUAGAUAUACAACAAAGCAGGAACAUGGUAGCUGGAUCUGGGGAACAAGAAGUCCAUAAUGGAUGUGAAAUCAAACUAAAACAACAGAGGAACCAAACAAUAAGAAACAUAGGAAACAAAACAUAUGCAAAAUAUUCCAAAUUCCACUAAAGCGAACACUAAUUUGAAUCAUUUUUUUGUCAGAAUAACCAAAUAAUGUAAAGGAUAUUGGAUGACAUCAAAGACCAACUUAGCAGUACCACCUAAGGUACGCAACCUUUCAAUGAUUGGCUUUACACGAACUGAUUGAAGAGGUAUGAAAGUUUGAGGAGGAAGCCUUUUCUCUUUCAGAUACUGCAGAAAACAAAAUUGGAAUAAUACCUUCAGCGGAACUGUAUUUUAACAUAAACUGAUUAACUAUGUUAGUAAUCAAGAAAUUAAAGUUAGAUAUUAACUAAUGAUACAAUAGUAAGGCUAUAAUCGACAAUACAUAGAUUUACAUAACUUAAGUUAGACAACAAUGUUAAAACAUGAGCAGUUACUUAACAGGUCAAAACAAAUACUACCUUAAUGCACUCUUUUCCUGUAUAUUCAUCUUCAACCACUACUGCAUCCAUAAAUCUACCCAUAGCUACAGUAACAGCAAGAUUGUACUUCUUCUGAGUUGGCCUACAAAGAUCAGUCAUUCGUCCAUGAACUCCUUGGAAUAGGCGCUUGAGAUCCUCAACAGCUUGAGACAACCUAGCAUCCCUCUCAUUCUCAUAUUUAUCAGCUUUCACUUCUCGCAACUGGAUUUCCACUUCACCAAUUCUAGACUUCAAAUUUUCACAUUUAAUCCUGACAAUGGUCAAUAGAAUGUCAUUUUUUACUUUUAUAUAUUACAGGAUUUCAUAAAAUACACCUAACUAAACUAAUGCUAACCAAAUGUUACAAAAACACAAGUUUAUAAACCUGAGAUAGAACAUAAAUGAAGAUUAGAUGAACUUUUCGAAAAUUAACAAAUAACUUAAAUACCUGGAAUCACGGUGUUUAUCAUGCAUCUCUCUUGAAUCCUUUUUCAAAUCAGCCAAUUCCUUCUUAUUCUUUGUGGAAGUUUCCUGAAUCUUUUCUUGUCUUGCUCGCAUUUGUGCCUCCUGUGCGUUUAGUUCAGACUCCCUAUUUUUCAACUGUUGAAGGUUUUCUUCUAAAUUCUUUUGAGCUUCCAUAUCAGCAUGUUGUUGCCUGUCCAGAACCUCCUUUUCUUCCCUUAGCUUGAUAGUUUUCAUCCCAGCAUCCUCCUUACUGUAGUGUUAGCAUUCUAAUAAUCAAGAAGGCUAUAGGAAAACAAUGUUUGGAAUACCAAAGUUGAGAGGACAGGAAGAAGCCUUAAAUAUUGGAUGUCCUUCUAUUUAGUCUGGAUUUUAAUGCUCUAUUAAGUUAUAUAAUGCAGCAUAGCUUACUGAUGAGAUACAAAUACCAGAACCAUCAUAUUAUUUUGCUAAAUGACGACAGUAUGGACGCAGAUAGUGAGAUUAACUGCGCAUAGAAUAAAAGUACAAGAGUAUGAUUCAUUAGAGUUAAUAUGUGGUCCUCCGAAGCUCAAUAAAUAUAUUACAUAGCCUAAAUCUUUCAACUGGAUCUAAAUACCGACAAAAUUCACUCUAGUUAAAGAAUAACUACCUCCUAUUUAGUUACUGAUUUACCCAAGUUAAUAACUAGUUAUAUACAUAGUUAAACUUUAUACACAAGGGAUUAACUACAGUGAUCUUUUCCAAAUCCUUCUACUCAGAUUUAAGAAAGAACAAUUGAAGCUUUAAAAUUUUAUGACAGUACACAUGCAAGUGAAGAGUUAAACACAUUAGAAACUUACAUUCGAAAAUAUUCAGUUAAUUGACCAUCAGCCAAGGGGAGUUUGUCACUAGUAUCUCGACUUUUUUCAUGCAGAUCUUCUAGCUUUGCAGUCAGAUCUAGUAUCCCCUUCUGCAGCUCAUCUAUCUCAUCAGCAUGUUUCCUCCGUUCUUCUCUUUUUUUAUCAAGCUCCUUACGGCUACUCUUGAUUUUUGAAUUUAUACGAGUCAUUGCCUCAUUUAAUUUCAGAAGCUCUGGUUGCUAGAACAGCAGGACAACAAAAUAAAUAGAACAUAAACUAUUGAAACCAAAAAUUAUCAAUUAAUGAAAAUAGAUAAUCACGAUCCACAAUUUUCCAAGAACCUAUGAUACCCACAUGAAAACCCAAAAAAAAAUUCACAAAUACAUUGAAAUUCAUUAACAUACAGAUUCAGACACAUGUGUUCAACAUAUCUAUACAUAUUGCAUAACCUGCAAUGAUUAAACCAUUUACCAUGCAAUACCAUAUGCAACUUUUUAAAUGAAAUAUCCAUGCAUGAAGAAACAAUAGUAGAAGUGCCAGGAGCUUCCUUCAAAAGUCGUAAACAAACAUUCCUAUUAACAGCAGAAAGCGCCCAAGAAAAAUUUGCCAAGUAACAGUUACAUAAAUGAUGCUCCUAAUUUCUUACUAUUCAAAGUCUCUCCAAAUAGAAGAUACCAUUUCAUCAAAACAUCCUAACACUCUUUCUUAUGGAGUAGCAGUCAUUACUACAUCAGUUCAGAAUCCGAAAAUAAAUGAACCUACACAUUUUUCAUUUAUUAAAAAAAAAGAUGGUUUGCUUCAUUGUUAAUAAAAAUUCAGCUCAGUGAUGCUAUGACCCAUUCCCAUUUCGAUCAAGCUACAUAAAUCUCCACCAUUCUACCCUACUAAAGAUCAUAUUCUCUAUUAGAACUUGGACCGACCACAUUUUUACAUGUGCAUGCACAUGCCCAAAGCCUACCUAAGAUCGUUUCUAUGUCAUACCAGGAAAAACCAUUUAAAACAAUAACUGUUAAAACAACAAAAUGCCAGAAGAACUCACAUUCUUGUCAAGUUUUGAACUUCUCUCUGCAAUCUUCCUUUCACAUUGAGCAAUCUCUUUCAGGUACUUGGCUAGUUCUUUUUUCUUCUUAUUUUCUUCUAUGUUAAACUUCUCUAAUUCUUGCAUGACACCUUCACGAUUUCUCUUUUCAGUUUCAAGGUCAUCAUUGAUCUUGUUUAUGUCUUUGUCUAUGAUAAACAAUUGCCAUAAGAAGUGUUCUUUUUUCAGAGCUUUCUGCAGAACAAAAAUGAAAACAAAGAUAAGAAAGCAAUUACUUCCAUGAAAAAACAUAUAAGCUAUUAAGGAAAUACUUGGUCACAUCUCAGCAUCUGAGCAGAAAAGACAUGAAAUGAUAAUCUGCACAGUAAUGUACAGUCAAUACCAGUUGAUCUUGCAAGCGAAGAUGUUUUUCUGCUUCUUCCUUUUGCUCUUUCUUUUGUUUCCUCUCCAUAACUACUGUUCUUUUUUUCUGAUAAACAAGAGCAGAGUUUUCUUCAGCACGGGCCUUCCUUUCUUCCAGAUCCUCGUAUUCUCUCUUGAGAUCCUCAGACCCAGAAAUCUGCUCAAGCAAUGCAGUCAAUUCUUUUGGGUUUUUAGAGGCAAUAGAUUCCACAUCACCCUACAUAAGAAACCAAAUGUUGUCAUUCAUAAGCUCCAACUCUAGAAUACUUAACUAUAGUAGCCACAAUACUUGAUAAGUAAACAAUCUCCGGUGUUUCUUUCAAUCAAGUCAAUAACUUACCAUAUAAAGUUUCUAUGGACAGGUUCCUUCAAUCCAAAUUAUAACACCAAGCUAACCAACUCUUCCAUUAGAUGAUAUAGAAAAAAGGGCAGCGAUAUAGAACCCAACCACAAGAUGAUGAACAUAGGCAACAGUAACAUAUAUGCUAAAAGGCAACCAAAAGCUCAAUGUGCAAAACUCCAAAAAGAAUUUGCUCAUCAAACUCUCCAAAUAAACAACAAAAAAAGCUUGUUUGAAUAAAUCAGAUGCAAUAAUUUGAAUAGCAUUCUAACCAAAUAUUGUUGGCGUGAUGUCAAUUCUUUCAAAAUCCCUCAUUUGUUUAACUUUGAUUGCAUUUUAGAGUUUCCAAACACUAAAUAACAAUAAAAACAAACACCUAUAAAAUUGCUUAAACUAAAUGGAAUUAAAUCCACAUAGAGUGAACAUUUAAAUCAUAUAAUAUGAAUUAAUUAACACAAAAAUACUCCAAAAAUAUAUAACAGCACAACUAAAAGUAUUUUAGAUUAAAUUAAAAAAAAAAAAAAAGAACAAUAAAAAAGUUAAAAGUUCACCUGAAAGACCAAAAAAUUCCUAGCCUUAACAAGAAUACCCAAAGACCUUAGUCUUCCAUUAUACUCAUCCCAAUUAACAACCUUGCCAUCAAUCCGAUACUCACUGCUUCCUGAACUCGUAAUAGUCCGGGUAAAAUGAAGCUCCGACCCGCUUGCUAGCAAAUAAACCAACCGUACAUAAGCUCUACGACCUUUCUGCUCCUUUUCACGAUCAUCAUAUGCGUAAAUUAGAUCCUUAAGCUGGGCCCCACGCAAUUGACCUGUACGGACACCAAGUACGAAGCUAAUUGCGUCCAUUAAGUUUGAUUUCCCAGCUCCAUUUGGUCCAAUUAUUGCCGUGAAGUCUUUAAACGGGCCGAUUGUUUGUUGUCCUUUAUACGAUUUGAAGUUCUCUAUUUCUAAUUUGAGAAUUUUACCUGUUGAUAUCAUUGACGGCAUCGUUUUUUUUGGUUCUUUUGAAGUGACGGGAACUUAGAAUUAGGGUUUUUAUCGAGUGAAAAUUCAAAGAAGAAGAAGAAGAAGAAGAUGGAGUUAGGGUUUCAUGGAUUUUUUUUUCGUUUUAGGGGGUUAGGGUUUUGAUUUGUUGAAGAAUUGGCGGGAGAGAUUUUUCUUAUUUUCUUUUUUUUUUUAUCUUUAGGAAUUUUUUGAGAGUUCAAGGGAAGUGUUGCAUAGUAAGAGCAUCACCAGUAGACACUCGUAGCACACGAAAUGAAAUGGAGAUUCUUUUUGUUCUUUUACGAUUAUGCCCCUUUUUUUCAAAUUGUUGCUGCUGGUCAGCCUGUUUUGGAGAAGGGUAAAACGGAAAUAAGUUUUUAAUUGGGUUGGUUAGAAGAAAAAACCCUCCAAUUUUGUGUGACCCCACGUAGAGUAAUAAAUCCAGAUUAACUUUUUCCAUUGUAGCUUUUAUGAUCCGACCUUUUUCUUUAACAGAUAAAAUUGAUCCUGUAACAAUUUGGAGCAGAGCAAGAACCAAGAACUAACCACUAUUGCAGAAGGAAACUGAUGCGUGUGCCACCAUCAGGGUCUAAACCAAACAAAUAACUCAUUUGCUAAAAAGGAAAACCUCAGUUACAGAAGGCUCAAUCUAAUUACAAUAGCCUAAUUAUUAAGUUAACAAAUACACUGCAAGAAGGGAAACACAGAUCGGUGUGAGAAAUCAGGGACUAAGAGAUGUAUUAAUUUUGCAUAUAGCAUAAACCUGCAUUCAGACCCUCCAGAUCCCGAUUUUUCAAACACUAACUGCUGCUGCUGCUAGGUUCAUUGCUGCUCUCUUUUUGGGGAUCUGCUGUCUUGGUUUCAUUUUUAUUAUGUCCAGCCUGCACAGGCAAAUUAUCCUCCUCGGUGUCUUCAGAACUCUCAGGGAGUUGCUCUUCACAUUUUAGACCAGCUUCCAGUUCCUUGGUGUUAUCAGAACUCUCAGGGAGCUUCUCUCCAGAUUUUAGACCAGCUUCUAGCUUCUCAUAUUGGGAGAUGACUUGUUGAAGCUCAUCGUUGAUAGCAAGUGCCUCAAAUAGCACUGCCUCGUCAUCUGUGGUGCUCUGUAUGAUCCUCUGUAUGACAGGCUGUGAUUGCUUGCAAUUCUCCAAUAAGCUCACUGUCAGAUCCUCCUGCAACCACACAAAAUAUUCAUAGUUUCAGUCACUUAUCCUUGUGCAUUUCUGUUCAUCUCUCUUUAUCUAGCCUAAAUGAAGGCUCUACCUAUGAUGCAGAUGAAAAAUCAUAAACAGUGAGAUCCCAAGGAACAGAACUCCUCCUCAGUUAUAAAUGACCAUUUAUUCCGAUUCAAAUACAGAAAGGCAACUCUUAAAUUUCUUUUACUAUCUAAAAUUUUGAUGUGAAAUCUGAUCCCUAUUCCCUCACUCACAGCAGUACAUGUUAAAAUAGAGCCUGCUUAGCCUAAGAAUGACAGGUACAGAACUAAAAAUACAAAUGUUUUAUCAUAAAACAUCAGUUACCGAUAGACAAAAGGAGCUGCAUAUCUUGGUUUCUCAUAGCAAAAUCACUUACCUGCACAUUUGCUGGAACUUACUAACAAUUUUUGAAUAAAAAGGUUCUGAAUUUAGGCAUAUCAAAGUAAUUGAACCAUAAACUCGUGUAAAUUGUAAAGAAAAUUUUUUAAAAAAAAAAAACUUCACAGAAUGCUAUAAACUAUUCAAAGUAGUGAUUAAAAAAGAUGAUCUAUAAACUAAAGGCAAUGUUUCAUUGUAGAAUACCAAGAAAAUAAGUUACCUUUAUGGGUUUUGGUUCAGUAUCAGAAUUUAGAAUACUAGAGAGAAGUUCAAGGCUGUUCCGGAUUGUCGCGAGAUAUUCAUUCUUUCCUUCAACUGAUAAGCUCCCACUAUUAAAUCUCGAAGUAGUAUGGUUUUGAACAUCAAAUUCUGUUUGAGGAAUAGGAUAUCUUUCUGGGUGAGACAGUGGUUGCUGAUGAAUAUAUGACUCCAGAGUAUAUUGCAUGGGAGGUGAAUCCCCAGCUUCUCCUGGUGGAGGCAAAUUUCUUCCUUGCAAACUCUGCCAAGACGAAGAUACAAGAUUGAUUUAAAAGGAGGCAACUAAUUAAGGAAUCAAUACCUCCAAAAACUUAUAAAACAGACUUGCUGUCAGUGCCUUAUUAACAAAUAUGUUGUAGUGAACAGAUCUAAAGGGAUAAAAGAGUAUAUGUUAGCCAAUGGAAAUCCAAGCAUUAAAAAAGACCAGAGCAGACACAAUACUAUUUUUAACACGAUUCCAUCCUCUAACAUUAUUCCCCAAGGGGUAAGCAUCCAAGUUUGCUAUUUAUAGUGGCUUGAGAAUGGACUGAUGUAUCACGUACUGAGAAAGGAUCCAAUUAGGUGCUUGUUUGAGACCCUUUUUUCUGUUAAAAAGCAUGCUUAGUUGAGUGAUGCAGUUUGGAAACCAAGCUGGAAGUUUUAUGCCUAUAACCUGUACAUAUAAGAAAGAAAUAGUUUUUCAAGAAGUUUGAGCAAAGAUCACAUUCCUACAGUUGGAGAUUCUUAAAUCGAUACCAUUCUGAUUGUGCAGCAUGAAAUGAAUCUGCAGUUCCAUCCAAUAUGCAAACAGCUCAUGUUUUUCAUGCAUAGGUCCAAGUUAAAAUGCAGGCUUAUAAACUAUUCAAGUUAAGAAUCAAAUGUGUAUGCAAAAUUAAUCACAACAAAAAAAAUCCAUGAUCAAUUAAUAAAUCAUUUAAAUUACAUAAUUUAUGGCAUACAAAAAGCACAUUUCAGUGCAAUGUCAACAGCAAUAUAAAAAGAGGACUCACCAUAUAAGUUUGUCGAAACACUGGCAGAUACUCAAGAUCCUCAGACUGUCCCCAAGCCCUAAUCAACUGCAAAGCUCUAUCUCUAUUCCCCUGAUCCGCUUGUGGAUUUGCAAUCAUCUUAACCAUCUCAUCCAAAACCUUCUCAACUGCAACUUCAGAAAACACCUUCUCACAAUUCAUACUACAAGUCUCCAACAAAUCAAGACUCAACCUUUGACUGACUGAAUUUUUGCCAGAAAUCUUUCUUUUUAUAGCUCUAACAAUCUCGGUCCCGCUAAACUCUUCACUAUUAAUCAUUGCACAUAUCCUCAAAUUCAUACCCCAAUUUGGUUCCUCCAGCAUCUCUGAUGUUGCCUCAUCAACUAUCCUUGAUUCAGGUGUUGGAGUUUGCAGCAUUUCCUUCACCUUAUCGCUUACCAUUCGACUCAUCUGUGCCCCGCCUGUCUUCAACCGUUCGCCCCAUUGAGAUAUUUUCAAUUUGUCCAUACUUCUUUAUUAUGUCAAACACACAACCUUCAAGGAGUAUUGAUAGACACUAAUUCAAAUACAGCUUUCAACAAUUGGAAUUACUGAAAUUACAUAACAAAUAUUACUACAGCAUCAACAAAUGAAAGAAUUUGAUUCUGUUCUAUUCUAUUUAAUCAAUUAUUGUGUUUGGGAAGCUCAUACUUGCUGAUAUUCAAUCCCCUCAACAUAAGAAAUACACACACACACACACACAUAAACCCUUGGAAAGAAAUGAAAUCAUGUAAAAACUGACAUGGUUUUGCAAGAUUCAUUUAAAUUUUUGCACAUGCUUUCUGCCAAACAGUAACGUAACUGAAUACUAAUUUUCAGCUUACAUUUCACCAUAAAAAGACAAAGCGAAAACUAAUGAACAGGAUCUAACCUAAAGAAGCGAUACUAUUAUACAAUCUGAAUCACGAUUUUGAUAAACAAAAGGAAAUCAAACAAACCUGAGCUUAGCUAAUUGUCAGUAGCAGAACUGUAUUGCAGUUUAGAAAUUUCUGGAGCGUAAUAAGGAGGGUUCUUUGUAAAAAAAGAAAAAUAAAUAAAUAACGGAGGUUUCAGUUGUCAGAUUUAGCCGGAGGGAGGGAAGAGAGAGAGAGAGUGGGAAUAGUCAAAGUCUGAAGUACGCGUGGCUGGAUUACCGGCCACGUAGCAUAAAGCGGAUCCCACUUCUACUCCACUGUCAAGUGUCAAUUCUUCCUUACCCAAAGAUAAUAAUAUUAUAAUACUAUUAGAGAGGUGCACUUCUCUAAGAGAUCAAUGCCUUUGGCAUAAGAUAAUUUAAAAUAAAAAAUAGCUUUAUUUAAAUAUAUUUAGAAAAAUCAAAAUAAACUAAAUGGAUCUGUAGAUAAUUUAUUUUUAAGAAAUUAUAUUCAAUUUUUCUAAUUAUAGAUUGUCAUGGUGUAAAAAUACUUUAAAACAAGCAAAUAUAAUUAUCAAAUAAUUAUAAAAUUAAUUAAAAUAAGUAAUUUAAUUUAUUUAAUUAUUUUAUAUUUUAAAUAUAAACAACUCACUUAAAGUAAAUUAACUUAUUUUUAAACACCAAAAUCCGACCAAAUCAAAUUAACUCGAUCUUAGUAUAAAGUUAAUUAUUUAAGCUGAAAAAUAUUUGACCUAGUUUAACAGCAAUUAUAAAAUAAUUUAUGAUUUAAGUAUAAUAUAAUUAUUAAGUAUUUAAUUUGGACCAAACAUAAUAGUUAUGUGUUUCAAAAAAUUCACUGUGGAUUAAUCUUUUUUCAAUGAAUGUACUUUUGAAAGAGAUAGUGUUAAAUGAUUAAAAUAAUAAAAUUCUAUAAUUGAAACACAGAGUAAAAAUUUUAGUAAAUUUUGAACUAAAAAUAUGAUCAAUUAAAUUAAAAAUGGCAAUGAAGCAGGUUUGGCCUUUUCCAUCUCUAUCCCAUUAAGAAUCGGAACCGCUACAUGUACAUUUUUUUUAAGUGGAAUCAUAUCGGAUUCGAUUAAUAUUUGCUAUAUCUUUUAUAUAUUUUUAUGCUAAAAAUAUAUUUUUAUUAAUUUUUAAAAUUUAUUUAUUUAAUAUUUUAACUAUUAUUAAAUAUAAUUUAAAAAAUAAAGUCUAAAUAUAAAUAAUAUUUAAUAUGUUCUUAUAAAAUUAUAUUUAUUUAUUUAUAUUUUAUAAAUAAAAUAUAUAUUUAGUAUAGUUUGAAGCGGAAAUGGGACAGAGUAGUUUAAACUAGUUCCCGUUCCGUUAAAUAAGUAUUUCUAAUCCUGUUUAAAUUGGAUUGGAUUAUGAAUUUAUCAACGAAUACAAGACAGAUUGUCAUUUCUAGCCAAAUCAUUUUUAUUGAUUAAAAGUAUGAACAAUUUUGAAGAUAAUUAACCUAAAAUGUGUUGGCACCAUAACUAUUUUUAAGUCCAAGUCUAAUAUAAAUGGCAACAAAACUUCAGUCCAUUAAAGAGCUUAUUAUUUUAAUUAAUUAAUUAAUUAUAAGAGUACAAAAAUGAACGCAGUGACAAUAAAAGAGAAGCAUGGAUAUCAAGUGCUAAAAAGAAGGGCAUGUCCCUAAAAAAAUUGAAAACUCUGAGAGCUCUAUAAAUACAAAAGAAAAUCGAAAGGGAAAAGAGAUCAAGAAACAAGCAACAUCAAUAUUUAUCAACAACAACCGACAAUAAUCAAAGACUACUCAACACAUUUUUUCAAUAAAUAUAUUUUUUAAAGUUUUAGUUUAUAAUAAACUGCUAUCAAUUUUUAUUUCUUUGUAUUUAUUUAUUCAUGAUUUAUUCAAAAAUUAGCAGUUCAAUACAUUUUUUAGUAAAUUAAUUAUAAUUUUCUCGGCUUUUAUAUUUGUGGAGUGUUUUGAGAAUCUAAGUAAAUUGUCAAGCCUUAAGAGAGCUUAGAAAUUUACAAGAUUUGAUUAGAACGUUAUUGAUUUAAAAUAGUUAGAGCUUUGUCAUUUAUUUCGAAAUAACGUAUAUACAAUAUGUAUAAAUUAGUUUGAAAAAUAAAAUAUACUCAAAGAAAACAAUAAAACAUAUUAUUACUAUAGUGAUAAUUCAUUAGGAAAAAGGAAGUGUUUUGUCUUUAGAUUUUUGGUUGAUAACAAUUUAAUUAUUUUUUUUCAUAUCAGUCAUCAUUAUUAUAUUAUUUAUAUUUAAUUAUGUGGGUUUAGAGUUAAAUAAUUUAUAAUAUUAUUAUUUGAACGUCAAAUCACGAUAAAAGUUGCUAAUUCGAUAAGGUUUAACAUCUAAACAACGAUGUUAAAAGUUAUUUUCGGAUAAUGAUCAAAAUAAUAUUACGACUGAUUAGACAAAUAAUGAUAUGGGAUUUUGCAAGCUAAAGACUUUAAAUGAAAAAAAUACUUUGUUUUACGAAUUAAUUAUCACUAUAUAUAUUUUUGAGUUUAAAUAGAAAACAUAUGUAUCAAAAUUAUUCAAAAUGAAAUACUUUUCAUAUUUUUCCUCAUUUAGAAACGCUACAAGAGUUAUCUAUUAGUAAGGAAUUUAAACUAAUUUUCUUAUUAUGGAGUAAUUAUUAUUUGUCCCUUGUGUUAUUCUAUAUUAUAUUAGUUACUUCAUAACAUUUAAAAAACAUAUUUUUUUCAUUAUUUUAUUUUAUAAUUUAAAAUUAAAAAUCAUUUCUAUCAUAAUUUCUGUUAGAAAAUCAUUAAUUAGGUUUGAUUUUAUACUAUUUGCCUCAUAAGUUUUUGUGUGAUAUACAAUUUUUCCUCUAUAUAUUUUAUUUAUUGCAUAAAAUUUCAUUGCAUUUUGAAAGUCAAUACAAUUAAAGAACUAAAUUGAUAAAAAAAAAGUGAGGAGACCAGUAUGGAAAAAUUUGCAUAAUAUGUAUGAUUGAUAUGUCUUUUUUAGUACUUGCAAGUGUAUGAACCAUUCUUAUAGUAAGUGUAAGUUCACCAUGAGGUCGAUCUCUCAAGGAACUAUAAGGCUACUUAUUAUAAAGACUAAUUAUCAACACAAAAUAAUAAAAGUAAAUCUAAACACUCUAAAUCAAUGUGUUUGAGAGAAUAAUAUUCAUAAAGUAACGUAACUAAAUAAUAAAUAAAUAUGCAAAUAUUUAUGAUAUAAAAUUAUAUGCUAAAGAUAGUAUUUAGUCUAGCUAACUAUUUAGUAAUCUACUUGUUUUACUUUAAGCCUAGAUCUAAUGAAUGAGAUAAUGAUGUGCCUUUUCCCUAAAUCACUUGAGCUAAUGAUACAAUCUAGGUUUCUUAUACCAACAUAAAUUAAAGUAAAGAUGAUGCUUCUAAUACUUUUAACUUAAAGAUUUUUAUAACAAAUAUUACUACUAAAUUGAUAUACGAUGGUCAACCAAUAAUAAUAUAUGAAACUAAUACAUAUAUGAAGGUAAAGAAAUCAUUUAUUAAAUAAAUAAAUAACAAGAUUCAUACAAAAGUAAAAAAGGUUAAACUAAACACUUAUGAAAACUAGCCUAACAUAUUUAACCCAAUGAUCAUGGUAUUAAAUAGAAAUACAUAAAAUAAUAAAAUAAGAACUCUCUCUAGAUCCAUAAUUUUUUCAAGUAGGAAGAAGAUUGGUUCUCAUUCUCCACUUUUUAGAAAGUACGUUAGAUCUUCAAAAGAGUAAUGAAAACUAAACUAAAAUGUUUAUGAAAAAACUAUAGAGAAUUAUGGAAAGAAUAAUGGUGGGCAGGUGUAGAGAGCAGAUGGGAGAAAAUUCUCAUUUUCAGUAUUAGAUUUUGUAUAUAGAGAAUAGUCUUUCUCUAUAUAAAUCUCCUUAAAGAUAAACAUACUAAUAUAAGUAUAUUUAUCUCCACCUAAUACUAUCUCACAAAUAACUCUUAAUAUAAAUCAUAAUAAUUAUACAAAAUGACUAAAAUGUCCAUUUGGCCUUGUAAUUAGCAGCCUAUAUGUCUUAAAUUUGGGUAUUGACACGAACAUGUCAAAUUAAGCUUAUUUUUGAGUAUUUAGCUCCAUAUUUUCCUCAUUUGACUAAUAUUACCUGAAAAUAGACAAUUAAAUUUAAGUGGGGUAACAACACAUGUUUUCAUUAUAUUAUAUAUAGAAAUAUAUAAUUAAAGCUCUAAAUACUCUUAAAUAUCUAUAUAUAAUUUGGACUGAUCAAUGAUACUUAAAAUUUUAAAAAAACUAUAGUCAAAAGUUUAAAAUUAAAUGAGAGAAUUGAUUCUGAUAGUAUUAGAGCAAAUUAUAACUUAGAUAAAAAAAUGAUGGUUAAGAGAAUAUUCAAAAUAAAAAAAAUACUUUAAAGAACAUUUAAAAUUCCUUCAUGAAAAAUUAUAAUUUCAAGAAAUAGGAAGAAAUUAAAUUUUAUUUCUCUUAUUUUCUUUUUAAUUUUUCAUUUAAUUUCUUUUUUUUUCCUUAUAAGCUUACAUGAAUCUCAUUAUUUUAAGUCAAAAUAAAUACCUCCUAGAAAGACCUUUUCUUUAAAUGAAAGAUGUAAAUGUUAAUAAAAAUAAAAUUCAAGAAUGUAAAUAGUCGACCUUUAGAAAAGGUGCAUGUAAUUGUAAUUAGGAUCAGACCUGAGGGGGGUAAAUGUCAUUUGUUCAAAAUAUUUAGACUUUUUCGAGUUUAGAUUAGACCGGGCGAAAGUGAACGAAUUUUACCCGAAAGUGGGAAAUAGUCGGGUGGAUACCCGAAUGCGAUUUCUCAUGGAGCUGGAAAUGCCACGGAACAAGAAACUUUUUGUUAGAAAUAAAUAACUAAAAGAAAAAAAAAAGCGCUUAGUCUAGUCUGGGGGGUUUAACGAAGGGGAUAUUGGGCGUGGGCAAACUGGAAAACCAAAGACAUUGAUACAGGGCAAAUGAUUUCUACAUCGACUUGGUGCCGUUACCUGGCCAGAAAAUUGGAGUACUCCGUCUCCGUUUGUUGGAAGGUCCGACUCUCUCUCUCUCUCUCUCUCUCUCUCUCUCUCUCUCUCUCUUUCUUUUCCUUUUCUCAUUUACCACCUCGUUAUUUAUAUAUUUCUGUUUCAAUCAAUACAGGUAAGAAAUUUAUAAUCUUUUGGCUUCUCUAUUGAGGGUUUCUUGUUCCCAGAUAGGAAUAAUGCAUUGGGUUUAUUAUAUUUGGUUGUUUUAGUGAUUCUAAGUGGAAUUUGCCAAUUGGGCUUCUCUUAUUCAGUAUAGUUUUGGCUUAUUCAAGUAUAAAUGCCUCACCUUUCUUUGAAUACUUUCUCAUUUUUCUAUUCUAAUGGGUUCUUUUUCCUUAUAUUUAGUUACUUUUAAUGAUUGCAUUUAAUUUAGCUGUUCUUAGUGGGAUUUGUUCAGUGCCAUUUCAUGUCUAGUUAAGUAAUUGGUGGGUUUUAGAACAACACUUUGCUACUGGUGUUCCCUCAAGAUAUUAUUUUUAGAGACAUAUGCUAUGUGCCUCUCGGAUCAGUGUGAGUGAGAUGAUAUCUAUCUGAUUAUCAAUUAGAGAAGGAGAAUGGUUUGACUCAUUUUGUUUCUAAUGGAAGUAUUACUACUUAAACUUAACUCAGACUGUUGCUUGCUACAGCAAGAGCUUACUUUUACUGGAAAGUGGAAACUUUUAAAGAUCAUAGUUAUAGUUCUUUUCUCAUUCUUGUGUUAGGAUGGACUUUUAGUCCCUGCCUACUGAUUGAAACAGAAUAUAGAAAGUACUACAAUAAUCAAGCAACUUUAGAUCUUAUAAAUUUCUGAGCAACUUACAAUUGACGCCCUUGUCAUGUCUUUAAAUUACAUAGAGCAAUCCCCGAGUAUAGAGAAGGCCCUCGCUUAGGAAUGGGCAGCUAGCCAUUUUGCAUUCUUGCAUGUGGCAUUUGACUCUCGUAUCAUGCUGUUCUUCUGGUCCUUUAUAGGGUAGAAGGAAGGGAAAUCCUUUGUUUGAGUAUCACCAACUGGGGACAAAGAAAGUCCCCUCCUAUUAAAUUGAAAUUCAAGCGGAGAGAGGGAAGAAUCACAUGUGUUAACAGACUUGAUUCUUAGCUCAAAAUCACUUAGUUAUUACUGCAUUUUGAUGUGCUGCUGUUUCCAUCAACUCAGGAGCAGAACNNNNNNNNNNNNNNNNNNNNNNNNNNNNNNNNNNNNNNNNNNNNNNNNNNNNNNNNNNNNNNNNNNNNNNNNNNNNNNNNNNNNNNNNNNNNNNNNNNNNNNNNNNNNNNNNNNNNNNNNNNNNNNNNNNNNNNNNNNNNNNNNNNNNNNNNNNNNNNNNNNNNNNNNNNNNNNNNNNNNNNNNNNNNNNNNNNNNNNNNNNNNNNNNNNNNNNNNNNNNNNNNNNNNNNNNNNNNNNNNNNNNNNNNNNNNNNNNNNNNNNNNNNNNNNNNNNNNNNNNNNNNNNNNNNNNNNNNNNNNNNNNNNNNNNNNNNNNNNNNNNNNNNNNNNNNNNNNNNNNNNNNNNNNNNNNNNNNNNNNNNNNNNNNNNNNNNNNNNNNNNNNNNNNNNNNNNNNNNNNNNNNNNNNNNNNNNNNNNNNNNNNNNNNNNNNNNNNNNNNNNNNNNNNNNNNNNNNNNNNNNNNNNNNNNNNNNNNNNNNNNNNNNNNNNNNNNNNNNNNNNNNNNNNNNNNNNNNNNNNNNNNNNNNNNNNNNNNNNNNNNNNNNNNNNNNNNNNNNNNNNNNNNNNNNNNNNNNNNNNNNNNNNNNNNNNNNNNNNNNNNNNNNNNNNNNNNNNNNNNNNNNNNNNNNNNNNNNNNNNNNNNNNNNNNNNNNNNNNNNNNNNNNNNNNNNNNNNNNNNNNNNNNNNNNNNNNNNNNNNNNNNNNNNNNNNNNNNNNNNNNNNNNNNNNNNNNNNNNNNNNNNNNNNNNNNNNNNNNNNNNNNNNNNNNNNNNNNNNNNNNNNNNNNNNNNNNNNNNNNNNNNNNNNNNNNNNNNNNNNNNNUACCUAAGUUUCUAAUAUUUUAUUUUGUAGGAGUUAGAUUUCAGUUUUAACUUGCAAAAUCAUGUUGAUUUGCUAUUUGGAAUUUUGGGAUUCAAUUCCUCUCUUAGGUAUGAUGCCGAAGGAUCCUUUGGGUGUGAUACUUCUAAGUGUGACUCUUAGAACAUUUAUCUUAUCUUUUUAAAACAAAAAAAAAAAUUAUUGUCUAUAUUCAGAUUAAGACCCUUAACAAUUUUGGAUUUUACCCUAUCAUAACCAUUAGCUUUUGCAAAUUAAAUUAACUGUAGGAUAGCAUUACUUAAAUUUUGUCCUGCAUCAGUUUUGUAAUAGAGCUUCAAGAUCCUUACAAUCUGAUGUUUUAAUCUUUAUAAACAAUAUGCAUAUGCAAGUUAGAAGUUUCAUGUUUUAAAGGAGGCAAUCCUACAAAAUUCUGUCAUUGGAUUGAUUCUCUUGGCUUUUACUUUGAUAGCUACAAACUUCAAGAAAGUGAGCAGGAUAAGAUUUGCAGAUUGGAAUUUGAUUAGAGCUAUAAAAUUAUGGUGAUAUUGCGUCGAGUAUGAUAGGCAAAUAGGAAGCGAACCCAACUUAAUAAGUGGCAAGAUAUGAAACAAAGCUUCAAGAGAAAUUUUUGCUAUUGUAUUAUCACCUAAGGAUGAGUAAAAAUGUAUGUAAUCCAACAUAUAGGUACAUGACAAUGGCUAAUUACUUUAACCAAUUUGAAAAGCAGAAUUCUGUUCAUCAAGAGCGUGGAUUGAAUUUUGAUAGAUUGAAUGAUGAGAUGAGUUCAAGGUUUGAUGGUUUGGAUAUUAUGGUGGAUGAGUUUCUUAGAAGAUUACCUUCAAUUUCUUGCAAUCAAACUUCAAAAACUACUAAUAGUCAAGGCCUUCCUCAAAAACCAACCCCAGCCCUUGUAGUUUACCCAACUUUACCAGUGCAUCCAAUAUAGUAAAUAAUAUAGUCUAAAAAUUGAUAAAAACCUAAUCCAAAAUUUGCAUGCACUAGAUAUUGAACACAAACCAAUUGAAGCAAUGAGGAUUUAAAGAAAAACAAGAAGUCAAACAUGAAAAGACUGAAGCGAUAGAAUUCCCACAAAUACUUUUGGAUGCAAAUGUGGAUAUGGUUCAGCUUGCAAAGAAACUGUAAAGGACAAAAGAGGAUGGACUUUGUUGUUCAAGGUUCCAAAGAUGCUCAAGAUGUUGAAUUUUGUAGCAUACUGCUAGUGUUCAAAAAGUGGAGUUUAUUAUUUCUAACGAGUUUGUAGAUGAGUUUAAUAGGAGGUUUCAAUAUUUCAGUGGCUACCAACAGUUAAGAAGGUUGAAAAUUGAAGUCCAAUAUAUCAAUGCUUUUUCUUCUUAGGCAUUUCCAACUAGGGGAGAAUGCUGCUGAUAAGGAAAAGCUUAAGGAAAACAAAAUUCAAAAAAGUUCAGAAAUUUAUAGUUAGGAUAUGGUAUUUUACAAUUCAAUAUUAAGGGAUUCUUGUAAUUCUCAUUUUUGCUGGAAUAAUAGUUUAGGUUUCUGUAGGAGUCUUUAAUUUUACUGUUGAACCUUAUUCUUAAUUCUUGUUGGUUUAUUAUAAGCUCUGUCACUCAGACUCUUUAUUUUUGAAGCAAUGGGCACGGCUACAGAAUCCUUCUUAGAUCCUUCAUCUGAAAAGUGGAUAGGACAUUUGUCUAAGCUCCAGGUGAAGCAAGAGAAGAGGAAUAGAGCAAUAGCAGGAGCUGAGGGAAAAAGGGAGGUGGGGGGAAGAUAGAAUAAACAAAAGAUAAGCAACAAUUUGCCAUUUAAUUGGGUUUUGGGUUUUAUUUUAUCUUUUGUGGGUUGAUGAGCUUUACUUUGCAAUUGUUUUUUAGGGAAAUAUGUAAUUGGGUUUUUAGUUUUAUUUUUUUCAGUUUUAAUAAUAAUUCUUAUUAAAAUUAAAAUAGUAAGUUAUAUAAUAACAAUUAUUAAAUUAAAAUAAUAAGUUAUAUAUUUUCUAAUUUAUUAAUUAAAAUAAUUGUUUUUUAAAGUUAGCUUAAAGUUACAUUAUAUAUAUAUAUAUAUAGAUGCAUGUAACAUUCAUAUUUUUUUAAAUAUAAAACGUAUCCCCCUACCUGUAUCCAAAUUUUAGAUCCCCAUAUCCUUGACUCCUGGAUAUGCACCCACUAUCAGAUAUCCGUACUCAAGUUCGAGCAACAAAGAGAAUAACUAUUAUUUCUUAUUUUAUUUAGAGUUCAAAUCCUUUAAAGAUUAGAUUAGUACUAUGGGUCUAAAGUCUUGAGGUUUAAAGAUACUCCUAUAAUUACCUAAGCUUGUAACAGUUUAUUUUUCUAGGAUUCAGAUUUCAUUUUAAUAAAAUUAUGGCAGAUUUGCUAUUUAGAAUUGUGUGAUUCAAAUUUCUCCCUAAGUGUGACGCCGAAGGAACCCUUGGGUGUGAUGUCCAAAUACUUGUAAAUGUGAUUUUCCGAAAGAUUUAACUUUUCUUUUCUUUUCUUUUUCCUUUUAAAUCUGUAUUUAGACCUGAAAUCCUUAACAGUUUUUGAUUUUAAGCCUAUCAGAACCUUUAGUUUCACAAACCACGCCAUAGGAUGGCGCUACUUAAAAUCUGUCCUGCAUCAAAAUGUUUAUGGCUGAGAGAGAAUGAGAUGUUUCGCUCAUUUCUCGAUUUGUAUACAUCAUUUUUGGUUCAUGAAGCUUUGCAGGAGUGGGCUGCAAUAGUUAACCCCCUCCAGAGCUAGAAAGAUUUUGAGGUUGAUUGUUGGAUAUAUGAGAUAUGUGCCUUGUAUUGUGACGGAGGACUGGCAAGUUAUUAAACACCAAAGAUUUGGACAUAAUAUUAGGCACCUCUUUAGUGAAUGGACACUGAUGAUGCUCUUUGGGAUUAUAAUGUGGGACAUAUGAAAUCAUAUCUAGGGAUAAGUCGUCCAUAGAUUAUGGGUGAGCAUAAUUUAGUUAUAACUGAAAGACAAAACAAUCUGAUGUACUUCGGUUAUCGUGGUGUAGAUUUCUUUUAGUUCUUUUGUUUCGUGAAUUUGUAAAACUUUUGGUUUUUGAAAAUCUCUCUGGUUACUCGAAAAAAAUUUGUAGCUGAAAGAACCUGUUUCCUAUUAAUAACAUAUAGAUGGUGUUCUAAAUCCUCUUUGUAUAGGUUUAAGGUUUUAGGACUCUAUAAUCUGCAUUUUUGGCUGACCUGAGAUUUUUGUUUGGGUUCCUUUGUUUUCUAAAUUUUGCGGAUAGUCGUUUUUGGAGGUUUUUAGUUUCUUGUGUGUGGGUUCAGGACAUGUGAGCUGACUUUAUGCUGAUACUCUGAACGUUAAUGUUUAGGGAAAUAGAUGUGUCCAUCACUGUAUAAUCAUUUGAUACAAGUUUGGAGGCCCAAUUUAAGAAGUAGCCAAGUGAGGAGGAGUAUAGCAAUGGAAAGACUUGUGAUCUAUCAGAUUAAGUUUUCAGUUCAAGUUGGUACUGCAUAUGGCUUAAUUCAUUCCUGAGUUCUUUUCUUAACAUAACAAGUAGAAUGAGAACCAUGGUUUGGGUGAGACAAGUUUGGAUGCAGGUCUGCUGGCUGAUGCAUUUCUCCUUCAUAUCAAACUACAGCUGCUGUUUAGGUCAUUUCUAUCAAUGGACAUUAAAAAAAGUAGAUAUUUUUAAGCUUGGAAGUAUGCUAUUUCAAUAAUUAUGGUUUUGUUGAUUCUUAUAGUAUAUUCGGCCCUAUGUGAAUAUUAGCUUCAACUUAGAUCCUUCUUUUGGAUGUUUUGAGUAUUUUACAUCCUGGUAAAUAUCCGACCUGUGUCAGGUGAUUCAGUUCUCAAUGGAGAUCCCAGUUUAUUUUUGUUGUGCAUAUAAAUUACAUAAUAUCUUUUGGACAGCGGUUGUUAUCUCCACUUUGAAUCUAAUAAUAUGUAAUUAAUUUCUUUUUCAGUAAGAAAAACUAAAAUUAAUCAAACUUGAAUCUCAAGCUAGUUCAGAUGGGCAAGAUGCAUCCUUGUUGUUUUAUUUUGCUCUCUUUUUGGGAUUAGCUUUCUAUUAUUUGCUGUUGUAGUAAAUUCUUUUACAUGGUUAAGUUCGCCACUCUUAAUAAAAUGUUUUGUUUAGUGCGGUUGAUUGCUUCUAACAAUUAUUCUGGCACUCUGUUGUAAGAUCCAAUCCAAAACUAAAUUAUUAGAUGCCAUACUGAACUUUGUAUGUAACCAAUGCGGAUCUGUUGAGGAUGGAUAUUCAUGUGCCCAUGGAUAUUGGUCGCUAUCUUUUAAUGAUUCCUUCUUGCCAAUCAAUUCAUUCAUUAGAACAUGUUAUAGUCAAUUGUGGACAUAUACUAGAAUAACAAUUUUAUACCUAAGACAGGCAAAGAAAAGAAAAAAGGAACAAAAAUGGCAAGUACUUAUUUCGUCACGCUCUUGCUUAGAUCUACUGGUGCAAUGUGCUUAUUUACUGCUAGUUAGAAGAAGGUUACAUAUUUUAUUAAUUGAAAACAAAUUUAAAUUCGUUCAAGUCUGCAAACGUGGUUCUUGUUUGUUGCAAUUAUCCAUUUAUAUGAUUUAAUUGUUUCUAACAAUCUUGAUAUACCAAUUUCAGUUCUUUCUGGUGUAGAGCAUGGUGAUACUUAACUACUUCAUAAUUUCUUUCAACAGACAUGUUUUUGUUGGAGAUGUAGUGGUCGUAAAGGAUCCUGAUAAUACCGACAACUUUCUAGUCAGAAGAUUAGCUGCUGUCGAAGGGUAUGAAAUGGUGUCUAGUGAUGAAAAAGAUGAACCUUUUGUUCUUGAGAAUGAUCAGUGUUGGGUUUUGGCCGACAACGAGAAGUUGAAGCCCAAGGUAUGAGCCAUUUUGCAAAUAUAAGACUUGGUUGGUAUAUAGCGACACAUGUUAAAUCCAUUGCAUUUCUUGUGUCCUUGCAUUUCUGUGCUUUCUUUUCUUUCUUUUGUUUUUCUUUGGCAAAAGGUGUGAAUGAGCCCCUAAACUUUUAGCCAAAGUGCAAUUAAACUCUUAAACUUUAAAGUAGCUCAAUUAUACCCCUAUAGUUUGGAAAACAGAACAAUUAUAUCCUUAUAGCUAAUUCCUUUUUUAAGUAAUGAUAAUUGUGUUGAUUUCUUUAUCAAAUUUAAUGAGAAAUUAUCAUUUUAUGGUUUUUACACACUCAAGGCAGAGCUAAUAAUUCCUCACAUGCGAAAAAGUGAGUUGAAAAGAGUUAAAACAGUUUUCUUCAGUGCCUAAAACUAAUUAGGUCUCAUGCCAUUACACGGUUAAAGAGACAGAAUUAACUUCCAGGAUGUAAUUCUUCUGUUUUUAAACUUUAGGAGUGCAAUUGAGCUACUUUAAAGUUUAUGGACCUAAUGGCGCUUUGACCAAAAGUUCAAGAGCUAUUGUACAACUUUCUUUUGAUGAAAUUUCACUAAUUUAUGAAGGUAGAAAAGUUUGACCUUUUAUUUCCUUAAAGUCGCUAUGUUUGCCAUACAAGCAUGGCAUUACUGAAUUUGUUGCUGGUCUCGCUGUAGCAUGGGGAAAUGUACCAAACUUACAGCUUUGCUUGGUAAUAUAACUUGAAUUAGUCUACUAGAAAUGGAGCAUCCAUUUGAUCUAUCAAGGCGUCUAUUCUGUUUGUGUUAAGAAUGCAGUUGUAUUAUCUCCUGUCUCUCUUUCUAAUAGAAAGAAAGGUAGGAUAAGGAAAUAGCUAGUAGUUUGUUUAAUACACGUGUCAAUUCUGGAUUCCUUAUAACAAUUUUUUGGCACUUUAUGACUUUUAUUGACUUCUGUAACCUGCAACAUGUCCAAAUUGAGAAGAUCAAACAAGUAGACAUUAUCUUUUAUUUUUCUUGUGGCUGUCUUUUGUGUUCCUGUUGUGCUGCAAAAUUGCAAUAAUUUUUGGUGCACCUUAACUUCUUCGGUUUUGCCUUCCAUACUUCUUACUCAUGAUUUGUCUAUUAUGCCAGUGCUAAAGAUUUGUCUUCCCCCUGUUGGUCCUGCAUUUUUCCUUUCUAAGCUUCUCGAAUGUGUGGUUGCGUAUAUCUAUUUGAAUGCAUAUGGUUCUGAGUAACUGUUCUUAAUGCGUGUCCUUGUAGAAUGAUAUGCAUGCUAACCAAUAAUCGUGAUUGGGCUGCUUUAAAAUGUGGGCAAUCUCAAACUUGCAAUUGCCUUUCGUUAAUAUUACUUAAAACUCUUAUUAUGAAAAGCACUUUAUUAUAAGUUGUAAAUGCUCUUUUCUUUCAGUACAGACAAAUUUAAGGAUUAAUAUGUUCCAAAUUUUUCAUCAUCAUCAUCAUCAAUCAUUGUUAUCACUAGGCCUUUGGCCUAGUGGGAGAGCUCUAUGAAGCUCGGGUGGAGGUCUCAGGUUCAAACCUCCACUUUCCCUCCCAUGAAAAAGAAAAAAAAUCUGUCUUUUUUUGUUAAUAGAAAUUAAGGUCAGCUGUGAAUAUUGGCAAUAGGGUGUGCUUUAGUUAUUCACCGCCUGGGAAAAACUGAUCCAUUUCUCUUUUAUUCUUCUUUUUGGUGUCACAGGAAGCAAAUGACAGCCGAAAAUUUGGCCCGGUUCCCAUGUCGGGCAUAGUUGGCCGAGUCAUAUACUGUCUACGUACAGCUGUGGAUCAUGGUCCUGUUCAGAAUAGGUGAGCUGCUGGACUCCAGUUGGUUGAAACCGUUAUUACUGUACAAUAGAUGAUAUUUGAAGUCGAAUUGAUAUCCUCAUGCUCCUUGACCAGUCAUUUCAGCAUGCGUAAGGAUUCACCAGUGUUGGAGGUGGAACUAGAUGUAGACGAGAUGGUUAAAAAUCACAAACUCUUUUAACUGAUUUGGUUUGCAUUUGUACUAACUUGUUUUCUCUUUACCAUUCCACUGCAUUGGAUGCUGUUUUUGUGAAGUUCUGUGAUUGGAGGGCUGCGUGAUUGUUGUUUAUUUAUGUUCAGGUUCGGCGACUUGAGUAACUGGGUCUUCCUUUGCAACUGAAAAGUAUGAAGGCAGCCUAGUUGAGUUCUGCGGUUUCAACUUUAUUUAACAUUGCCUUGGACCAGGAUUGUAACCUCAAAAUCUACACCAGGAAAAGAAGAUACUAGAAUUCUUAUGCUGCCUCUUUCUGGAGGCUUGUGUUUACUUGUCUUCAUUGCCAUAUAUGAUCUUUGCUCAUAUCAAAUUUUAUUUUAACACUUGGGAAACAUUUUUGUUUUCAAAAUAAAUUUGGGCUGCUGCUGUCUUUCUCCUACUAUUGUUAUAUUAUAUGUGAACUUGCUGAGAUCAGAGAUGAGAGAUUGUUUUGUUGAAUCUUUUUCUUCACUCAGCCUAGUGUCUUAUGGGGUCUGCAAAUAAGGCAAGGCACAUGCAGCCUUGUUUUGUAUAGUUCUCCUGGUUCUGCUAAUUAAUACUGCAAAUCAAGAUCCAAGUUACCAUCACCGUCACCAUUCCACAUUACCAUAAUCCUUUAUGCAAAGGCAAGUGUUCUCUUCUCAUUCACCAAAAGGCCAUAGAAACUCCUGCAUUCAUCCUCAGGGAAAAUAAAAUAAUCAAAACGAUAUGUUACUUGGACUGCAAAUGGAAAAGUAGAGAUUUUGAUAGAAUUGCAAUGAGAUUUUUGAAAGCAGUUAUUUUCUCUAUGAUUUUUUUCCUUUAUAUAGAAAAAGAAAAUACUGAAAGCAACAUGUUUUUCUCUUGAGAUUGUUCUUUCCUCUGUAUAUUUUUUUUGUCUAAAACAAUCACGACUCCUAAUGCAAAGCAGAUGAUAUAUUUACCAUUCCUGCAAAAAAGCAACAGUUUUGUGCUUCUGAACAGUCUUUCUGGUACAAUAUUUUGUAAAAUCCCAUCCUCCAAAACUAAUCUUAACGAUCUUUUAGUUAUUUAUAUUAUGCGUGCACAUCAUUGAAAAAAUAGGCUCUAUUACAUAGAUUCACUUGUUAAUUAAUUGGUUGUGUUUUUACAGGAAACAAGAUGAGGGGAUAAAAUUAUUGAUAUCUGAAUUUCCCCAACACAAAAACAAAUAUAUGAUAAGAAAGUAGUAUAAUGUGUAGAUUUUGAAAUUGAAGUGUGAAGAUAAAAGGGACAAGAGCAAGGAUAAUAGAAUUUGUUGUCCAUUGGCAGCCUCCUCUUCUUCUCUAAACUUGAACAUUCUCAUUACCCACCUGCAUGAUAACACAUUAAAAAAUUAAAUCAUAUAUACAAUUACAUAUUUUGAGCUUAAUAUGUAUAACCAAUAAAAACAUAAUGAUGUCACAUUCAUCCUUUCUAGUAUUAUUAUUAUUGUUUACAAAAACAAGUGCACUUGCAUGAUUAGCCUGAUAGUAAGUGUAUAUAUGAACUCGAGCAAGAUCUCAAUCUCACCUCAUCUGUAAUUAAGAAAAAAAAUUAUCACAUAUACUUAUAUUUUCAAAUUUCGCAUGCUUAAUUAGUUUCUUAAGUACAUCUGCAUACUAAUUUUGUAAUUAAUUUAAAAAGCAUAAUUAAAAAAAAAAAAACAGAAUCAUUAAAAUCAACUACCUAAGUGAGAAUCAUAGAUUCUAGGAUUAAAAUUUUCCUGGAAUAAAAAAAUUGGGGAAGUAAGUUCAGGCCAGAGAACUAAUUUUAAAUUCUCCUGAGGGGGAAAAUUAAAAACGACAUAGAAAAGAUUCACAAGAGGCGGAACAAUGAAAACGACAUCGUCUUAAACGGCCCCUAAUUGGAAAAUUGUAAUACCCAAAAAGUCCCUUAUCAGUGUCUAUAUAAUUUCGCAAAUAAAAAAACACACGAGAAGGAGAAGUCUCUAAUAAAAUGCAAAAGCGCCAUUAAUCCAAAGCUCAAAACUCCCUCCAAUGUCGCAAUCAGUCCAUCUCAUCUCUAACAAUAUUCCAGGUAUAUCCCCUUCUAAUCUAAUCUUUUCAUCUCAGGUUCUUUUCACGCUCUGUUUAGUUCCUGAGAACCAAAUGUUUAAAAUAAAAGAAAAAGAAGCAAAUUUGGGACUAAUUUGAGGUUAUUUGCCCAAAUAGGUGCUGAGAAAUUUUUUUUUUAUCACUCAUCUUUUGGGUUUUGUGUAGUUCUUUAGGUACCAAAUGAAGCAAUUAGGUUUUUGUUUGGACUAACUUAAACAGAGCCUGCCUAGUUGUGAUUAGCACUUGUAUUCUUAGCUUAUAUUUAGUUUCUAUAAUUAGAGUUAUUUCACUGUUGAGAGUUAUGACCUUCUUUUGGUGAGUUAUUUUCAACUGGGUAGUAAAGAUGAGCUCUUUACGUAGUUACACUCUUGCCAUUACUAUCGCCCACCACCUAUAUGACGAAAUGAUUUUAGGUGUUGAAUGGUAAAAGAGUUUGCUCUGUUGUAUAUACUAUCUUGUGUUGUUUACUUGGUUCUUUAGUUUUGAGGGUUCGAUUUUUGGCUUCUCUUUGGUCUCUUUACAUUUGCAAGCUGCAAAUUAUUGCUUCUGAUUUUAAUGUUAUAGUUCGUGUUGACUCCAGAUCAUUUUUUGUUGCUUCUCUUUGCUUUUACUUCACAAUAAAAUGAUGGUGGUGUGUGGUUUGUGUUUAUGGUAAGAUGUGGAGUAGUUGUGNNNNNNNNNNNNNNNNNNNNNNNNNNNNNNNNNNNNNNNNNNNNNNNNNNNNNNNNNNNNNNNNNNNNNAAGAUGUGGAGUAGUUGUGGUUUCAUUUCUGUUGCAUCAGAUAAGAAGGUGUUGUUCUUCUUGGUACUUAAUUUAUUAUUGGAUUGCUGACAGUGAGAGUAGAUGUAUACAUUUGUAAGUGUGUAAGAAAGACAAAAAAAUCUCUGUUGCAUGGAAGCAAAUCAUUCAGUAAGAUCGAGAGUGUUUUUUUUUUUCUCUAUUUGCGUGCAAUAUAAAUUGUUAGACGGUGUCGAAGCAUUUUGUUAUCAAUUGAUCCUCUCAUCAUGCGAGUCGUGUGCUUAAAGUCCAGAUUUUUGUUCUCAUAAAAAAUAACAAGAAAAGAAUAAAGAAAGUCCUAGGAUGCUCUUCUGUUUUAAUCUACGGAUAUGUGCUUGUUGUAGGUUAUGGAUCUUCAGAAAGCAGGUGUCUCCCUUCCUCAGGAAUUUCUGGGAAAGCAGUUGCUAUACCUCUUUGUCCUUCGCAUGGUAACCAUAUAACUUAUUCACAAAUCAAGGUUGGAUCAAUAAAGUGCGCUUCUGGCGCAGCAUCUUUUUUGUGCAGAGCAAGUUCCGGUGGUCCUAGGAGAAACUCAGAUUUCUCAAAGCAAAGCAGACAGGGGUUCUCCCGAAAUAGGAAUAGACAAAAUGAAGAGAGAGACAGCUUUGAGAAUCUUGAUGAUUCUGAUUUGUUAACGUCAAGAAGUGGGCCAUUACUCUCUCUUUCAAAUACCUCAAAAUUCCAAGCCACUGCAGGCCCAGGGCCAAGAGAGAAGGAGAUUGUUGAGCUAUUCAGGAAGGUACAGGCUCAGCUGCGUGAAAGAGCUGCAGUCAAAGAAGACAAGAAGGUUGAAGCCUCCAAAGGAAAAGUUAAAGAGAGUGAAACUGUGGAUUCCCUCCUUAAGCUGCUAAGGAAACACUCAAUUGAGCAAGGUAAGAAAAAGGUUAGCAGUGUUGGCACUGGAGACUUUGCUGUGGACUCACCAGAACAUAAUGGAUCGCUUAGUGGAGACAGGAGCACAGGUUUCUUUAAUCCAAAUAAUAAAGCAAGGAGUGAAGUCCCAGAACAUAAUUCCACUUCUUUCAGCAGACCACCAUCAAAUUUUCGACGCAAGUCCCCAGUUCCUCAAGUGAAAUACCAGCCUAUUUAUUCAAAUGAGGACCCUAGUAAUUCUACAUCUUAUUUUGAUUUGACUGGUGAUAAGAAGAAGCGAUUUGAAGCACUUCCUGACACAGCUCAGCAGCCUAAAUUGGAAACACAGGAGCCCGAGUUGGAAGUGGCACUGGAGCCAGAGUCCUCUUUCCUUGAUGGUAACGCAGUAGAUGAGUUAUCAGAAGAAGAGUCUUCAGACAUUGAUGAUAUUAACGAGUUUAGCAAUCAACAGAAGGAGAACGAACACGAGGACCUAAGCUCAUUGAAGCUGCCAGAGCUGAGGGCACUUGCAAAAUCACGUGGGUUAAAGGGGUUCUCAAAGAUGAAGAAAGGAGAUCUAGUGGAGUUGCUAAGUGGUGAUUCAGUUUGAUUACUAAUGCAGGGAAGGAAGUGAGGAGAAUAGACCUGAUCCUAGAUAAAUUUUGUUUGUUUUUAGAUAUGCUCCCUUUUGUUUUCUAAAAAUUGAGAUGUUUUGUUUUCUGUUUAUGAUUAGAACCCUUUUAAAUUCUGUCAUAUGUAUUGGCUAGUGAACAUUUCACUGGAAUUGGAACCGAAAAAAGAAAAAGAAGAAACAAGAAGUUAAAAACUAACCAUGGAAAUUGGUAAUUUGGUUUAUUUUGUCAGAACCAAGAGAGAACAGCAGAAGGAAGAGAACCAAUUCUGAAGUUUUAAUAACUUAAUCACAUUCGAGAGGCGUACUAGAUUACCGACACCAAGUAAUUGGUUGCCAAAAUUAAACCAACUCAUAAUAAAUACAGUUUGUUCUUUUGACAUAAUUUUACAUGAGCUAAUCCUUUUAUAGUAUUAACUACCACCUCAUAUUAUCGAAAUCUUAUCUGUUCAUUGAAACAUAAUCAAUUGGAGUUUGUUUUUUCUAUCAACCAUGAAAAUUGGGCAACUUUCGGUGUCUUCCUCCACUUUUCACUAGCAUUGAAUUUCUCCGCUCAUUAGUAGAAUUUUAUUAGAAUAUAAAUGGUUAUCUCUCUUAUGUAUUACAGUUUCUUUUAUAAAGUGAGAAAUAAACUAUGUUAUGAAUUUGAGAUUUCAAGUGUUUUGUCAUCAGACUAAAGCUUGGUGAUUUACUACAUUUUUUACUUCUAAAAGUGUCCAAAUAAAGAGAUAUGCAAGAUACUUUCUAUUUUUUUAAAUGAUUUCAAAAUCACAUUUUUUUCUUAUUAAAUUUAAAGGAAGAGAAAUGAAUAUUGUUGGAAUGCUCUAAUAAAUUUAAUUUCUAUUUUUAAAUAUUCAAAAUUUUAUUUUUAAAAAUUAAAUAAAAGAAUAAAAAGUUUAUUUUAAUUGCAAAACCUUAUCUUUCUACCAUAAGAAACAAGUAAAAAAAAUAAAACACAUUGAAGCGAGCGAACAAUUGAUUCAGUUCAAAACUAAAUUAAAAACUUAAAAUUGUGAGUUAAUUAGAAUUCCAGUUCCAGACAUCUUCUACAACUUUUUUCUAAUACCUUUUCCAAACUUAUCUAAGAGAUAUUUGUAUUUAUGAAAUCAAUAAAAACAAUUUAUUUUCUUACUAAAAACUUAUCAAAUAUCAUUUCAAAUUAUUAAACGUUAUGAUAUAUCAAAAAAUAAAAGUUAGUUGCUUUGAUUUUAGUAAAAAAUAAAUUAAAGAAAAAAGGAAAAAAGCUAAACCAAACUAAUCGAUUCAAUUUUUCUAAUUUCGGUUCGAUUUUGGUUUCUCUAAAACAGAGUGAUGGGGCCAUUGGGCUGUUGUUUUUCCAUUCUUGAAAGUGGUUCAUUCGUUUUACGCGCCAUAUGAUAAAACCCCAACUCCCACAUCCGAGCUACUGGGAAAAUAAAAUUAAUUAAGAAAAAAAGCCAGCGGUCAAAUUCAAUUCAAUUAUAAUAAUAAUUUGGAAGUUUCCACCGCGAAAAUCGUAUGAAAUUACAGCCCUCUGUUCUUCGUUGCUAAGUUUUCUUCUCUCCAAAUUCCAAGCAUUGCUCUUCCUUUUUUUUUUUUUUUUUAAUUAUACAUCUGUGAUCAUUCAUAUACAUCAUUCACUAUCUCUGAUAUUUCCAAACUCACGAAAAUAAGAAGCGGAAGAGAAAAAGAAGCAGCCUUUUCUUUAAUUAUGGGACAAAAUCUCGAUUCAAUGACCCAAAACCAAUCCAAAGAAGACAUCCUUUAUCACCUUGUUAUUACUGGCAACGUUAACGCCAUUAAAGCUCUUUGCAGAGAAGGUGUUAAUCUUGAGGUAUUACUAUCACCAGCGCUUUUUUUUUUUCCGAUAGUUAUAUAUAUAUAUAUUGGGUAAUGGAUAAUUUGAUUGUAAUUAGUAAAUCUUGAGUUCUAUAUGUGUUUUGUUUGGAGAAUUGAGGUUGUAGUAGUCUUAAAGUUGCUUUCUUUUUUAUGUAGUGCAUUGAUAAAGAAGGAAAAACUCCUCUAAUUGUAGCUUGUAUGGAUUCCGGGUUGUUCAAUGUUGCCACUACUUUGAUUCAAUUGGGUGCUAAUGUGAAUGCUUAUCGUCCUGGUUUGUUCUAUGGUUUUAUUUGCUUCACUUAUUGUUUUUACACUAAUUUGUUUUACUAACUGGAUGGAAAUAGUGGUGCUUUUCCAUUACUAUGUAAUAAAAAUUAAAUUUUGUAAUCUCCGCAGGGCGUCAUGCGGGUACUCCUCUACAUCAUGCUGCAAAAAGAGGCCUUGAGCAGACUGUUCUAUUGCUUCUCUCUAGUGGAGGUAUGCCUUUUGUGUCUUAUCAGUUUAAGAUUCUUAUGCUGCUUUAAGUCUUGAAUGAUGAAUUAUGUGAGGGAUCAAUAGGGAUGUGAAUGAGUCAAGCUGCUCAAACUCAGCUUGCAAAAAUACUUGAAUUUGAUUGAUUUUUAUAGGCUGAGCUUGAGUUCGAGUAGUUCAAGUAAUGAACCAAGUCCAGUUCAAGUAUCAAAAUAUUUAACUUGACCAGCUCAAAAGGUUUUCAAGUUAAUGGCUUUUAAUUUUUCUGUUUAUAUUUCAGCAAAUGCUUUAGUGAGGAAUGAUGAUUGUCACACUGCAUUGAAUGUUGCUAGAAUAAAGGGGCAUACUAAUGUUGUUCGUGCUAUUGAGGUAAGAUAUUAAUCAGCUUAAAAUUUGUGAUUUACUAACUUUCUUUGUGUAUACUGGAAAAUGAGUUGAUCAUAUAGCCAAGUCUUACUUUUACUAAUUAUUGAUUGUAGAAUCAUAUUUGCUUCUUCUCUGGAUGGCUGCGGGAAUUUCAUGGUCCAGGCUUUCUUGAGGCACUAGCUCCUCAACUAUUAUCAAGAAAAAUGUUCGUAUAGUUUCUAACUUACUAUAUUUUCAAUGCAUUACUGUGAAUGCUUGUCUUAAUUUCUUUUGCACAAUCCCGUUUAUUUUUCAGUAAGCUGCAAUUUAAAAGUUAUGCUGAUUGGAUAUUUGAUAUAACGCCUUCUAUCUUUUGAAGGAUGGAAUUAGGUUACUAUUAUUUCUUACCAUUUCCAAAAAUUACAGCUGACCAGGGCUCAUUGUUUGCAGCUGGGUUGUUAUUAUACCUUGUGGUGCCAGUAAUCCCAUGAAGCCGCUCAGGCUGGAGCUUGCCAUUUAUACUACCUUGCAGGUCUAGUAAUUCUAAUUGUUUAAUUUGCUUAAUAUGAUCCAGAUAUAUGAGCUUUGUUCUGUAAAAUGUAUUUUAAGCCUCUAAGCUUGUUAGAUGGUCAUGUCAAGUCUGUACUUUCAAGCUUCACUAAGGCUAGUUAUUCUGUAGAAAGUGGAACCAUAAAAAUUCAAGCUGUGGUCAGUUCUAAUAGGAGACAAAAGAUUAAGUUGAUACUUUGUAGCAAUUUUUUUUUUCUUUAUAUUAUUUAUCAAUAAACUUCUUUCAUCAAAGGAUGAUGAUUUCUUUGAACAACUGCCUUCUUGUGCUACAAAUAAUCAUAGGUGAUGUCUGGACCAAUCUGUUUCUUUUUUUGACGUCUAUAGCAAUGUUAUCUGCAAAAUGGACAAAGUCCUCUUACAGGCUAGUGAAUGAGUUGCCAGCUAUUAUGCCGCAACAUGCUCAUAAGAUUUUCCUGUGGUCUUUCCUUCUAUUCUUUGGAAGUGUUUAUUUCUUUAUGUUGUUUUGCACUUCUUUUGUUAAUUUGACAUAGCCUCUACUUUGUUGUAUUUCAUUUAUGAUAUGAUAAACAAUUGGAUUUAAUAUCUGAUGUUACUUUUUGAAUUCUUAAAGUUUGGUGUUGAAAUAUAAACAGGAUGCCCAACCUCGUACAAUCAUUGCUCUUUGGAAGGCAAAGAUUGAGGGACCCAAGUUCAAUCAGUCAGAUCCAGGAAUCACUAUAUUUGACAAUUCUACCAGUAAGUCGUAGACUGAUAAUGGAAGUUAUUUUCUGAAAUUCUUGUUACCCUAUUGUUUCUAAAUGUAAGAUAAAAACCAUGUCUAGGUCUGGGAUUAGUAAAAAAGAUACUAAGAGUAUGAUCCAUAAAUUCACAGAGGUACUGAGUAUCUUCUUAACUGAAUUUUUCAUCUUGCAAUAGCAAAGGAAGGAGGAGAACUAGGGUGUAGAGUAUAAGUGGCAUAUGGAACUUCCUGUUCCUUUCAGAUAAUACUGUCAUUGGUAACCUUAGGCAAAUGUGCAACAAUUCUUUGGUUGAUAUGAGUCUUGGUGAAACUUUCUUGUGUAUAGAAUCUCUGAAUACAUGACCUUAUAUAGUUGCUAAUUAUCAAGCAUUAGAGGAUUGCUGAUGGGGCUAUUUAUUGGAAAGCUGGAAGAUUUGCAGUCUGGCCUGCUUUUAGUUGCAGCCAGUUGCCAUGUAAUAAUGAUUUUAUUGAUGAUAGUUAACUCUUUGUUAUUAAUCCCCAAGUUUAGGUAGCUAAUUAGAAGGUAUUACCGUUUUCCCAAUGUUUUAAUGCAUUUGGAUGGUUCUUAAGGACCUGAAUUGGCUGUUAUUUGCCUACUAGUAGCAAUGUUUGUUUUCAAACCCUAGGGUCUGAGUCCAGAAAACAAGACACUACAACAUGCUUUCUGUUGCAUGUUAAAUGCAUUAGUAUUUCACUUUUAAUGUCUGACCAAGGGUAAUUACACACAGGACUUGAGACUUUAUGUGCUAUUUAUUGGUAAAGCAAUUUUAGAAGUCCCAACUUGUUUUUGAGUCAAUAUGAGAUAUACUACUGCAUCACUCUGUUAUUCUCCUUUCGUUUUAGGACGGUGAUUAUAUCAAAUUCCAGUUUUCAUUAUCCCUUCUCAGCUGACAAUUUUGUAACUCUGUAUUUCCGUACCAGAAACACGAUACAAACUUGCAUCUUCCAGUGAGGGCGACAAACAGCAGCUCCACAGGUUGUAUGAUGCGUGCCGAGGAAUAUCUCAGGUAUACUGCUGUCAUUUUGUGCUGUCUAUGACUACUUGGUUUUUAACUUGCUUGGGAAUCACUGUCCUUGGCACUGGUUUUACUAUCAUGGAUUUGGACACGAUAGAAGUUAUACCUAAAGACUUUAUUCACACAUUAGGACUUAAAUGAAGAGUUGACCAUAGGAUGAAGCGUGCUGGUAUUGCAAUUAGAGAUUAUUAAUUCAAAAUUGAUCAUGCUUUCAAAUACUUUUGUCUAUUUUAUUUUGAUUAAAUCUACUUGCACCAAGUUACCUACUUGACCUGAGGAGGAUGCUGAGUUGACUAUUCUCAUGUCUAUGUUGCUGUCAUAGUUAUUAGUAAUUGUAGGACUAUUUUGAGGUACAGACUUGAUUAUUCAGGUGUUAAGGGAAGAGGGUAAAACUGUUCAUUGAGGAAUUGAGUGUCCUUGUGAAUCUGUUGAAUCUUCAAUCUAGUCAAGUUGGUGUUGUUUCAAUACACUAAAUGUUUCUUGACAGCCAAGCAGAAGAAAGAAAAGAAUGGCUAUUAUGACAGAUUAAGCUUAGCUUGGUUAGUGCAUAGUACACCUAAUAAAAUCUUAGGUGGGAUAUAGGUUCAAUACCCGGACCUUGCAUCAUAUCCCAACAAAUAGGAACAACUAAUAGAAGAAGAAGGCUAGUAUUGAGGACUGGUUUAGAAAAGUUGGUUUCUUUUUGUCUCUCUUCAAUUAAUGCACCUCUCUUAACAAAUGGAUUUGCCCCGUUCUUGUUCCACGAAGUGUCCUGCAACCACCACCCAAUGUCUCAUUGUCAUCUAUUUCAGGUAAUGCCGCCAGCAACUCAUAAUGCUUUUGAAACUGCAAUGCCUGAUAUUAUGCGACAAACGUCUGAAGAAGCUUUGGACUUGGCAAUGGCCAUAAGUGCUUCCAUUCAGUCUGCCUCAGAGGAAAGGCCACCACUUUCUAAUACUGACCAGAGCUCGGAAACAAAUAAUGCAAAUGGCUGGGGAGUUUCUGUGCAGGGUGAGAGUCACAAUGGAUGGGGCCCAGCUGUUGCAUCCUCACAUUUAGAGGCAAGCAGCAGUGGAUGGAUGGAUAAUUCAAAGAAAGAGGACUACAACUACAACGGGUGGGAUGUGCCUAAUUCUAGGCCAAUUGGCGAUCAAGGUCGUGUAGAAACCCGCACUGAUACUCCUGUUGCUCAAACAAGUGGUGCAAUUGUUGCAACAGCUCCAUCUGCUCCCCCAAUUCCUGAUGAGGCUCUAGGUGAAGGGCCAAUUCGCUAUCCAUCAAUUGAUUUUGGUCCACUGGAUUCCCUUGUUCCACCUGUGGAGCAUGGAGGUUCUGCGGCAAGUGAUGUAAAGAAUGGAGGUGGUUCUUCCUCGUGUAUAAUAUGUUGGGAAGCGCCCAUAGAAGGUGCAUGCAUUCCCUGUGGUCACAUGGCUGGUUGCAUGGCUUGUUUGAGUGAGAUCAAUGCCAAGAAAGGUGUCUGCCCGGUUUGCCGAGCCAAAAUAAAGCAGGUUAUACGGCUCUAUGCUGUCUGAAAAACUGACCUGAAUGUUCCCAGAUCCAUGGUUGGUUUGUGAAGAUCUUGUUUUUACAUUACAUUUUUUUUCUUUUUUCAUAAACGACCGAACUCUAAGUUAAAAUGGGAACAUUAUAAAAGCACGAAGAUGCAAGUAGGUUGUCAUCGCUAGCGGACAGAGAAGCAUGGACUAUAGUGAACUGGCGAUUGAACUUUGAUUGUUAGGCGUUUCCCCAAAAUGACACAUCACGACAAAAUUAAUGCACAAGAAAGAAUCCUGCAAGCAAUAUUAAAGUCCUGAGAGCAUUCAGGAAACCAUGCCGUAUGUCAUUGUCUUCCCACACUUGGAGCUGAAGUAAAUGUACCCUUCGCAGGUCGGACCGUGUCUUAUGUUACAGUUUCUUUACUGAAAAUUUAUGGACAAAGGGUCAAUUUUUCUUUAAAUUAAUGUGAAGUAUCAUCAUAUUUAAUUAAUUUUUUUUUUCAGCAAAUAGCUUCUAAAUUUAUGUUUAAAAGUUAAAUACAUUUAAUUUAAACUUUUUAGUAAAUAGUUUUCUAAAUUUGUAUUUAAAAAUUAAAUACAUAUUAUUUAAUUUUUUUUAAAAAUAAAAUAAUAUUAAAUUUUUAGAUUUUUAUUAAUUUAUUGAUACAAUAUGUAAUGAUGCGUUAUAGAAGAGCAUAUUUGGUAAACUGUAAAAUUUGAAUUAAAUAAGGUAAAUUUUAACUUUUUAGGAAUUAAAUAAAUUAAAUUUCAAAUUCUUAAUAAAUAGGUAUAAUUUGUUGUUUUGGGGCGACUUAAAUUUGAAUUUGAAAUUUUAUCAAAUACGUUUUUGUAUAGCGUUUUACUAGAUAUUAUAUCAGUAAAUUAAUAAAAUAAAUAUUAUUUUAAUUUUUAUAAUUUAAUUAAGAUUUAAAAAUAUUAAUAUUUAUUUAAUUUCUAAAAAAGUUAAAUUAAAUAUAUUUAAUUUUUGAAUAAAAUUUCAUAAUAUUACUUAUUAAAAAAUUUAAAUUAACUAUAUUUAAUUCAUAGACAUAGAUUCAAGAGAUUAUUUAUUAAAAGAUUUAAAUUGUUUAUAUUUAACAUUGAAUAUAAUUUCAGUUGGCCAAUUGACGGUCCGAAAAUUUAUUACUAAGAAAGGAACCCAAAAUAUUAUAAUGUGUUAAAUCAAACGAAUUGGAGUGAUCUACGUUUUUUUCUUAAAAAAAAAAAAAAGAAAAGAAAUAUUGCCCAUUAUACCAUAUUGGAUUAGCUUAUGAUUCAUGACUGAUUUGGCCUCUGCGACCCCAGGAAAGUAAUCACAUCAUGUAUUAGCGCAGGAAAAAGACAGGGAUUGAUUGUGGCUGGAAGUUGUGAUUUAGGACAUGGGUACCCUACAAGUAAGGACAUGGUGGGCAGUGGACCGCCCUAACAAGCAAACCAGGCCACAUGUAUGCCCAGCUUUUUAAUGAUGCUGUGCAGACUGCAUGGGAAAAACCAAAAUCACUCCUCUUCUUUCUACUCUUUACAAGUGGAAAAAUACCUGAUCACUGUCUCACUUACUCCUGGCUCCCAUUCCAACACCUCAAAGCCCUACCUUUUGAUAACACAUGAUGAGCACAUGGGUAUGCUUAAUAGGCAGAAUGAAUCCCCUGUGCUGCUGGGUGAUCAUCUAUUUUCUUCACAAUCAUUUCUCUUUGCUCUUUCACAUGGUCACUAGCCCACCACAGAAACUGAACACCAGGCUAAUCUUUUCAAAUUUACCCUUCUGUAACUCUCGUAUUAUUAUUUUUAUUUAUGUAUGAACUAUUAAUACUUCAGUAAGUAUAGCAAAAAGGGUGGAAGAAUCAAUUUAUCUUUGGGUCUUGAAGAUCUUCACAUUUCCCUAUUUGGGGAACCGAUCGUUAAUGAAGUUGUCGUUUGGUAUAAAGCAGCAUGGCGUAUACGCCAAAUAACAUGGUUAGUCAAGUAUAUAAAUAUAAAAGGGGCAAGAGGGUUGUAAAGUAUUUGUUCAUAUGGUGAAUAUGACAUUGUUUGACCAUUGUGUUGCAACUUGCAACAAGAGAACUUGGAGUUUUAGUUAGCCAGAGUUAGCUUAUCAAGAUUCGGAUCAUAACAUAACUUUGGUCCCUUUUUGAAACAUGUUUCCUAGAGCACCACUAAUUAUUUUAAUUCUAAACUAUCAACUAUUAAAUUAAUUUAAUAUCUCUUGUGAUCUUUUUUAUACUAUGGAAUCAAACUUUCCUAUUGUUUUAAAUAAAAACCACAGCAACAAUAAUUAAUCACCAAAUUUUGGUUCAUGGCGAGAACUUGCUAAUUUCAUAUGGGUAAUGGAGUAAAUUAAAAAAUUUUCCUCCUCUUAAUAUUAAACAAGUUUUUUUUUUUUCACGUCCAUUGGAUAUGUAUAUUAACUAUUUAGCUCGUUAUUAUUUAAAAAUAAAAUAAAUAUAUAUUUAUAGAUUUAACAUCAUAAUAAAUUUUAUUGUUAGCAAUAAAUAAACUCAAUAUAUUAUUAAAACAUCAAAAUUCAUAUAUACUGUAAAAAUAUAUUAAUUUAAUAGAGAGAAUUUUAUAUUAAUAAUUUUUGUUUUAUUUAAAUUAGGUAAAAAAAUAAAUACUUUCUAAUAUGGAUUAUUAUAUUAUUUUUCUAUUUUAAAAAUUAUAAAAUUAAACUAUGUCAAUUAUUUUAAAAUCUUUGUUAAUGACUUAAUGAUAAGAUUAUUAAAUUAAAAAUUAUGUAUGUUGUGUAUAACUUAUGAUAUCAUUAAUACAAAAAGCUCUUAUAAGACAUAUAUUUAUUUUAAAAGGAAAUAAAUCUUUUUGUAUGAUAUUAAAUAAUAAUUUUAUAAUUCAUUUAAAUAUAUUUAUCACUAUUAUCUUUUUUUAUAUUUUUAUUUAAAAUAAUAUUAUUUUAUAUUAUUAUUGACAUGAUAAAGCUUUAAUGGCAUGUUAAUAUUUUACUUCAAUUGGUAAUAAUUUUAGCUUCUUUUACUCAUAUGCAUCACAUUUGAAUAAGGUUGAGCACAGAUCUCGGUGAUUCCGGCUUGAAUCGAAUAAUCGUACUGAAAAAUAUCAGACCCGAAAUAAUCGAAUUGAACUGAUCCAAAAAUAUUUUACUACUACGGUAUGUUACUGGUUCUUUAGUAAUAACCGUACUAAAACCGAAUAUUUUUGUAUUGAUCCGGAUCAAAGUGUAGAAUUGAAUUUUUUACAUAUAUUUAUUAAUAAUUAUAUAAAUAAUACUUAUAAAAUAUUAAUUAUAUUACAAUAACCUUUGUAUUCUAUAAAAAGAAUACGUUAUAUAAAGUAUUUAUUGUAUAAUAUAUACUAUAUUACUAAUUUAUUAUAUACUUAAGCUUUAAUUUCCUUUUUAUUAAUACCAUCUAUUACCACAGUCAACUGCAUAUCUCAAAUCUCAAUUCAUAGGCUUAUUCUCUUACACUUAAGCUCUCAAUUCACAAACCAUAAACUAGCCGCAUCUCUCACACUUAAAAUUAGACUUAUAUUUUAAUGCUAUAUAAUUGUAAUUUCUUUAUUUUAAUGCUAGCCAUCUACAAAAUAUUAUUAUGCUAGCAAUAGUAAAUAUUUUAAUAGUUUAUAUUUGCACAUUAAAUUAUUAUAUUUGUAAGUAGAUUAAAUUACAAAGCAAGUUGUUCAAGAAUGUGAUUGCAAUUUUAUCUAAUUCAAAUUCUUAUACUAAUUUUAUUUGAAUGUCAAUCGUAUUUUUUUAAUAUAUUUAAUUAAAUGUAAGAUUUAAAAUUGUGUUUUCUCUAAAUGCUAUAACCGAAAAUAGCAUCGAAUUGAAAAAAUUUAUUCAAUACAGUACAAUGUCAUUUAUGUUUGGUACAGUUCAGAUACUUUAAAUUUUAAAAGAAUCGAGAUUUUGUACGAUAUUAGUGAUUUAUAAAUAACCGAAUUGGACCAAUCCGUACUCAGCCCUACACGUGAAUAUUAAUUAUUUAACUCGUUAUCACUUAAAAUUAAAAUGAUAUAUAUAUUUUUAAAUUUAAUAUUAUAGCUUUGAAUUUAUUUAUUUAUUUAUUAUUGUUGUCACUUUAGUAUGUUAUUUUAAUUCUUUGCUUAUUACAUUAAUAAUACAUUAAAUAUAUAACUAAUAUUAAAAUAUAAUUUAUAUACUAUUUUUAGGAUGAUAAAGGAUUAUAUAAUUAAAAAAUUAAUUCAUUAGUUAAAUUUAUAUAAAAAAUAUAAUUAAGAUGUUAUUUUUUAGAAUUAGAAUCAUUAUUAAUUAAUUCAAUUAAUUUAAAAUUUAGUUGGUAAAUUUAUUUUUCUCUUUCCUUUUCCAUUAUUAUAUAUUAUGAUUCUAAUUGUUAUUAAGUUUGUUUUGCUUAAUGUUAUUUAAAAAUUUUAUUUUAUAAUUAACGUUGAAACCCUAACAGAGUUAAACUUCUAAAUUUAAACUUAUAUUUAAUAAAUUAUUGAUAUUUUUAUUAUUAAUAAAUUAAUUAAUAAAUGAUCUAAUUAUUUCAAUUAGCUAAACAAUCAAUUAGAUUAUUUUAGUAAAUUUAUUUGUCCUUUCUCAUUUCACACUUUUAUAUAUAUAUGUUAUAAUAUUAAUAUUUAAUGAUUAUGGCUUCUAUAAAAAUAAACUAACUACGCGACAUUAAUAAAAAUAAUUAACAUUUAAUAACUCACAUAUUAAAUUUCUCAAUCUCAAGAUUAUUGAUAUUAUCUAUAAAUCAAGUCCCACUUACAUAUGUAGUUAUUUGUGAUUCUUUUUUUUUUUUUUUUGUAAAUUGGACUUAUCUUUAUAAAUUCACUAUUCUGUAAAGGACUCCAAUAUUACUGAACCAAAUUUGUUUUUUAUUUUUUAUUUUUUUAAUAUAGUCUCAAUUCUAUCAUGUUAAUCUUGGGAUGUCAAAUUCAAACAAUCCAAUAAAAUGGUGGAAAGAAAAGUAUUAUGUAGACCCUGUCUGAUUUAAUGCUCAAAACACUUUUUAUUUUCUGAAAGGCUUUAUCUAUCACAAAAUAGUCACCAUUACAAAUUGAUUUUUGUAGGAGCUUUAUUGCAUCACCCUUCAUGAAAAGGAAUGGUAUUAGCCCAUGAAUGAUGUGAAGAGUCAUGAUGCAACUUCUUACUCAAUUUCUUGAAAGGAAUUAUACCCUUUUUUGCCUUAUCCCCUUAAAUCAUAUAUAUUAUUAGCUGGCAUUUGAUAACCACAUAAUAGAGCAAGAGUAGUAGUGGGUUUUGUAAUUAAGACCCAAAAGUUUUCUUUCUUUUCCUCUCUCUCUCUCUCUCUCUCUCUCUCUCUCUCUAGAGGUGUAAUCAAUGUGAGAAACAAAAUUUCUUAGAGCUUCUACCCCAUUUAAUUAGGUGAAAGACUAGUCUCUUGUAAUUAUUUUGGGGGUUAUUGUUACAAACAUUAAUUUUACAAAUAAUUGGUGAAAUCAUUUCCUAAUUUAAGAUCACCUUAGAUAAAAAAAUACAUUAGAAUAUCUUUUUUCGGUCGAAAAUAUAUGAUUAGUAUAUGGUAAUUAUCAGUGUAUAUUAUUAGGUAGAGUCAGAUUCUUAUAUUGUUUGUUAGGUACUUGUUAGACACAUAUUGGGUAUUAAGAAUCUUUGGUUUUAUACCAUAUGUUGAUUGAGCAUAAAUAAUAAAUAGGGCUACCAAAGGUAUCUUUAGCAUAUUUAUAUGCUAAGUAACCACCAUACCAGAAGUGUCUGCCUGCAUAUCUACUGAUAAAAACAUAUACAUACAUACAUACAUAUAUAUAUAUAUAUAUAUAUAUAUAUAUAUAUAUAUAUAUAUAUAUAUAUAUAUAUAUUGUUAGGGCAGAUGAUCUAGAAAUUGGAUUCUUCAAAAGUUCAGAAGUUUGUCCUGUUGGGGCCUGCCUUAAGUGGUUGUCCUGCCAUUGCUAGCUAAGAGCAGUCCUUGGAUAACAUUAUUACUUUUUUUCAGUGUCUUUGGACCUUAUCUAACAGGGUUAGGGCCAUUAGGGGAAAAAGUAAAGGUUAAAAUGGAUGGAUGGAGUAAUCACUUACUAUUGAUGAUAUUAAAAAUAAUUACUACCUCACUCUCAAUUUAAAUGCGAAUUAAAAAUAUUGAUAUUUUUAACUAAUUUAACUUCUAUUAUAAUUCCUUUAAAAUACUUUUAUUAAAUUUUUAAGUAUAAAAUAUAAUAAUUAAUUACAUGUGACAAUAUUUAUGUUAAUUUAUAAAAAAUAUUUUAUUAAAUUAAUAAUUAAAAGAAACUAGGAUUUAACCAGAUUAAGAAAGAAAAAGAACUAUCAUUUUGAGAUAGGAAAUAUAAUUAAAUUACUUUUUAUAUAUAUAUAGUUUUAGCUAUAACUAGAUAAAAAUAGUUUUGCCCACUAGGAAGUGGCUUAAUUUGUAUUCUCAGUUUAAAAAAACCUUGAGUUUGAGUCUUAUUGCUAUUUCUACCAUUGUUAAAAGUCCAUCAUCUUCAUAGUGGAUAUACCCAUUUGACUCUAAUGAACAAAAAGAAGAAGCAGUAAUAGUAUAUUGAUUUUUAUUUAUUUAUUAAAACUAACAAAAACAUAUUUCUUUUAUAGAAACAUCUCAAAUUCUUCUUCUAAAUAAAUAAUUUUUAAUCCCAAAGAUGAACCCAGAAUUAAUGUUGAAUUAAAUUUUGUUAUAAUAGUGCACUUAUCUAAAAUGUAUAUGCAUAGCAAUAGUUUAUGAUAAACAUUGGUCUAAAUUAAUAAAUAAUGUGAUUAGUAGCACUUUUCAGUCCCUUUUAACAUUUUUCUUUUCUUUUCUUUUUUAAAAAAAGAAUUAAUAAUUAAAGGCAGUCUAAAGUUUCUACACCAAUUAGUUUGUAAAACUUUUCUCUAAGAGCUGAGGUUAUCAAAUAGUAAUCCAUUUUUUAAAGGAAAGAAACUUUGCUUUUGUCAUGGAAUUAGAAAGGCCAAAUUAUGGUUUAAACAUUUUUUGAUGUUUUCUUUUUGUCAUUGCUUUCUUACUUUAUUUGUCUAUUUCUUUUAUCUUACGCUUAAUAAUGUCCCUUAAUAAUGUUUUUAAUAUUUGUAUUUUUGUUGAGAACCAAUGAUUAAUUAUUAAGUUUGGUUACUGGAUUAUUUUAGGGGAAUAAUUGAGUUUCCAUUCCCUCUAAUCCAAGGAGUGAUGAAUUCAAGCUAUCACAAUAUAAUUUUCCUUAAAAUUUUCAUAAAUAAAUGAUGGGAAUAUUAAGUUUUAUUGGAAAUAUUAAACAAAUAAAAGAAAUAUUAGUUUGGAAAAUAAUUGAGUUCAGUUUGAUCAACUGAUACAUAAUUGAAAGAAAAUAUUAAUUUAGAAUAAUGUGGAAUAUUAAUAUUGUGGUGUCUGGAAUUUGAGCUUAAUUGAUAAAAUCAAAGGAAAAGAACAAAAAAGGAAUAAAAAAAAGCAGCUGAAGGGUAUGUUAGUGAUUUUGGUAAGAGUAAAUAGACAUCUGCAGAAGAAUCAUGGUCCUGGCUUUGCAAUCUGCUAAUCUAUUUUGGAUAUCCUGUUAAUUACUAUCAUCUAUCGGCUAUUAAUAAUUAACAAAUGGAAAACAAGUUGUGUCCUUGGCUUCCCUUUUUCUUUUUUCUCUCUAAUUUAAUCAUUUGAUUGCGUUUCUUAUCCCAUUUUCAUUUCCAACUCUUUGUCACCAUUCUUAAUUCAACUAAUUAAUUUAUUUCCUUUCCACAAACCCCAACAAAUCUGCAACCAAACCUUAAAGAGGGUCCUACCAUUUUCACUUUUAUUUUUAGUUUUAGUUUUCUUAAAGGAAAUUGUUUUGGCCUUUUUAGUUUUGCUCAUAAUACUUCUCUUGUUUUAGCUCUUUUACAGUCUCUCUCUCAUGCAGCUAUAUAAUGAAAGCUCUUUUGUUGUUAAAGGACAAAUCGUUAAUCAGUUGUUGACAGAGUUCCAUGCUAAUGUUCAUCAAGAUCUGUUAUUUCUUUUAUUAACUCACCUGCUUGAGCCACCCAUUUAGAAAGGUAUGGUUUUGAUUCUAAAAAGUAUCUAGCUAUUUUCAUGGAAUGAUGAAUGCUUUCUUUUUUUCCCUGGUUCAGUUUGAGUUUGUUUUUUGUUAUAUGUUAAUGGGUAGGGAGAUGGUUUUUGAUGGAUUAGCGUGUUUAUUCUUUGUUUUAGGAUUCAAAACUUUAUUGCUCUUCUGGGUUUUGUGUGAAAACUUUUGAUGGUGUGAUUUUAACAAAAAAGUCGGUGAUGUUUCUAGAAUGGUGGUUCAUCUAAUCAGUUAUCAUAAGGGUUUACGAUCCUGUUAUUAUGUUAGGUAUUCAGUUCAAAGAAUGUCUUCAUUGAGUGAAUUUACGUACUCUUGGUUAUUUUAGGAACUAGAAGAGAAAGUCUUUAGUUUUGGCUUCCAAAACAUACAUGUGAAUUCUGUUGUACUUGGACAUAUGGUGGUAUUAGAUUGUAAGAAAUGCAGGUUCUGUGUUUAAUUCUCUCAAAUAUUAAGGUGCCCAAGAUUUCACUUUCUUUCUCCCUUUUAUUACCAAGUGCAUGGUGAAAAGAAAAAUAAUUAUACUUAAACACUGAGCAUGGAAUUCUCAAAUUCCGGAAUAUCUAUCUUUGUAUUGUUUUAUUUCUGAUUAAACUGGAUUAAUCAAGAGAUAAGAUGAUCUUGAUUGUGGCAAGUUGUCAACCCAUUAUUUUUUUUCUUUGGAUAUGGUACUUUGUCAUUAGGCAUGCCAAAUUUCCUAUAAGGUUUAAUUCAUAAUGAAGUCUUUGAAUCUCUUGCAAAAGUAAACUGAGCAACAUAAUUUUUCAUUCGCUACUGAUAUCUUCUUAGAAAGGUUCUAUGUUUCGUUGCACCUUUCCUUGGAGUAGAAUUAGAUGCCCAAUAAUGCUGUGGAUGAUGUGUCUACCUGUUGUGGAAACUGGUAGCAUCGCUGAGAGACAAAAAUGGCAUCCUCACUCUGGAUUCCCUUUGAUAUUGGAAGACUUACGCGUGUGUUUAGUGAUUGUCCUUCCUGAAUCAUGGAAUGAUUUCAGUGUCUCCCUGUGGUGUAUGGAUAAUAGAACAGUGGAGAUAGAGCCAACUGAGGGAUUUAUUUCAAUCUUAUUAGCAAUGAAGAGAGCUCAAUUUUUUAAGACAAGCAUCGCUUAAUAUGUGCUGCUAGUACAUAGGUCUAUUGACUUGCUGAUAAUGUGCAGGUUGGGUACUUUUUGCUGGAAUUGGUUAGUUUAUUCUCAUUGAAGUGAAUCUAGGAGCCAGUAGUUCUCAUCGUUUUCAUAUCCUAUUGAGGUUCUUCAGGGAUAGAGAUCAACAUGGAUGGGGUACUACUGUGGAUCCCAGUUGAAGGAGCAGUUGGAAUCAGAAAAGAUUGACCCCAUUAAACUGUCCAUGCCGCUGUUAUACAUUGUUCUAUUAUUUCCUUCAGCUUCUUUCUAUCAUGUCACAGUGACUGCCUUUUGCCUAGUCAUUGGCAUAUCUAGCAUGCCUUUGCCUAUUGAUUUUUGACAGGCCUGGGCUGAUUCAUGCAAGUUGUAUUUUCAUAUCUACAAAUAAAAUUAAUUAUCUAUUUGAAGAAGGCUUCAUGCACAUGACGAGUCGUUUAGAUAACUUUUGUAAUGUAAUAAGCUAUUACUUGUCCUCUAGAACCACAAACCUGCCAGUUUUGAAAAUAUUGUAUUUGACAAGCAUAAUCUUGUAAUUUAAAAUUGCUCUCGAGUAUAUACCAAGUAUUUUCUUUGUAAAUUUUUAUUCUUUUUACAUGCCUAACAGGUCUAAUGGACAUGACACCUGUAAGAUGUCUUGUCAACAGUAUCUCUCGAUUCAUUCUUCUAGUUUCAUGCCAGACCAGGAAACCUGCACCAAUUCAGAAGGAUUAUGGGAACAUGGUUACAGUUUUAAAGCAUUUGAAACCUGUGCUUGAUGAAAUCAUUGAUUGUAAAUUAUCUUCAGAUCAAAUCUUAUAUAAAGAAUGUGAAGAACUUGAUUUGGCCGUUAAUGGGGCUCGGGAUUUUAUGGAGAACUGGUGUCCGAAGAUGAGCAAGCUUUGUAGUGUAAGUAAUGCUUUCCCUGGUUAAAAUGCUGUGCAUUAUUAGAAUAUUUUCGUUAAUUUUUUUGAAGAGGAAAUAAAAAAGCUUCAUUAUCAAUAAAAAAAGAUGUUUGCUUAGUACACUAUUUAGUGCCAGUAGAAGAAGUGUUCCAUUAGCACAUGCAUUUUUGGUAAACAUGCUAAAAAGGAAAACUCUCCUUCAAUUCCAUAAUAUUCUUUGGAGGCUUGCAACACUAACACAACCUAAAGCUGUAAUAGGGUUCCUGUUACCUUUCCCUUUUCUUCUUGGCAAUCAAAUGGAGCUCCAUAAAAUUUUUGAAAACAUGACUCUAGUUUCAGGCUGAUGGGGUUCAAAAUUCUCCAUUCACAUGUACCUUUUCCCAUGAAUAGGUUCAACAAAGUGAAGCCUUGUACAUGAAAAUCAGAAUCUCAUCGGUAAAGAUUUGUCACUUACUAUCAAGGUUGUUGCGAUCAUCGCCAUCCACUUCAAGUUUAACUAGUAUUCAGGUGUGUGCACUGAAACAGUUUCUGGUUUAUCUUUAACAGAACUGUUAUUAAUAGCAGUUCCUAUUCAUUAUUUCAUUUAUUUUCAGCUACUUUCCUGUUUCCUUGCUACUGCAGUCCAAUAUUCUAUAUUAGAAUCAAUAUCACUUUCUUAUUAGUUUUCUUGAUCAUGCCUGUUGUGUGACUAAAUUCUGGUGGAAUAUUUCCAGCACUGUAUGCAGGAGCUUCAAUCUUUGAAACAGGAAAUGAUGACAGAACAUAUAGAGGAGGCUGUAAGAAAUAAAAGAGAUGAAGUGGUUCCUUGUAGUGAUCCCCUUGUCAAAAUUAUUCAGUCACUAAGCUUGACAUCAGGCCAGGAAAUCUUGAAAGAAAGUGUGGCUGUGGAGAAGGAGAGAAUGAAUAUACAAGUAAACAAAGCAAAAGGGGACUUGGAUCAAAUCAAUCAAAUUGUGGAUCUCAUCUCUGAUAUACGUAAUUGCUUGCUUAAAAUUGAACGAGUCGACCCAAAAAGUGGAGUCCUGAUCCCCUCAUACUUUCGUUGCCCUUUAUCAUUGGAACUCAUGUUGGAUCCUGUGAUCGUGGCUUCAGGUCAAACUUAUGAGAGGGCUUCCAUUCAGAAAUGGCUUGAGCACGGGUUGACCAUUUGCCCAAAGACACGUAAAACACUGGCUCACUCAAAUCUCAUUCCCAAUUACACUGUAAAAGCUAUGAUAUCAAAUUGGUGUGAAGAAAACCAUAUAAGACCUUCCAGUAACUCUAAGCAAGAUGAUCUUAUAUCAGCCUCAGUCCCAGCAGAUGCUUUGCAGUGCUCAGAUAGUUUACAUUACUCUCUGCACAAUAGCAAUUCUAUAUCAAAAUCAUCUCUUGAAGGUGGAAAUGGAUUCGAGAAGCAAAGGGUUGUUUUCUUGUCUAAAUUAAGCAGAGAAGAACCCAAUGGAUAUCAAGUCCAGAAGAUUGAAAGCUUUGAGCGCCCAUCUCAUGAACUGUCAUAUAAUCACAGCAGGAGUGAAUCAACCUCCAGCGCCAUAUCCAGUAUAGAGUAUGUGCCUCCAAUAGCAAAUGAGGUAUCAAUGGUAUCUAGAAAACAUGAAAAGGUUAGUGAUUCGUCAGGCGAGAUCACAUCCGAGGGCCAUGCUGUUUUGCCAAACAAAGAAUCAGAGUUUUCUCCUUGGUUUCCUACAGACCAUUUUAGUAUUCCUAAAACGAAGGCAGAUGGCGAAGGCAAUGCAAACCAUAAACUCAACAGAACCCGUGCUGUUCCUUUUCUUGACUCAGGUUUUGAUGAUCUAACUACAACUUCUCAUGUUGAAUGUCUGAUUGAAGGUCUUAAAAGCCAAUCAAAUGAACUGCAAGCAACUGCUGCAGAAGAAUUACGCCUUCUUGCAAAGAACAAGAUGGAGAAUCGCAUCAUUAUAGGUCGCUCUGGAGCUAUUACACCUUUGCUUUCACUACUGUACUCAGGUGUAAAGCAAACUCAGGAGCAUGCUGUUACAGCUCUGUUGAACCUCUCAAUCAAUGAAGAAGUUAAAUCCAUGAUUGCAGAGGCAGGAGCACUGGAACCACUUAUUCAUGUCUUAAAAUCAGGAAAUGAUGGAGCCAAGGAGAAUUCUGCAGCAGCCCUGUUUAGUCUCUCUGUUUUAGAAGAAUACAAGGCAAAAAUUGGCUGUUCUGGUGCAGUCAAAGCCUUGGUGGAUCUUCUAGCCUCUGGGACUCUAAGAGGGAAAAAGGAUGCCGCCACUGCAUUGUUUAACCUUUCAAUCCUUCAUGAGAACAAGGCUCGUAUAGUUCAAGCUGGAGCUGUGAAGUAUCUUGUUGAGUUGAUGGAUCCUGCCACUGGAAUGGUUGAUAAGUCAGUUGCUCUUCUUGCAAACCUGUCAACUAUUGGAGAAGGGCGCUUGGCAAUUGCGCGUGCUGGAGGCAUCCCUUCACUGGUUGAGAUUGUUGAAUCAGGAUCUCAGAGAGGGAAGGAAAAUGCUGCCUCUGUAUUGCUGCAACUGUGCCUUAAUAGUCCCAAGUUUUGUACUUUUGUUUUGCAAGAAGGAGCAGUUCCUCCCCUUGUUGCCUUAUCCCAGUCUGGCACACUGAGAGCAAAGGAAAAGGUAUGCUUUAACUCUCACUUGCUGGCUUAACCAAAUACCUCAAUGUUCUGGUGUUAUUUUUAUGCCUUCUACUAGGAAGUAGAGGAAGCGUGAUAACUAAAUGGCAAUAGCAUCUCUUCUUAUCUUUUCUUUUUUUAAACCACAGCAAUUUCUCCCUUCUGCUUGUUCCAAUGAGCUGCUUUUGGGAGAAAGAAUGGGAGAAAAAACUUCCAAGUAUUGCCAUAUUUAUGUUGCUUGGGAGAAUGGGUUGUAACUAUCAUAUUUUUAAUUUCUAGCAGAGGUAUCAAACCAAGUUUUUGGAUGUAUUAUAGUGUGUGAGAUCAUAUAUGAUUUACAUGUAUUAUGCAUUGCAGGCACAGCAGCUUCUCAGUCAUUUCCGUAAUCAGAGAGAAGGAUCCAUGGGAAAGGGUAAAUCAUGAAAAGAAUACAAAUUUUGUUUGAUUUUUUAAUACGUUUGUUGCCCAUCAGGGUUUUCAACAUAUUUUAGGUUGUAACUAUAUCUGUUUGUGUUUUAGUCUUCAUUUUUUUCCCAAGUAGGAGUUAGCGUGCUCAUUAGAUUUUAGUUUCCCAAAUAUUUGAGUGCAGUCAUUGAGGAUUUGUUCUUUUCUUUUUUGUGUUUUAGAAUACAAAAAUCAUAACUGCUUGGGUCCUAAGUAAUGUAUAUAUCCUGUAUAUACUAUCAAUAUGCUAUAAAAUAAGACAAUGCAUAAAUGUUCACAUUUUGAGGGUUCGUGCUUUUGCACAUGUAUCAAUAUGGACACUUUCCUUGGUAUGCAUCAUUCCUCUUUGGUUCAUGUUGAAGUUCAGUUAAUAGUAAAUACUGGAAUGGUAAAAAGUGAUCCAAGCAUUUCAGAAAUGUCGGUGGAAAUUAAAAUGGAAGUAUAAAACACAGGUUAUGGAUAUUCUACAGCUCUGAAAUGAAAGGCAUCAUAAAAUGAUCAUCUUGGUGGUUCCGAUUCUGAUAGUUGUUUGUUUACAAUUUUGUUAGUUGUAGUUCUCCAAUUUGUUGUCAUUGUUCAAUUUUUUGUAGAGACACUUGGAUUGUACUUUUCCUGUAUAAGAAAGUCCUUUCAGCUGUUUCCAUUUAGGAAUGAAGUCCCUAUGCUAGUAUUCUUUUCCAAUUGAGCUAUAACAGAACUUACAGAUUACAUCACGCCCAGCGGAAGUUGGCUCUCAGUUCCUUGCCGUAUAAAAACAAGAAGAUAUUUCGAUCUUAUGUGGCUAUAAUUGGCAAGUGAAAGGUAGUUGUGUAUAUAUAGCACAGAUGUGGAUUCCAGUUAGGUUCCACGAUGGAUGCUGCACCUGUACACUCUAUCAUGAACAAAGAUGAAGAGAUUGCCUGGUACUAACGGGCUGCGAUGAUUUCUGUUAGUUCAGUUAGCUCGAUUGUAUACAGAGGAAUAUGUUGAGUGAGAUGUCCAGAUACAUAUAAUGAAUGCUCUUUUGAUUCUGUUGAAUAGUAACUUUAGCAUUAGUUACAGAGGCUGCUUGUUGCAGUCUCUGUAACUGGAGGCUGUAAGGCACAUGCACAAAGCUGCUAUAUUAUGUAAAUUGCAGGCAUGCAACUAUGCCUAGCAUUUCUUGGAGAAGCUACUUUUUGUAAGAGAAAAGGGCAAUUGCCCGUUGCCUAUUGCUAUUAGUGAAACAUAAAUAAAUAAAUGAAAAGCUCAGAAAUUUUUAGUAUUUUAAGAAUCUAAGGACUCUCACUUUGACCUCUAGUCAAAUAUCUAUUAUAAUUAUUUGGGAAUAAAUGCAUAAAAAUAUCUUGACAAUCUCAGCAUAUAGUAAUUUUUUUUAGAUAAAAAAAAAUAUGGUUAAAAAUUGUGAUAAAAGAAAUAUUUUAUCAGUAAAAAGUAUUAAUCGGCAAGAAUUUAAUUAUUUUACUAUUAUUAUUAACUGUGAGAUAUUCUUUUUAUUACGAUUGUAACAUCGUUUUUCUUUUUAUCUAAAAUAUAAUAUAUAUUAAAAAAUUGAGAUACCUUUUUAUGUAUAUUCCAAUUAUUUAAUAAACUAUGAUGCUAAACAAAAUAGAGAUUUAAGAAUGGAUUAAAGCACUGCAAUUUUUAUUUUUUUAUUUUUUUCUUUUGGUUUUUGGAUUAUGUAUGGGUAUUAUAGUAAUAUUGAGGGGAUUGAAAUAUAUAAAAUAACAGCAUGUAAUUAUUAAAAAGAGGGGGCAUGGGAAUAAAUAAUUGAUGGGUCUAAUAAUAUAAACUCUCACUUUCUAUGACGACUGUUUCCUAUUUUAAUUACAAUUUUUGUACCAUAAUAUCUCUCAACAACAGACACUCUUAUCAUUAUUUCUCAUCCUUUUCGAUUUCCUUUCUGCUUUUACAAACCAUUAAUAAUAAUAAUAAUAAUAAUAAUAAUAAUAUAUUGUGAGUUAACUCCAUCCAUUUAUUUAAUGAUAUUAAUAUCACGUGGUUGUACAAAUGUAUAAAUAUUUUAAUAUAUAAUUUGAAAAUUUUUUAACCUAUUAAUUUAAAUAUUCGAAUUUGAUUAAAAUCUAAAUAUUAUGUAUACGUCUCAUUUUCCUUUUCAUUAUAGCCAUCAAGUCGGUUCAAUAUCUCAUUUUUACAUGAUUCUAAUCGAUUUAAAAGUCUCUUACUGUUUUUAGAUCUUAUAUACCAUUUUAGCUACUUAUUUGAAUCAAGUUGACUCACAAUUAGAACUUGUAAGAGGUAAACUCAAUGAAAUUAUAAAUUAAAAAUGCCAAUUCGAAAUCCCAUAUUAAAUUAUGAAAACUAUACGUGAAUAAAUCAUAUAGAUUAACAUCCCAUUACAAAAUUAUCAUUAUAAUAGAAAAGUAUGUCCUUUCUCUAAUCAACAAUGAAAAUGUUACAUAAGAAAAGAGAAGAAGAAGAAGAAGAAGUGGGCCUAGUGGGGAUCCAACUAAACUGUAGUAGUGGAGCCCUAGCAUAUGGGUGAAGAGCUUAUCUGGCCCCUCUAAUUCACCAACUCCAAUUGCCUUAAAUUCUCAGAUACAAAUUCUCAUGUCAAAUGGGCCCUCACGAAAUCUCAUCACAAUUUGUUCUCAUAAUAUUUUUCUUUUUAAAAUAAAAAUUCAAGUUUUUUGUUGUUUACCAAGUUUAUUUGUACCAGAAAAUCAAACACACACACACACACACAAGAAGAGGGAUGUUGGAUUAUUUCAUUAAUUAAGGGACAGAUAUUUCCCUUAAAUUAUUAUUCUUUUGACACUUCAGUGACUAAUCAUUAUAUAUUAUUACAUUUUUCGAUUGAGAUACUGAUAUAUAAUAAUAUUCUUGUAAAAUAAGUAUUUUUAUUAAAUAAAUUACUAUUCCUAAUUUAUUAAAUACUUUAUUCUAUUAAAUUUUUGUGCUUUAAUUUAUCGUACUUAAAAUAUUCUAUUAAAUAGUUGUAUUUUUAUUUUUUAGUUAAAAAUUAUAUCAGAGAAAAUCUUAUUAGGAUUUAAUAAAAUAAAUUAAAAAUUAAACAAAUUAAAAACUUAAUAAUUAUUUUACUCUAUUUUGGAAUUCGUUUUCUUUCUCCAAUGUCAGAAUGAUAAUAUUAUUAUUCUAAUACUAAUAUAUAUGCCAGCUUUGCCACCUGCCCCGCACGUUGCCGAAUUUUUUUCUUUUUCCCUGAUUCAUUAUUGGAGAGCUUCAUAACCGAGGUAACUAAUUUCUUUUUAUAUAUUACUUAUAAAUUCUGCUCAUUCCGUUGCAUAAUAACUCUCUCUUUUUCACGUAAAUUAGAUUUUUUAAUUAUUAAUUAUUUUUAUAUAUUUAAUAUAUAAUAUUAAAUUCUUUUUUAUUUUAUUCUUAUAUUAAAAUAGGUGUAAUAAAAUUUUAUAAUAUUUAAAAUCAGUUUUAAUUUAAUUAAAUCUGAAAUCAAAUGAAAUAUUAUCCACUUUGAUCCCACUAAUAAAAUUUUAAUUAUUUAUCUUUUUUAUAUAUUUAGUAGAAUAUUAAUUUUUUUAUUUUAUUCUUAUGGUGAAAUAAGUAUAAUAAAAUUUUAUAAUAUCUAUAAGAAAAUAAAUAAAUUUAAUUUAAUUAAAUUUGAAACACAUGAAAUUAUUGUUCGCUUUGACCCUAAUAGUCUCACGGUAUCCUGAAAUUUUCAUUUUGGAAUUUCUACAACUCCACAACCAAACAAUCAAAAAGUACAUUAUGUGAUUAAUUCUAACUCUUUAUAUAUAUGCUAUCAACCAUUUUCUGCCCAACUUAUCACGAUCCGAUCUGUCGGCUGUGACCGACACUAGAGAAUGAGUAAGCUUAGGGUCACUAAAAUCCAUAAGAAGCCUAAUUAAUUGACAAUUCAAAUAUACAUACAUAUAAAUAUACUAUUAAACCAGCUUAACAUUUCAUUCACAAAUCUCCAGCUAGAUGCUAACAGAUAUUUCAUAACUUGUUACGCACUAAAUUCAAACAUAAUAUGCCAGGUACACUACCGCAGAUAGUCUUAAAUUUUAAAAUUUUCAGGUAGCAGCUAGAUUCUCCGUCGUCUUUCGCUUGACAAUCUGACUUCCUUCUCCUUCGAAAUUAUUGUAAUUAAUUUCUACUUUUGCAUUUUAAAUUAUUUAAAAUUCUAGACUAUUCGGAGUAGUAUACUCCAAUUUUGAUAUGCAAUUCAAUUCAUUUAUGUACCCCCAUAUCUUAGAGUGUUGUCAUCCUGGAAGCCUUCCAAAAGCCACUCCUUGUUUAGAUAUCCUAUCUUUGUCCCGGCGUCCACUUUCCCGCUCAUUCGAUCUCUUUUCUAGGCCAGGCUGUCACAUGUCUAUCAUCUUCUGACUGAUUCGCCUCGAACCACAUAUCUACUAGAGUUGUUCUGCUAUGAUAUCAUUUGUAAUAACUCGGAACCAGAUUAUAUAAGAUAUUGUUCGCAUUGGCCCCACUGGUCUUAUGGUUUUGUCCCAUUGGCGAACUCGAGAAUAUUCUAAGAAUUCACUCAUCCUAAAAUUUUUUUCGUAUAAAGCACGUUUAACUUUAGAGUUCCUACAACUCCACAACCAAACAACCAAAAAAUAUCUCAUAUGAUUAAUUUCAACUCAUUACAUAUAUGCAACUAUUUCUUGCCCUGUUUUGAAAAGCAAUUCAAUUCAUUUAUUUACCUCUGUAUUUUAGAAUGCUGUUAUCCUUAAAGCUUUCCAGAAGCUGCUCCUUGUCCAGGCAUCCUAGCCUUAUCUCGGUGUCCACUUUUCACCUUCAUCGAAUCAUUUUUCUAAACUAGGCUAUUACACUUUAAAUGUUUCUUUUUUAAUCUGAGUAAACUAUUAAUAAAAAAAAUAAUUAGUAUGGAAUAGAAAAAUUACUAAUGACAAUUUUUUUUUUUAGUUUUCGAUAAAUUCUUCUCAUUUUUCUAAAAAAAAAAAAUAUAAAUGGAAAUAAAAUAAAUUGAUAAUCGUCGACUAAAAGACAUAACAUAAUUUUGAGAGCCAAAUGUAUAUAACAAAUAUCAAUGUAUUAGGUGGACAAAUUCGGAAUGCAAAGAGAUAUAUGAGACCCAGAUAUAUAUAUACCACACAGUCAUAAUGAAGAGAGCCAUACAUUUUAAAUAUUUCAAUAAAAAAUAUAAUAGAUAAUAUAUCACAUAAAUUUAUUAGUUUAUUAAUUAUAUUUAUAUAAAUUAUUAUUAGAAAUAUAAAUAUAAUUAAUUGAUCUUUUUUAAAAUUUAAAGUCAUUGUUUAAUUAAGAAAUAACUCAUUUAUUUAAUAUGUUAAUUAAUCUUACUAAUUUAUAAUUAGAAUUAUUAUUUAAUUAAAAAUAAUAUAUUAAUUAUAUCAAUUAAUGUAAUACUAUUUAAAUAAAAUAUAUAUAUAUAUAUAUAUAUAUAUAUAUAUAUAUAUAUAUAUAUAUAUAUAUAUAUAUAUAUAUAUAAGAAUAAUGAUAAAAAUAAUCAGUGAAUUUCAUAUUUGAACUUUCAGUCAAGAUUUAUAUAAUUAAAAUAUUAAAAAUAUUUUGUUUCAGUUUAUAUAUAUAUAUAUAUAUAUAUAUAUAUAUAUAUGGUUGAUUUUUUUUUCUUAUUUUAUGCUAGUUAAUUCUUACAAAUAAGUGUUAGUUAACUUGAUUAGAGAGUUGAAUUAUUGAUCUAUUAUAGAGAUUUUGAGUUAUUUUUUAUCGACCAUAUAAGUAUUGAGAUUUCUUUUUUGGAAGUGAUGAAGAAAAUAAAAAAGAUAUAUUAUUUAUGGGUGCUUAAUAUUACCAUGAAAAAUACACUUACAUUUAAAAUUUAUUAUUCUAUCAACAUGAUUAAUAAUCAAUAAAAAUAAACUUAUAUAUUUAUGUUUUGAUAUUUAGUAUUUAGUUUUAUUUUUUAUAUUAGAAUGCGUCUAUUUUUAAAAGGAAAAUGUACCUUAUGCAUUAUAAUAAGUAUAUUAUUUGAAAAAUUUUCUUUUAUUUUGCUAAAACCCUCACCCAAUUCUGGAGGAGUAAAUGCAAAUCUCUUAUAAAACUACUAACUUUCUUGACGAAUCGCUUAUAAGAUUAUUGAAUCUGAUCUAGAUAUUGUAAACUUAUUCAUAUAAAAUUAAGCUUAAUUCAUAUUUUUGGCAAAAUAAUAGAAAAAUCAAAAUUCAUUAUUUUUCAAACUAUUUUAUUCCUUAGUUUUUUUGUUCCAAAACAUUAAUAUUAAAGUUUUAAUAUCUCAAGACUGUCAUCAACUCUGGUACGAUAUUAAUGCUUUAUGACACUAAUAUAUCAUAUAUUUUUUGACAUUAUUUUGUCCAUGUUUCUGCUUAUUUGUUCUAUAAUUAUAUUAUAAGCUUAUUUUAUUUAUAUUUGCAGAUGGCUUUUCGUGCAUAUUUUUUUUUAACUUAAUAUUUCUGAGCAUUAAGGAUAAUUCAUAGAAUGUGGUUAUUAAAUCAAACCCAAGUGCAAAAAAAUAAAAAUAAAUCUACCCAUUAAAAUUAUGUUUAACACUUCAAAUUUAUAAAUUUCACACAUCAAACCCUUAAUAAAACUGAAGUUAUCAUUGUCCGAAACAUUAAUAAAUAUGUUUAAUUUAAUACUUAUGGAAGUUUUCAAAAUUGUUUUAGUAGAAGGAAAACAAAGACAGAAAAUGUUAUAUAUAAAUAAAUUUGCUUGCAGGCCUGCAACAGAGUUUUAGUUAACUUGCGCUUUCAAGUAGUUAUGUAAAAAUACAUAUAUCUUCCAACUCCUAACUGCCUGAACUUGUUGUUUUGAACUGUUCUCAAUUUUGUAAGGACAUGGCAGCAGUCUCUCAGCCUGAUGCUCUUCAGUUAUGGCAAUUUAUUUUGGCCCCAUUAACAUUUUUUCCUCUAAAUUUGAUUUCACAUUUACAGCAGCCUACCAUUGAUACAUACCUUUUGAUAUACGGAAAUCUAGUUGGACCAUAAAUAUAUCAAUACAACUGAGUUCAGAAAUUCCUUUUAUCUACUAUUUAGAGUUAGUCUCACUAAUUUUAAACAUGUCGGAUACAACUCCUGUAAGAGUGGUAAAGUGAUAUAUGAACAGCUUUAUGCAGUUGUAUAUUCAAAGUUCGAAUUUGAAACUCAAAUUAAAUCAGAGAGAUUUUUACUGUCUCAUCCACGUAAUGCUAGAUAGAUCGGUAAAUUUUAAUUGCUAACAUUCAAUUUCUUUUCUAAAAAAAUCUCGAAUGUUUAUUUUUAAAAUAGUUUUAUUUAAUACUAAAUUUAGUUAGUGCAAAGAAUUAUUUCUGGUUAAAUAAAUGAUUGUACUUUAAUGCACAAUCUGAUUUGAUUCACUUAGUGAUGGAAAUAAACAAGCAUAGUUGUUUAGUGAAACACUGUAUACAUAAUGGCAUGUUUUGUUUCGUCGGUCUCAUCAUUCAUCAUGUACUUAUUAACUAUUAUUUGACUUCUUUGGAAAUUUCUAUAUACAGAAACCCAAUUAUGAAUGAGACUUUUGAUGUAUGAAAUCAAAAAAGAAAGGCCCUUAGUUAACCAUAAACUUGUCAAAUGUAAAUGAGUGUCAUCUCUAACAAAUUGAAAAGGAAUUAUCAAAUUGUUAAAGGGAGAAUAAUGAGUGGGUAAUAAAUGACAAUAAUCAUUCCACCCACAAACUUAAAUAGUUGAAUGAAGCUCUAACAAUAAAUUAUUAAUUAACAUAUUUUUAUUCAUAAUUAUUUAUUUGGAUCUUUUCUUUUUAUCGAAAAACUGGAUUCAUUAAUCUAGAAUGAAUACAAAAAGAUACAUAAGAGCUAAUUAGGAUCGAAAGGAAACUAGAAAUAUUAGCUGAUAAUCAAAUCCUAAACUUUUUUAUUAAAGAAAUUCUGAUUCAAUGCGAAAAAAUUAUUUUACUCAAAAUUCUAAAAUAUCGAAUGAGAUUUUCAGAAAAUUUAUAUCUUUAAUAACACACAAUUUAAUACAAAAAGUUCUUCCACUCGGAUUUUUCAUUAGCAAAAUCAACUUCUUCUUCUUUACAAAUUAAGUUUUUCUACUUGUAGUUCUACAUCGACAUCCAUGGUUAUGCAUAUGUUAGUGCUCUCUAGGGUUGGCAAUCUUAAACAUGGCAAAGUUGGAAAUGAUAUGAAAAUAAGGGCCGUUAUCGUCACGACUCGAUAAUGGCAUGAAAAAUUAAUCUGUUAAGAAGAGGCUUUAUCUUGUAUAUAGUAUACAUACAAUAAAAUCUAUAUAUUUAAAAUCCACUUUGUAUAUUAAAAUAUUAAUUUAUUGAUGUAUAUAAAAAUCUUUUAUUUCAUAUAAAUAUUUAUUAUUUAUUAAUAAAAUUAUAAUAAUUAUCAUGCUACCUAUUUAAUAAAGGAGUCAUAUAUGAUUUUACUGUAAUUGAAGAUCCAAGAAGUAAAAGAAUGAAGAAAAUAUCACAACUGAAAAAGAAAAAAAGAAAACACAUAAACACAGAAGAAGAAUAAUCUGCCUAAGGAGACAAUCGAGAAUACAACAGCUGAAGAACCAAAGCCAUAAACCAUAAACACAGACCAAUUAGACAACACAGUCCAAGAUGAAGCAAUAAGAAACAAAGAACAAGUUGCUAAAAGGACAUAAACUAGCGUAUAUAUCACCAAACAUCAGUAAAGCAGACCUGAAAAAUAGCUAAAGAAAACCAUCAAAAACCAAGCUACAACAUCAGAAGAUCUGCAGCUUUCUUGCUUUGCCAAAGCAUCAACCGAAUAGUUUUUUUCUCUGAGUGGUCUUUAAUCCAGGAUUCCCAAGAGAAGAGCUUUCAAUAUAUACCAUUUAAGAGCACCAGGGAAGAUAGCUGCUCAACCACUUAUUAAAGGAGGGGAAACCAUCAAGAUAAAGGAACCUAAGAUAAUGGAAUAACCCAACAAACCUGGAGAACAAGACUAAAAGUAUAUGUUUGGUUCAUGAGAAAGUAAAAGAAAAUGAAGCAAGAUAAAGAUGGUCUACUACCCGGAUCUAAAUUAUAUGAGAUAUUGUCUAUUUUAACUCUUUAAGCCUCAUAAUUUCAUCUUCUUGGUGGAUUUGAGAAUUUUCUAAAUGCUAUCUAUCUUAAGAUUUUCUUAAACCCAACAGGUUUCUUCAAUUACUAAAUCAAACAACCAAAACAAGUAUCAUAUGUGGUUCAAUUCUUUACAUAUAUGCCAUCAAUAAUUUUUGAUCCCAUUGAGAGUAGAUUUAUUCAUGUACCCCAUAUACUAAAGUAUAUAACAUCUUAAAGGUCUAUUAGGAGCUAUUCUUUAUUUAUUAGUUUCCUCCCCUCCAAUUAUUGUUUUGGUAAUUUGUGUUUAAUGCCCUCCAUUUCUCNNNAAGUUUGAUAGUAAAAAAAAGAAUUGAAUUAGUAUUAGAAUUGCCAACUUAUCAUAUAAUAAAAAAAGAGUGAUAUUUAAGUAAAUGAACAAAUGAUCUAGAAAUAAAUUGUCUUUUUUUACCAUCUUAUUCAUAUUUAUUAGGGUUUAGAGGACAAUUUAAUAAUCUAAACUUUCGUGCAUUUUCAACUCAUUUUCUUUUGCUUUGUAGUAUGUUGAACAAUCUAAAUCUUACAAAAUUUCUCUAAAAUGUCCAUAAAUGAGUUAGUAUGACUCAGUUUUUUGUUAAAUUAUUAGAAUUAAUUUUAAUAUUAAAAUACAUUAUUAAAACUUAAAAAAUAAAUUUUAGAUAUUAAACAUAAAAAUAAAUAUAGAAAACAGAAUUUAUUUAGCCUUUAAACUUAGAAAAAAUGACAUUUAUUUUAUACUAUCACUCAUACAUUCCACUUUCGAAUUAUUUGCUAAAUGUGAACGUGAGAUUUUUGCUUUUUAUUCAAUUAUAUGUAUACUAUACGGUGUGAGCGGCUAUUUCUUCAUAAAUCUCUAAUUAUAAAGAUUGUUGAGCAGCUUUCUUCUUCUUUUUUCUUUAUCUUUUGGAACUGUGGUGUUGUGAAGAAACUUGCUCCUAUGGUGUCUCUUUGCCGGACAAAACAAUUUGCAUUUAAUUCAAGAAUCAAUUUAAACAUUUUUAGUAAAUAAUUCUUGAAUUUAUAUUUAAGAAUUAAAUAUAUUUAAUUUAAAUCUUUUCAGUGAAUAGUUCUUUUAAUAUUUACGUAUUAAAUACAUUCGAUUUAAACUUUUUAAAAAGCGAAAUAAUAUUAGAUUUUUAAGUUCUAAUUAAAUUAUAAAAACUAAAAAAUUUAUAUUUAUUUCAUUAAUUUACUGAUACAACAAGAGUGUAUUUAGUAAAAUAUAAUAUUUAGAUUUAAUUGAGUAAAAAUUAUAAAUAUUAAAUAAGUCAAACUUCAAUUUUUUUAAUAAAUAGGCUCAUAACUUGUCAUUUUUUAGUCAUUUAAAUUUUAUAAACACUUUUAUAUAGCACAUCACUAAAUACUGUAAGUAAAUUAAAAAAAAUAAAUAUUAUUUUUAAAUAGGCGUAUUUAACUCUUGAACACGAANNNNNNNNNNNNNNNNNNNNNNNNNNNNNNNNNNNNNNNNNNNNNNNNNNNNNNNNNNNNNNNNNNNNNNNNNNNNNNNNNNNNNNNNNNNNNNNNNNNNNNNNNNNNNNNNNNNNNNNNNNNNNNNNNNNNNNNNNNNNNNNNNNNNNNNNNNNNNNNNNNNNNNNNNNNNNNNNNNNNNNNNNAUCUUAUGAUAUUUUAAGAAUAAAUUAAAAUCUCCUUUUCUUUUAUUAUAUUAUACAAAAACUUCUUCUAAUAAAUUGUAUUCUAAUAAUUUAUUAAAUUUAUUUAAAAUUUUAAGGAUAUGUUUGUUUCACGGAAAAUAUUUUUUAAAAUUUUAUGUAUUUGAAAUUUUAGAAAAAUAAUUCAAAUAAAAUUGUUAUCUAGUCAAUAAGAAAAUUUUAUAUUUAGAAAUAAAAAACAUAUUUCUUCAUUCGUAAAACAAAUGAAACAAAGGUAGCCUAAAUGUACCCUCACCAUCACCAUCUGCAUCUCCAUCACUAAUCUCUCUUCUUCUUUUUCUUUUUAAUAAAACAGCUUCUUUAAAUUAAAACCAUCACCACCCAACACUGCUACCAUCAUUGUCUGUGAAAUUAUAAAACAUUCUCCCAUUAAAGUAGGAUAUUUACGCUUCAUCUUCUUAAACAAACCACCCAACUCCACACCUCUUCAUUUUCUAUUUAUUAGAAUGAAAACAGCCCAACAAAAACAAUCUCUCCCUUUCCUUUUUCUUUGUUUUCCAACUAUGAACAUUACUACCCCCGCCUUUUCCACCACCAUCUCUAUCAAAAAUCUGCCAUUGUCUGUUUCUGUUGUUGACAAAGACCAACCAAUUAUCGCAGCAGCUGCUUCCACCAUUGAAGCGAUCAUCACAGUGUUAAUAAAGAACAAGCCCAUUCACGACCUCAACGUCAUUUAAGAGAUUAGGGCAAUCUUAGCACCUUUUCUUAGAUAGCAAAUGGUGAAAAUUCCCACUCUUCGUGUACAAGGAAAGUGAAAAAGAAAAAGGCUUUGGCAGUGGGUGGUGACAUUGGUUAUGAUAGCAGCAGCGGAUGGUCGAAUUGGUGACGGAGAUGGCAGUGUUGAUGCGUGGGAUUUUGUUAGUCUUUUUUCUAUUAAAAAAAAAAAAAACUGAAAGAAAGUGUCGUUUAUAUAUAAAAGUUCUGUUAAAUUUUGAAAGAAAAUGUUGCUGGAUGAGCUUGUUAUUCUUUUUUUUUUUUUUAAGAAAAUAUUUCUCUAUGGAGAAAGUGAAAAUAAAGGAAAAAAUAAAAAAUUGAAUUAAUAAUUGAACGGCGGAAAAUAUAAUAAAAAAGUUUUUAAUAUAUAUAUAUAUAGUAAAAUGAAAAAAUUAAUUUUAUAAGUUUUUUGAAAUGUCAGAGAAAUAAUAUUGCAACAGGAUAAAUAUCUUGAGAUAAAAUAAUAUUUAUCAAAAAAAAUUUACCUUUAAAGUUUACAUAUAAAUAUGAUGAUAAAUUUAUAAAAUUACAGUUCUAACUUUCUUUAGGUUUGUUAUAAAAAUAAUUGUCAUUUUGCCCUUUAAAUUCUGACUUUACUCAUGUUGUUUGGUUUUGUGUGUUUUUCAUUUAUUUAUUUUUGUUUUGAUAGAAUACAAUAUUAUGUUAAUGAAUAAUAAUAUAAGAUAGUAAAGUUUGCAUUAGGAUGUCAAUUAAUAUGGACAGACAAUUAGAAGAAGGACAGCAUCGAAUUGUCAAAUCCCACCAACAAAGGGACAGGACACGCUGUUUGUUUGCUGCACCCAAUUCCCAUUAAAUGGCUUACGUAGUUUUUCAAAACUAUAAUGUCUAAAAUGCUUUCUCUCUACAUUAUUAGCAAAUUUACUGUAUUUAUUUAUUAUAUUUUAACACAAAAAUAUAUUCAAAAAUAAAGAAAUUCGAUGUCGAGUUAGGACAGCUCCCAGAUUGUGUUCAUAUUCAUUAGUUGGAUCAUAAAUAACAUGAAGCCACAACCUUGAGCAAGGUCUGGAAAGACAUUUAACAGUUUUUUUGACAUUCUUUUCUUAAAAAAUACCUAAUAUCUUAAAAAUAUGCAACGAAAUCCUACAAGACAUCAUUAUUUCUGAUAUGAAAUUGUUUUAUCUAAUUUAAAUUAAUAUAUUUUAUAUAUUUUAUUAUUUAUAAAUGAUUAAAUUUAUAUAUUAAUAAUCUAAUAUAAAAAAGAGAGAUGGAAAGAGAAGUUUUUAGGUCAGUAUUAGAUUAUCAUGAGUUUCUUCUAUGUAUGAAUCAAAUUUGCCACAAAGAGUUUUAGGAUGUUCACAUAACAAUGUUUCUUUAUAUCAGCCCAAAAGAUUUUAUAAAAAGAACAAAGAAAUAGGACCUCAUGAGUUAGCAAUGUAUAUAAACAAGGUAAAACUUUCAAACCUCCUUCACGCUCUAAUAUUUAUUAUAAUGUUCGGUUUUCAUAUGGUCUUUAAAUAUAAACCAUAUGUCACUAAAAACACUACUUCUAAAUCGCUCAAUUACAAAAAAAAAAAAAAAAAAAAAAAAUCAUCAUCAUUAGCGACAGAUUAGAUAGUAUAUCAUUUGCUAAAUUUAGUGAUUACGGAUUUCUUUAAGAAAAAUGAAAAGUUCAACUGUUAAUUCACUGCUAAUUUUUUUUAAUUUUAUAAGAUAGUAUAUUUUUGUUAGAAUUAAUUGUUUUAUUUUUAAUUUUACAUUUAUUUUAAUUCUUAUUUAUAUGUUGAUGUAAGAUUAGUUUGAUAAAUUACAAUAUUAAAAUAUUUGAUAAAUUAGUAUAAUAUAAUAUUUCUAUUGAACACCUUUGACUAUUUCAAGUGUAUGCUUUUUUAAUCGUACAGUAAAAAUCCAUGUCAUUUUCAAGGUUAAUAGAUAAUUUGACCUCAAAUAAAUGUAAAAGUUAUUUUUUAUAAAAAUUGUUAAAUAUUUAGAUUUUUUUUUGCUUUGUUUUCAUUGCAUGAUUAAAACUUAUAUGUUAUAGUUUUUAUUAUAAUUUUAUCUUAUUUAUAAAAAAAUUCUAUUUUUAAUUAUACAAUUGUUUUUCUCUUUUUUUUCAGAUUUACUAAUUAUCCUAUUAAAGUUCAAUAAUUAUUUAACAAGAAAUAUUAAUAUAAAAUAUGUACGUUGAUAAAUAAAUAAAAAAAUUGAAUGUCUUAGUUUCAAUAUUUUCUCAAAACAUUAUAGCCUUACAAUAUAACAUUUUUUAANNNGAAGAAUGUAUGAAGAUAAAGAUUUUAAAUUUUUAUAGUAAAAGAAAUAAAAAAUUUAACAUAAAAUGUAAUAAGAUUUAAAUUAUGUUUUCUUUCAUAUUACUUGACAUGUUAGUUUGGAUUUACUGGUAAUAAAAUAAGAAUGAUUCCUUAAAUUUAAAAUAUUUUGAAAUUUUUUCUACAUAAUAUACAAAUUAUAUUUACAAUAUAUGAUAUAACGAUACAACUUAAUUCGUUUAUAUGCUAAUAAAUAAAAUAGUGAAUCCAAUAUUUGUGUAUAAUUUAAUAUAAUAGUUAAUUUAGUAUUAUAAAAAAUUGACUGUUUAAAAUAAUUAACUUUCUAUAAUUUUAUUAAUGAAGUAUUAAAAUAAAAUAUGUAUUAUGAACACUUGAAUUAAUAUAUUGUUAGUAUAAAGUUAAAAGUAUUUUUUAUCUUUUUUCUUUAAUCACUUAUCUUUGACUUUUACAAAAAUUUAUAUUAAGCUAUUUGGACCCCUCAUAGGUGUAUAUAUAUAUAUAUAUAGUUAUAAGAAAGUACAUGCUAUUUUCAUAUAAUAUAAGUUACUAAGGUCGCAAUUUUCUCUUUAUGUAAAUAAUAUAUUAAGUUAAAUUGAUUUAUGUAGAAUUAUAUUUUUAUUAAGUUAAUAAUAUAUUUUUAUUUCUGUGCUUAUAUAUAUACUAAUUUUAUUUGUCACGUAUUUAUGUGCAUAAAUUAUUUUUUUUAAAAGAGAGCAUAAAUUAUUACUAUAAAAUUAUAAUAUAAAAAUAUUUAAUAAGUUAAUAUAUAACAUAACAUUUAUUAAACACAAUUAGCUAUUUUAUAAGCAUUUCUUCUAUCGCACAGUAAAAAUUCAUUUGUUGUCACGUACUUUACAAAUUUAUGGAAAGUUUGACUUCAAACAAACCUAAAAGAAAUUAUUAUAUAUUUAGUUUCUUUAAUAUUUAUUAAUGACCUAUGGAUAAUUAUAUUUUUGUAAGAGAUUUUAUAUUAUCUAUGAAAGAUAUUUUAUUUGAGUUGAAUAAUUAGUUUUAUUUGUAUUUUCAGAGGUAUUUAAUUACACUAUUUUAGAAUUUAUGAAAUAAAAUUUUUAUUUUACUAUUUUUUUAACUUUUAAUACUAUGACAUAAUACUUUUAAUAGUAUACAUAUAUAUAUGAAAAAUUAUAUAUUUUACUUUUAUUAUGAAAUCUAGUAUAUAGUUUUAAAGUUUCCAAAUUUAAUACCAUAUUUUAAUUUUAAUUUUCGGUAAAAAUUAUCGAUCAAAUUUAUUGAUAUAAUAUGAACUCUGUCAAGAAUAAAAAAAAAAAGCUAAAUCGAUGUUAGAGUUGUUGACUUAUUUUAUUAUUAAAAAUAUUAACAUUUAAAUACAGAAAAAUAUAAAAGUAAUUUGGUUCUUAACAUUGAGAUUUCAUCGGUUUUAUAUGUUUAAAUGAUAAUAUUCUAUUAGUAAAUAGUAAUAAAAUAUUUGAUUCAAUUUUUAAUUUUUUUUAUUUUCAGAAUUGACGCUAUAUCAAUAAAUAUGAUGAUAAUUUUAUCAAAAUUAAAAUCGAAAUCUAUAUUAAAGAAUAAUGUUGCAACUGAAAAUUUAAAAACAAUAUGAUAGAUUUGAUAGUAAGCUAUAUAUAUAUAUUUUUUUUGAAUAAGUCAGUAACAAUUAAAAAUUAUACGUAAAGAAACAACCUAAAAGAAAGAAAUAAUUAAGACAUUUUUUUAAAGGGAUUUCUACAAGAAAACCCAUUAUUAAAUCAGAGUCAUGUAAGAGGAAAUUAAUUCCGAAGCUAGGUAGCAAUCGUUAUCAUUGAAAUUUCUAUUUCAUGUACAAUAAUUGUAGCUUUGACAAGAUAACAAGCACAAAAUACAGCUAGCAAAGCAAACCCAUCAAUCGAUUGGAUAAUUCUACAUUCUUUUCUAUUAUGUGCCCAUUGAAAAUAGUAAAUUAAACAAGUAAUGAAUACUGACUUUAUUUUUCUUUUGAAUUUGGAUUUUGGGUUAUUAUUAAAGAACAAAUUCAUUUAUGUUUAAAUAGUAUUUGGUCUAUGCUGGAAGAAACACCAAUCUUUAAAGAAGAAUCCAGUGGAAAAUUAUUAACAAUAGAUCAAAAGUUUGGAUGCAUUUUCUUUAAGUCCUGUUUGUCCCAUGAAAUAUAUGACAAGAGGCCUACAUAUAUCUUCUCAUCUAUAUACUUUGCCAUCCCCAAAAAUCCUCUCAAUUUUCAAUAUGGAUUAAGAGGGAUGUUUUGUUGUAUAUGUGUGCUUAAAUUUAUAAGGAUUAAGAGGGAUGUUUUGUUCAAUGAAAAAUUAUGAUUUUUCAUAUAAGAUUUGAGAAAUUAAAAUGCAUAUUAUUUUAACACAGAAAUGGAUGAGGAAUGCAAGUAAAUUUAGAAGUCACCAAUCUAAAACAAAAAUUAUCCAAAUAAAUCACUACAGAAAAAGGAUUUUGGUUUAUUUAUCUUUUAAAUAAAAAGAAGAACUUUAAAUGGGCCAAUAUUUCAAGUCUUCCAAAGAUGAGAUGGGGCCAAAAUCAAAAUGUCAGAAACUAAAGUUUAAUAUUUAGGAAAAAGGGAAAAUAAAUAGAAAUUAAAAAAAAAAAAUAAAAAGGAAAGUUUUCAGGAGGGCAUUCUGGGCACACAGAGAAAGGAACUGUCAUUCAAGACUACAGAUUCAAGAAACAAAAUCAUGUUAUUCCCUUAAGUUUUACCCCUCCCUCAUCAAAACUCCAACCCAACCUACUUGCCUAACAUUUCCUAAUUUCAACAAGCCCUGCUUACAACUUAAACAUCAUCCUCCUCUCUCCCUCUAUUUUCUCUCUCACUUCACACAAAUAAAAUAAUAAUAAUACAUACUCCAUUAAACCAGUAAGAGCUGAGUUGUUCCACCCUUUUUAGGAAAUUAAAACCCAAUCACUAAGCAUUUUCAGAAAUCAAAAAAUCCCACUAUUGAAAGACAGAGAAGAGAAGUGUCAACACACACAGUUUUUUCUCUAACUUUUUCUUUCUUUUUUUUUUUUUUUCCUUUUUCCCUUCUUAGUAUUUUGCUCAAACAAAGAAAGAAACUAUCCAAGAUUUCAAGAAAGAGUAAAAAGGUCCCUUCAUCCUCUCCCAUCAAUCUCUUCCUUCUUUAAUGUAUAUAAUAUAUAUAUAUAUAUAUAUUGAAUAUUAGCAACAUAACUCUUUCCUUUGUUUCCCUUUUUCCUGCCUCAUCCCCUUCUCUCUCUCUCUCUCUCUCUCUCUCUCUCUCUCUUCAAGAUAUGGAAAUUCUUUAAUAUCAAUCACUAAUCACUACCUUUGUUUUCUUUAUUUGGGUAUCUGUUACAGCUUAUUCUCUUCCUUAAAAUUACUGUAUUCUUGCCUGGUUUAUCUUCAAGAAACCUUUAUCUUGGUCUCCUCUAAUUCUUAUUUAGGUUUUCUGUUGCACUGUCUCUGUUAUCAUUAGUUCAGAGAGAGAGAGCGGAGAAGUAACCCUAAAAACAAGGACCAUUUUGCAAGAGUAAUUAAAAAAGAAAAAGGAAGAAAAAAGAACUUUCACAUCCCGUUCAACAAGAUCCAUUCCAAGAAUAGAAAAAAGAAAAGGCUUUUAUGGAUUCAAUGCCUGAAAUGGACAGUUCCAACUCUGAAAAUACAAACAGAUUCAGCAACACCAUCAGCAACACCACCACCACUACUACUAUGUCAAUAGGAACUUCAUCAUCAUCGCCAUCGUCAUCCUCAACACCUAGCCGCUAUGAGAAUCAAAAGCGCCGUGACUGGAACACUUUUGGUCAAUAUCUCAAGAAUCAUAGGCCUCCUCUUUCUCUGUCUAGGUGCAGUGGUGCUCAUGUUCUUGAAUUUCUUCGCUACCUCGAUCAAUUUGGCAAGACUAAGGUGCAUACACCAAUCUGCCCCUUUUAUGGCCAUCCAAAUCCACCAGCACCUUGCCCUUGUCCUCUCCGGCAAGCAUGGGGCAGUCUUGACGCACUCAUCGGUCGCCUUCGGGCAGCUUUUGAGGAAAAUGGAGGCAAACCUGAANNNNNNNNNNNNNNNNNNNNNNNNNNNNNNNNNNNNNNNNNNNNNNNNNNNNNNNNNNNNNNNNNNNNNNNNNNNNNNNNNNNNNNNNNNNNNNNNNNNNNNNNNNNNNNNNNNNNNNNNNNNNNNNNNNNNNNNNNNNNNNNNNNNAGCGAAAGCGUCCACCACAGCAACAAAUCCAAGCUCUUCCUCCGCAGCCAGGUGCAACUUAAUAUGAAAGAAAGAUAAAAUCAGACAGAAAGAAAGAAAGAUGAAUCUUUUUAUCAAGCAGUGUACUGGAGACAUUUCUCUUCUUGAUUGACAUUACCUUCUUCUAUAAUAUGGGUACUUUUCUUUACCUUUUUCUCUUAGUAUGAGUUAUGGUACUUUAUUAGGGUUAUUUCAUGGUUUCUUUUUCUUUUCCCCCCUCUUCCUGGGUAUUUCUGUUUGUUUUUAUGGAAGCAAAUUGCUAGAUCUGGGGAUACCUUUGAAUCUGCUUUUGAUGCAAACAGUGAUAGUAGCAGUAGUAGUUGUAGUAGCAGUAGCAGUAGCAGUGUUACUUGUAGUGGGAGUAGUGGUACUACAAAAAAGUGGUGGAAGAAGUGAUUGUACUUGCAGUUAUAUGGUCUAUGUUGGAACUGAAAGAGCAUCUAAUUUGCUCAUAGACUUGUAUAUGAAUUGUACUUGAAUAUUCAUGUCAUUUAUGCCAAGCCAUAGAUUUGCAAACCCUUAUGUUGUGUUGUCUUCAUUUCCUUUCUCUGAUCUUUUUUUUUUUUUUUUCUGUUUUUCAUUUUUAUGUAUUCUCUUUUUUCUUUUAUCUCUUCCUUUGGACAUUAGCUAUGUAUCUUCUCAAUUCUUUAAAGCUAGAAAGACUUCACAUAAUAUGUCAGAUUACCCUCACUAUAACUUACUAUACACUUGUUUAAUGGUGUUGCUGUUGCACAGAUGAUGGUCAGUUAUCAUUCAUUUCUGCUAUAGUCUUUAUAUUUCUGACUUCCCUCUCCCUUCAAUUCCCCACCUAUUGUGUUUCCACUUUUCUGCUUUACUGUCUAAGAGAAUUAUAAUGAAUCAAUGUCUAUGUAAAGUUAAAGAACAUAACCUUUAAAAGUUUAAUAUAUAGUAAUAAUAAUUUUUAGUAGUGUCUUAGAAUAUAUGUUUGAUCUUAGUUACUUUUGUUAAAUUCACUCUUUUCUGCUUCUGUUUUUUAAGGUAAUUAAAUUUGGGCAAUAGCUGUUUUUCAUUAUUAGUGCUGUCAUUUCACUUAAGGGGGGGAAAAGAAAGAGUAUGAAGAUGGCAGACAAUGAAAAGUACUCAAAGCUUAAUAAGAGAUCUUAUAUAAUAUUAAUAUGCUGUGUUUAGCUUAUUAAUUAAAUUCCAUGUGUCCAAUUUUUUGAUUUCUUUACUAGUAAAGUUUCUUCUUUCUCCAUUUCCCUUUUCUUUUUUUUUUUUUCCAAAUUGUUUAGUAUCUAAUGUUGCAUAAAUAAAGAGGAAAAAAAAGAUACUUGAUGAGCAUACAUACUCUCAUUUCUAUUUCAUCCUUUAAUCUAAGAGAGAGAAGGGAUAUUGAGUCAAAUUAGCUAGGACUCAUCACAUAAACCUAGAAACAGUGGAAUCUAGGUUGAUGUCCAAUCAAAGUGGAAAUCGUAUGGUUAGAUAUAAUAAAUUAGAAGAAAAGACAAAAAGUCUACAUUAUAAAAUAUAAUUUUUUUCCAUAAUUGAUGCUAAUUAAAUCAUUAUUCAUGUGUGUUAAUAGAUAAUACAAAGUGAGACUGAAUUAGUGAUUAUAGAAACUAUGCAUGGAUACUCGAGGAAGGUCUUUUGUUACAUCAAUUUGGCCGACAGGAAUCCAUUAAUUGGUUGAUUUUGUUGGGUCAUAUCCUUCUUGCAUUUCUAGAUUAUAAUCUUAGAUUAAAAGUAGAAUUAAUACAAUUUGCUCAAGUGUUCCUUCUUUCUUUCCUGUACUACCAUUUUAGUGGGACACAAAACUUCCACUUCCUACUGCUAUAGGAUCUAAUAUCUAUUCUUUCUACUAAUCAUUUAUGUUUUAUCAUAGAACUAAUCAUGAUAUAUCAUAUGAUAUGGACCCUAUCAUGAAGAAAAUAGUAUAUAAUAAGAAUUUGUUGAUCAAAUCAUCAUUACAUCUUAGGUUAUGCCUGCUAAUAUAGUAUUACUUUUGCUUUUGUGUUGAUUGAUUUUACAUCUAAAAAGCUAUAUAUAUAUAUAUGACUGAGCCACAUGAAAGCUGUAGUUUCUUAAUUCAUUUGUUAAAUACUUCAGCUGUUCGGAUAUAAAUAGAAAUAUAAAUUCAACAUUUCAUGCUCUUUNNNNNNNNNNNNNNNNNNNNNNNNNNNNNNNNNNNNNNNNNNNNNNNNNNNNNNNNNNNNNNNNNNNNNNNNNNNNNNNNNNNNNNNNNNNNNNNNNNNNNNNNNNNNNNNNNNNNNNNNNNNNNNNNNNNNNNNNNNNNNNNNNNNNNNNNNNNNNNNNNNNNNNNNNNNNNNNNNNNNNNNNNNNNNNNNNNNNNNNNNNNNNNNNNNNNNNNNNNNNNNNNNNNNNNNNNNNNNNNNNUUGUUAAACAUGAAAUUACUAACUGAGUUGUAUAAAUGUCCAACUAAUAUUUGGUUUCUUGAGGAAAUUUGCAUAUGUAGAGAAGAAAGGUAGAGCUAUAUAGUGAUAGCAUAAAGCAAAGGUUCUUUCCUUAUGUAUCAUAUAUAUGUAUUGAUUCUUUGCUUUUGUGAUUUGAACUGCUUCCAUCUCUUGUGGUUCAUUCUUCCAUUCUAAAAUUUAGACUGGGAAUGAAAUCACUGACAUUAAUUUGUAUUCAUUUUUAGUUGAACCCAAAACUGCAUUUGAGAUUGAAAGGAUUAGAAAGGAAACUAACAAAUUAAAUGUAUUUCACUUUCCAUUUUCUACAUAGCAUAUAGAAGAACUCAUAGGUUUGCUAUAUUCUAUUUUGAACUAAUGAAAUUCCCUUUUUCUUUUUUAUGUGUACUUGGUUGAUAAGAUCAAACCUGAUUCCAGUUUUUCUUUUAAACAAAAAAGUUCCAUCAUUAGGAAGAACAAUCAAGUUAUGGUAUUGCCUCCACUCCUUUUUUAGCUUAAAUUCCUAAUUCCACCAUUAUCCUGACAAUUAUAUUUUGUUAUAUGUUUUAGCAAUUGUUGAUUAAUUACCUGUAUAAUAUUAAUUUGUAGGAAUUCUUGUUUUUUUUCUUUUCCUCUUCUGUUAGUUUUUCUUGAAGGUUUCUAAUCUAAAUUUGUCAAUGGCAAGCCUGAUUACAGAACCUAAAAUAUUGAAAUUGCAUGUGUUUUUCAUGCACUAAAUUAUUUUCUGUUGUUGUUUCUAGCUCUCAUCCUUCUAUGUAUAUUAUAUUUAUUUAAGCAAAACAUCUGAUGUCAAACAAUCCUGAAGAGAAUUUUAAUAGUAUUUUAUUUAGGUCUGAAUAUAUAUAUAUAUAACGUCCUUUCAUUUUCUUGAUCAUUAAAAUGAAUUUUUCUUUGCAAGGUGGAUUUUCUUAUUUUCCACUACUUUUCUUUAUGUAGACACGUUUUCUUAUAACUGAGGAGAAAACAGAAACUUCAAUUUAUAGCUGUUCUUCACUGAGGCCGAUUUCAGAGACUAACAUGCAUUCUGUUCCUUCUCAUCUAAUUAAAUUGCUCUUGAGCUACAUUGAUCAUGAUGUCUAUUCUUGUUGAUAUAUUUAUAUAAUUUCUUUUCUUUUCUUUACUUUCCCUUUUGUGUGUUAAAAGGCAAAAAGAAAUACUAAUUAAGUAACUUUUACAUCAAGUUAUCUGUUUUCAUUUGCUUCUUUUUCUUUUUUUUAUCGUUGUUGAUACCAGCAAAUUCUGAGAUUCAAUUAGUAAGAAAUGGGUUUUUUCUAUAUCAUGUCCAAGGAUUAAUUAAUCUAAAAAUGAUAGAAAUACAUAUUUAGAUACUUGAGUUUUAAUUAUUUAGACAUUCCAAUAUUUUAACUUUCAAUUUAAUUUAAUAAAUAUUUGAAUUUCAUUUUUAUAAUUUUUUAAAUAUUUUUAAUUUUUAAUUUGGCUUGAUAGAUAUUUAGAUUUUAUUUUUUUAAUUUUAUUUAAAUACUUGUAAGCAGUACAUAUCAAUAUAUAAAAUAAAGCCACGUGUUAAACAAUAUUUAAAUAUUAUAAAAAAAUUAAAAUAUCUAUUUAAUUAUAUAUAAAAGUUUAAGUAUUAAAAGUGACUAACCAGAUAAAAUUCAAGCGCGUAAAUAAUAAGAUAUAAUGAAAAAAAUUAAAGAAUCCAAAGAAUAGUUUUAUCAUCCCAUUUACUAUUUUAUGAAAUAAAAAAGUAAAAGAAGUAGAGAAUUAAGGAUAUUACGCUUGUACUGCUUUUGAAUGUGAAGCUAUUUCUAUGGCAUGAAUGACAUCAUCUUCAAUACAAAGAAAGUCUUAUUCUGUAAAAUUAAAGAAAAAAGGAAAACAGAAAAAGAAAAGAAAAGUCCCAUUAUUAUCUAAACUAAACAUGGAAAUUAUUAUAAGUGGAAAAAAAAAAAAAAGGAAAAUUGGCACCAAAGUUGAUCAAUUUAUCAUCACAAAAAGGUUAGCCAUCCGACAAGAACUUGUAGCUAAAUAGACAUGUAUAAAUAUAUACAGCCUUUUAAGCAGUAGCAAGAGCUUAAAGAAUCUUUGGAAUGACUGGAGAUUGAUAAUCCAGUCAAUGAUCGAAGCGAGCAAGCAAAAUUCUCUUCUUUAUUUGGAUUCUUGGUGGAAAUCAUUGCCCUAAAUUUUAUAGUGAAGCCAAUUACGUGUCCACUAGUAAUGGAUAGCAUGGUCAGAUGCAUUAUGAUGAGUAAAGCUGUGGAAAAGCUCAAGGAGAAGAAGGAGAUAAAAGGGUAAUGAAACGAGGUUGAAAUUCAAGUAUUUGUCAAACUAGUAGUUUCAUUAUAAAGUUGAUCACAUAUCAUCCACACACACACAUAUAAUAUAUAUAUAUAUAUAUAUAUAUAUAUAUAUAUAUAUAUAUAUAGCUAAACUAUUGCUGAUUUAAUUUUAAUUAAGAUUUUUAAAAUUUAUUAUUCCUUUUAAAAAGUUUUAUAUAGACUAAAUCCGUAUAUUUAAACACUUGAAUAGUCAUUUUAAUAUUUUAAUUUUAAAUAUAAAUAUUUUGAAUUAUAUUUGUUGAUAUAUUAAAUAUCGACAUAUAUUUAAUCGGUUUUAUAUAAUAUUUUUUUAAUUUAUAUAAAUAUUUUAUGAAAAAUCUAAAAAUAUAAACAAGUACCCAUUCUCCUAAAAAAUGGCUGAGACUUUUUAAUUUAAGUGGUUGAUAGUUGAUACAUAGUUGAUAAUUUAUAGGUGAUAAAUAUAAAUUGUUUAGUUACUGUAAUUUGUUAGUUUGUGAAAUGACUGGUACGGGUAUUUCCAAUUAUACUAUAUGAAUUACCAAAAGAUAUUUAGACUAUUUUUUUAAAAAAAAUUAUGCUUGUAAGUAUUAAUAUAAAUAUUAAUUAAUUAGACAUCAUAUAUAAUUACAUUGUAAGAAAUAUAUAGUAUGAACUUUAUCAUAAUUUAUAAGGUACUGUAUUAUUAAAAAAUAAAAUAUGUGUACGAUACGUAUAACAUGUGUCUUUAAAAUAAUUUCAUUUGGCUGGUGAUUAAAUUUAUAAUUUGGAAUCUUAAAUUUAAAUAUUUUAACAUAAUAAUUUAUAAAUUAUUUUUCAUUGGCAAACAUAACAUUUUAGCAAGGAAAAGACUUCGUGGCGAAAUUGCUUUAGCGAGGGAAUUUUAUUUAUCAGUGAAUCUAAUAUCACUACUACUCAAUUAGGACCAGUUUCGUUCAUUUUGAUUAGAGUGGCAUUUUGAGAUCAUUUCGACUAAAACGGUGGUAAAUUAGCAGAUAUUAAUUCAAUAAACUUUCUAUUCCAAAUUUGAUACGGCAAAUAUUCCUGCGGUUCAAAAUUACAAUGGAACAAAAAGUAAUAAUUAACAGUUAUUAGUCGUCUAAUCGUGCGUUGCAUGGUGUUAUUAUUAUUUUAAUUAUAAAAUUAAAUUGAUAGAUACAAUUAACGAGUCAAUUCAAUCCUUUUAAUUUUUUGUUAUUUCUUGUUAAACUGAUUGCAAUUGUUUGUAGGCAUGAGUAACAAAAUGUAGGUUUUUAUUAGUUAAUAUCAUUACAUUUUUGUUACGAUUUCUUUAAAAUAUUUUUAUUAAAUAUUUUAUAAAAUUAUCAUUUUAAAGUAUAAAAUAUAAAAAAAAUUAAUUGCAUGUAAUAAUAUUUAUAUUAGUUAAUAAAAUGUCAUUUUUGACAAUUAUUUACUAAAACAUAAUUAAAAAUUGACUAUAAUUUAAGAUAGAUAAAAAAAAGAUUAAAAUUUUUUUCUAAAACGAAAAAGAAAUUAAAUACUCUCAUUUUAGAAGUAAAAUAUUUAUAAUCUUAGGAGUCGAUUUCUUCGAUGAACGCCCAAAAUGUAAUUUUUAAUAUAUAGAAUAAACACAGGGAUGCAUGCAUCAAUAAUAUUAUUAUUAUAUCAGUAAUACAUAUUUAAUAAUUAAUUAAAACUUGGAGGGAUCUUAGUUUUUAAUUGAAUUGUCUGAUUUUGAAAUGAGUGUCGUGUCAUUAUUAUGAAAUAUAUGUCCCAAAAGGCAUUAAUAUAGUAAUUCAUCUUUUACAGGCAAUGUUAUUGGUGCAUCAUCACCAAUGACCAGACAAUUAGCAAAAGAAUGUCGCUGACGUAUACAUGCUUACCAAAUAAAUAAAUUUCAAAUUUCAACUAAAAAAAAUCCCAGAAAAAGUAUUAAUGGGCAGAUAUUACUUAAUUUUUUGUUAUUCUUAAAGUAUGAUAUUAAAUUCAUGAAUUCUUCUUAAAUAUUAUCCAAAAUAAAUAGUGAAACAAAGAAUAUUGUCUAAACAAAGAGUUUAUAUAUAUAAAAGUUAAUACUAUUUUAAUUUUUAUAAUUUAUUGAUUAUAAUAAUAUCAAAUUAAUUAAUUAUAUAUAGUAUAUAAUCAAUUAAAUAUAUUUAUUUAUUUAUUAAAAAUUUAAAAUCUAAUUAGUAGUAUUUAAUAAUUAUACGAUUUAUAUAAAUAAUUAAAAAUUAUAUAUUAAUUUAUUAUUAAUAAAAAAUAUAAAAAAUUUACAAAUUAUUUAAAAUAUUGGCAAAAUCUCAAAGGAGUUAUUUGCAAGUUGGAUUUGGUUAGAAAAAUAUGUGAAAGACUGAAAAAAAAAAAAAAAAAAAAAGGAAAAGGAAAUGAAGAGAAAAGUUUGAAAAAAUUGGAUAAGGAAAAAUAAUGAAUUGGAGAUGAGAGGAGAAAAGGACUGAGACAUCAUAGUCGGUACCCAUCAGAUCAGCCAAAAUUUGCAGCAAUUACCUUCCCAAUAAUAAUAACUGUGUGCUGCUUACUAUUAGUCCCUACCACACACAUCAACGUCCCUUGAUAAUCGGAUACUAAUAUUUUCUUCUGCCUGAUUUGAACAGUGGGAUUUUAAGAUUUUAUUAAUUAUAUACCGUAAUUUGUAUAAAAUAAUAAAAUAAAUAAUUUUUAAAUUUUCAUUAAGUUUUUGCAUAUAUGGACGGGUUGAAAAAUAUAAUGAAUUUUAGACUUUUUUUUUCAAAAUCGUGCUAUAAAAAAUUUCAAUUUUUUUUAAAUUGUACAAACAUGAAUAAUAAAAUAAAAAUUAUAAACAUUUAUUGAUUAUAUAUUCUUAAGAUAAACUUUAUCUUAUAUGUAAUUUUGAAAUCUUUUUUUCUCAUUUUUCUUUCUCUAAAUUUUAUUUUUCUCAUCUCCCAUUUGUUUUUUUUUUUAUUUCUACUGAAAGGGAAAGAGUACAGGAGUGAUAUAUUAUUAAAAGUAUCAUGUAGAAAAAAUAUCAUGUCUAAUAAAAAUUCAGUAAUUUAAUUUUUUAAACUCUAAUUUAAUAAUCCUAAUUCUACUCCCAAUUUGUGGAUUUUUAUAUUUUAUUGCAUUAUACAACUCUAAUGACUAUAUAUAAUUAACAAGUUUGUCACUUUAUUAUUUAUGUAACAUAUUAUGAUCAUAUGUCUUUUAUUUUUAUCUCGUUUAAUAUAAAAAUAGUCCACAUCGUUAUUUGUCACGACCCCACCCGUGGGCCCGUGACCGGCACUAGGGAAUGGGUAGGCGUAAGGCCACCGAAACCCGUAGUAAGCCUGACACUCACUGACUUAAACAAAUCUCAUCUCAAAUUAAUAUUAUUAAAGCCACAAAUUAUCUUAAUAGCUACAUUCUACAUAAAUACUUCGGUCUGCCAGAAAAACUAGGCGAGACCUGAAACUCAGAAAAUUUACAACUGAUACAUCUACUAUUACUACUGCGGAGAAUCUAAGAUUUACCAAUUUACAUACCAAAUCAAAUACAUCACCCGAUGAUAAAGGAGUCAGGUUACUGAAUAAGAGUCGCAGGAGAACUAACAGUCACGAAUCUGAAAAAAAAACAUAAAUGGAGACUGUCAGUCUCGAGAGUGAGUUAAAAUCAAAUAAUCUAGAGACUAUUGUUUCUUAUCAGAAAACAUAGAUUAUUCAAAUCAGUAUAUCAAACCAUACUAUAAUCAUACCCUACUAUUUCCUUCACAUAAAAUAUUAAUCAUUCGAAUCAAAAUAUCAACCAUGCACGUAAAUACAAUCCAUAUUAUAAUCAUACCACAAUAAAUUAAUAAAUGAAUAAAUAAAAAUAUAUUUUUACUUUUACGGGACGAGUGGCUCAGUAGAACCCUAACCCCAAAUUCUAACAGCCAUUUUGGCUCUCUUAAUCCAAUAAGACUGGCGCCCUGAGAGCAAUGCUCGACCAGGGACCUUACCUCCAGUCUGGUCACUUAAGUAUACAAAUAAGAAAUCUAGUAGCCAUUCGGCUCUCUUAAUCCAAUAAGACUGGCGCCCCGAGAGCAAUGCUCGACCAGGGACCUUACCUCCAGUCUGGUCACUUAAGUAUCCAAAUAAGAAAUCUAGUAGCCAUUCGGCUCUCUUAAUCCAAUAAGACUGGCGCCCCGAGAGCAAUGCUAGACCAGGGACCUUACCUCCAGUCUGGUCACUUAAGUAUCCAAAUAAGCCGGCGCCCCGAGAGCAAUGCUCGACCAGGGACCUUACCUCCGGCAAUUUACACAAAUCAGCCCAGAGAGCCAUUCUCGACCAGGGCAAACCCAUAAAAAUCUGAUUACAUGUCCAUGAUCAUUACCGGUGCGCACGCGGUCCUGAUGUAACCCAUCAGGCGGCAUGUUCUACAAGCCACAUUUCCCAAAUCGCAAUCACCACAUUUAAUAAAUAUUAUUGUCUAAAGAAGUCAUUCAACUAUAUCAAAAUAACGAUUAACAAUUUUAAAGUAAGACAUCAUGCAACUCAUGUGGAAAACUGAUAAUAUUUGAUAUUAUUAUAACAUUACUAAUAAUAAUAUUUAUAUUAUCUUCAAUAAUCCAGUGAAAUUAUUUAUGUUGCGAUACUAAUAACCAUAUUAUGUAUAAACUUCAANNNNNNNNNNNNNNNNNNNNNNNNNNNNNNNNNNNNNNNNNNNNNNNNNNNNNNNNNNNNNNNNNNNNNNNNNNNNNNNNNNNNNNNNNNNNNNNNNNNNNNNNNNNNNNNNNNNNNNNNNNNNNNNNNNNNNNNNNNNNNNNNNNNNNNNNNNNNNNNNNNNNNNNNNNNNNNNNNNNNNNNNNNNNNNNNNNNNNNNNNNNNNNNNNNNNNNNNNNNNNNNNNNNNNNNNNNNNNNNNNNNNNNNNNNNNNNNNNNNNNNNNNNNNNNNNNNNNNNNNNNNNNNNNNNNNNNNNNNNNNNNNNNNNNNNNNNNNNNNNNNNNNNNNNNNNNNNNNNNNNNNNNNNNNNNNNNNNACACUCCAAAUAUCAACAAUUUAAACAACGGGAGUCGGGUCCCAAACUUCACUAUUUCCCGACUCCGCCACACAGCACAAAAUACGACUAUGGCAAGCAAACUGACAAUUAUUUUUGACUCACAAAUAUCAUCAAAUACUCAAUAUAAACCAUUAGACAAAAAUUUAAAAUCAAAGGAUUUCUAAAAUUAAUGGGCCAAAGAAAUAUUACCGAGACGCUCGAUCGCUCGGUCGACUCGCCUCGAGCCGCCGGAGUCCGAUCGACGAUCCGAACACACCAUCGAACUCACAACGACGCGCUGAAGACGAUCCCCGAUUCCAAUUUUCCGAUCUGACACCCGAUCAUCCGGAGAGAUUUAUGGACGAUCUCGACCGUCGAUUUGCAAACGAAGCCCGAUCGCCACGAAACCAGUGCUAUCGCGAAGCUUGAGCUGAGGAGAGUCGGGAUACGUCCUCCGAUCGUCCAUCCUCCGCCGAAUCUCGCCGGAAAAACCCAAAAACGCCGGCUGCCACCAUUUUCUCUCUCCACCGGAUCUUCCGUCUCCGGCCACCAUAGGCGUCGCCGCUGCUGCCAAAAGAAAGCUCUCGCCGAGAGGAGCCGAUCGCCACCCGACUCGGCCGCCAACAACGCCGAAAACGGCCGGAAACACGCCUGGAAGCCGCUACCUUCGCGCUCUUCUGCCGCUCCCCGCCGCCGCUAGAGCCGCUGUUGUCGCCGCCGCUGCGCUCGCCAGCGCACACCGCUCCGUCGGCCAGCGCUCCGCGCCCCCGGCGGUCGCCACCGACGCCUGCAGCGUCCCCCUCUUUCUCUUCCCGGCGCCGCACUCUCUCUCUCUCUCUCUCUCUCUCUCCUCCGUUCUUCUUCCCCGAUUUUUGUUCCUUUCAAUAUCGACAUUAGGCCCCCGAACUUUUCCUUAUUACAACUUGGUCCCUCAACUUCCUUAAUUACUUACAAUUUCAUCCUGCAGAACUUCAAUUUAACCCCCAAACUUCUUUUUAGCCUUUCAAUUAAGCCCUUAACUAUUUAAUUUGGGCCAAAUCUGAAUUAUUGAAAAUACAUAAUUACAAAAAUACCCCUGACCGACAUAUUUAUUUACAAAAAUACCAAGCUCACAAAUUUCCAUUAAAACCCCAUAAAAAUAACAUUAUACUUUCAAUCCUUAUUCCAAAAUAAAUUUUCAAUUUAGUCCUAACACACAAUUAAAUUAAAUAAUCAAUUUCCAACUUAAAAUUUAAUACUACUAAUCAAUUAUAAUACCAAUUUUCCCAAAAUUCUUUUAUAAAAAUCCUUUACAAUUCUAGCAUAAUUUUUCAAUAUAUAAUUUUACUUAUAUAAAUAUGCAUUUGGAAAAAAAAAUAAAAAAAAUAAAAAUUGAAUAACCAAAAUAUAAUCAUUUCUCAAAUAGUUUACUUAAUUACUCAUUAAAAAUCAAACUAAUUGGAUAUGGAAAAUAACUCAUUUAUUUAUCUAACAUGAACAUUCAAAAUUUGUAUUUAAAUCAUUCCAAUUAAACCGAAUAAAAAUAAAGCUAAAAUUAACUUAAAUAAAAACUCAUUAUUAAAUAUAUAAAAAAUUCCGGGUGUUACAUUAUUUAUAACAUGUGACUUAUUAAAAUAUUAUUUUUAUUCUUUUACGGUUUGUCAUACUUGAUUAUUAAUUUUAAAAAUUUAACUACUCUAUUAUUAUAUCUUCACAAGUUUAGACACUAAAAGAUAGUUAUCCCUUUAUAAAUAAUUAUUAUUAUGUAGUUAAUUGAUCAAUAAUUAAUCAUUUAGUUUAUUUUCAUUAGUUGACUUGAUUUUAUAAUUUGAUUUUAUUAGUUAUUAUUAUUAUUAUAUAAAUAAAAUAAUAUGUAUCACUAUUAUUAUCGCCUUAUUAUUUUCUUAAAUUAAGUACAUAGUAUGUUAAUUGCUUUAGUCACAAGUUUUAAAAUAAAAUGCAGCUAAAAUUAAGAAAAUUAUAAGUAUUAACUUAUUUGUAAAAUAAUAUAUAAAGUGCAUAAUAUUUUUUUCAAAAACUUACUUAUUUUCCAAAACUAAAUUUAAUUAAUAAUUAUUUUACUUGAUUAAAUUGAUUUCGAUCCGGUUAUUAACUUGAUUGAUUUUUUUACCUAUCUAUAGUUAGUACUAAUAAUAUAAGGCUAUAUUUGGUAUAAAAUAAUAAAACUAUAANNNNNNNNNNNNNNNNNNNNNNNNNNNNNNNNNNNNNNNNNNNNNNNNNNNNNNNNNNNNNNNNNNNNNNNNNNNNNNNNNNNNNNNNNNNNNNNNNNNNNNNNNNNNNNNNNNNNNNNNNNNNNNNNNNNNNNNNNNNNNNNNNNNNNNNNNNNNNNNNNNNNNNNNNNNNNNNNNNNNNNNNNNNNNNNNNNNNNNNNNNNNNNNNNNNNNNNNNNNNNNNNNNNNNNNNNNNNNNNNNNNNNNNNNNNNNNNNNNNNNNNNNNNNNNNNNNNNNNNNNNNNNNNNNNNNNNNNNNNNNNNNNNNNNNNNNNNNNNNNNNNNNNNNNNNNNNNNNNNNNNNNNNNNNNNNNNNNNNNNNNNNNNNNNNNNNNNNNNNNNNNNNNNNNNNNNNNNNNNNNNNNNNNNNNNNNNNNNNNNNNNNNNNNNNNNNNNNNNNNNNNNNNNNNNNNNNNNNNNNNNNNNNNNNNNNNNNNNNNNNNNNNNNNNNNNNNNNNNNNNNNNNNNNNNNNNNNNNNNNNNNNNNNNNNNNNNNNNNNNNNNNNNNNNNNNNNNNNNNNNNNNNNNNNNNNNNNNNNNNNNNNNNNNNNNNNNNNNNNNNNNNNNNNNNNNNNNNNNNNNNNNNNNNNNNNNNNNNNNNNNNNNNNNNNNNNNNNNNNNNNNNNNNNNNNNNNNNNNNNNNNNNNNNNNNNNNNNNNNNNNNNNNNNNNNNNNNNNNNNNNNNNNNNNNNNNNNNNNNNNNNNNNNNNNNNNNNNNNNNNNNNNNNNNNNNNNNNNNNNNNNNNNNNNNNNNNNNNNNNNNNNNNNNNNNNNNNNNNNNNNNNNNNNNNNNNNNNNNNNNNNNNNNNNNNNNNNNNNNNNNNNNNNNNNNNNNNNNNNNNNNNNNNNNNNNNNNNNNNNNNNNNNNNNNNNNNNNNNNNNNNNNNNNNNNNNNNNNNNNNNNNNNNNNNNNNNNNNNNNNNNNNNNNNNNNNNNNNNNNNNNNNNNNNNNNNNNNNNNNNNNNNNNNNNNNNNNNNNNNNNNNNNNNNNNNNNNNNNNNNNNNNNNNNNNNNNNNNNNNNNNNNNNNNNNNNNNNNNNNNNNNNNNNNNNNNNNNNNNNNNNNNNNNNNNNNNNNNNNNNNNNNNNNNNNNNNNNNNNNNNNNNNNNNNNNNNNNNNNNNNNNNNNNNNNNNNNNNNNNNNNNNNNNNNNNNNNNNNNNNNNNNNNNNNNNNNNNNNNNNNNNNNNNNNNNNNNNNNNNNNNNNNNNUUUGACAUAUAAGAUUUUUAUUUUGACAUGUAUGCUUAUUUUUAACACAUAAGAUUUAACCUUACGUAUAAAUUUAUAAUUUUUCUAUUAAUUUACUAAUUAUAAGUUACAUUUUUAGUUAAACACUCGCUUUAAUUCUAAUAAAUAGUAUAUUAAUUAUAUUUUAAUAUUAUAUUAAUUAAUAAAUAAUUUUCUAAUUAAAUAAUGAGAUAUAUUAAUUAUAUUUUAAUAAUAUAUUAACUAAUAAUUCUAAUUCUAAAAUAUAAUAUCUUAAAUAUUUUUAAUAAUAUUUCAAUAAUAAUUUAACCUUUUAAUUAUAUAAUAAAAAUUAUAUUGAUAUUAAUUAUAUAAUAUUAAAAUUAAUUAAUUUUUAAUUUCUAAAAUAAUUUCACAUAAACAUAUUAAUAAGAUUUUAAAAUUUUAAAAAAGUUAAGAGGAUUUAAAAAUAGUUAAUUUACUAUUAUUUUUAAUAAUUUUAUAAAUUAAUUAUUAAAUAUUAAAUUUUUUAUUAAAUUGGAUCUAUCAAUUUAAUUUAAUUUUAUAAGUAAAAUAACAAUAAUGGUCAUGCAUGCAGAGAUGAAGAACUAAUUAUAUUUGUUGAAUUAAAAGAUAUUUAAAAUUAAUACAUUAAAUCAUGAGCCCCUGUAAUUUAUGAUAAGCAUCGAUAUGGGAUAAACUAUCAACAAAUCAUAUCUAUCAAUUCUCAGUGGAUUACCAACGCAAUAAAUUGAUAAAAUAAUUUUUGAACAAUUAACGACGGUGGAUUAUUAUUAUUACUAUACUUCUCUGUCGCUAAAUAUUAGACAAUUAUUAAAAUAUUAUCGUUUAAGUAUAUAAAAUUAAUUUUUAUAAUUAUAAAUUAUAAAUUUUAAUGAUGAGGGUGUUGACCCGGUCUUUCAUUUUUAUUGUCUUCAAAACUCAAGCCACAUCAUAUUAAAAUUGAAAUCAAUAUUAAAAUAUAAUAUUAAAAAAUUAAAAAUUUUAAAAACUACAUACUAAAUUUGAUAACAAAUAUAAGUUACAUAAACUUUUUGACAAUUAUAUAUUUUUAAUUUCUUAUUUAUUCUUUUUUUUCUCAUACCUUAUUCCUUCUUUCUCAUCUUUUUUCUCAUUACAUUUAUCUUUCUUAUGUUUCUUCAUUUUUUUCUCUCAUUACUACCUUUUUUCUCUUUCCUUUUACUACUCUUUUUCUUACUUUUAUGUUUAUCUUUUAUUUUUUUAUAUUGGUAGUAUUAUUUUGGAGAAAUGAAUUUACUAAACCUUUAUCUUGAAUGUUAUUUAGAAUAAAACACUCUAUUUAUCUUUUUUAAAUUUAUAUUUUGAUUUUUAUUCUUCUUAUAUUUUCUUAUGUUCAUUUCUUUUUCUUUCAAUUCUCCAUAAUUUUCUUUAUUGAGAAGAAAAAAUUAAUAAGAGAUUGAGCUAAUAAUUUUAUUUUAAUAUAUCAUUUCUUUUUCCUUUUCAAAAUUUAAAAAUAAUUCUUAAAGGCAAAAAUAUAAUUAUUUUUAAAUAUAAAAUUUUAUGAUGUAUUUCCACAAAAUAUUUAUAUCUUUUAAAAUAUUAAAAUCUUAUCAAUAAAUGUCCAAUAAAAUACUUCGUCACCGAUUAAUUUUGGCGAAAAUAAUUUAAACACCUUGACAAUGAAAUUAUUAAGGCCAAGCUCUGGUUGUAUAUAUAUGAAGCAGCCACGCAAUUUCAUCUAAAUACAAAUCUAAGUGAAACUAUUUUUAAUUGUUAAUUUUUAAUAUGAGUUUGACAUGUAUAUUCUAUUGGAGGACUACUUUGUGGUUAAUUCCUCCUAUUAUAAGAAGCAAAUCAGGGGAUUUUUUUAUAGUUUGGAAUGUGAAAUUUCCUACUACAUACCGACUUGAAGA